UAUAGAAUACUUGAUCUGCUUAGUAGUUGUAUCAUAUCUGGAAACGUAGGCCGGGAAGUUUUCUUUUCACCCUUUGUCAUACUUUGAAUUAGAAAUGUAAAAAGACGAAGAAGAAAGAAUUGCACCUCUAUCACCCCUCUUUAAAUGCCUCGAAGUUGUGGAUAGAUGGAGAACCCUACAGCUUCAGCUCAAGUAACCAAAAAUCAGAGCAGUAACCACUAGCAAGUCAAUGGAAAAAAGGCCAGCUUAUAGGAUGUGGCACUUUUGAAAGUGUUUACAUUGCAAGCAACCAGUAAGUUAGCUCUGGGAAUCUUAGACAUGUUCCAUUUUUUUAGAUAUCCAGUCAGCUAAACUUUGACAUAUUAAGUGACAGAAAAACCAGAUCUCUAUGUGCAGAGAAGGAGUUUGAGCUAUUGCGUAAUGAUCCAAAUUUAGCUGAGUGCAUCGAGCAGUUAAAGCAGGUAAUGUUUUUGUUAUGCUCUGGGAUCCAAUCUAUCCUCUCAUCCGAUCUAAAUAUGCUGGGAGGAAACUUUCUUUCAUCAUUUCCAAGUAAUUGAUUGCUUUGUUACUACAGGAAAUUCAGGUACUUAGCCAGCAUAGACAUCCGAACAGUCUGCAGUAUUAUCUAAGGGAAAUUGUGAGACACAUUUCCACAGCAUCUAUGCGUCCCAACUCAAUGGGCGUUCAUUAUUUGACUCACCAAAAUUUCAACAUAUUCAUACAUACUCAGGUUGAGGAUUGGCGUUACAUAUAUCUAGAAUAUGCACAUCACGAUUCAAUAGACAAGUAUAUCCAGGAGCGUCUUGGGACCCUAACAGAAUCGGUUGUCAGCACUUUACCCGCUAUAUUGUGGCUGGAUUGGCUUCCCUGCAUGUUAACAACUCCAUACAUGGGUAAUUCUAAACCAUUGAUCAAGCAUCAUGUGAUGACUUGCAUAUUGGAUUAGGAUGAUUGGACCUUCUUCUUUGUGCCCCCAGACCUGUUAAAACUAUUUGGCUUGUGCAGGGAUUUAAAGGGAGCUAAUUUAUUUGUGGAUGCAUCUGGGAUAUUCAAACUUGCUGACUUUGGGAUUGCUAAACAUGUGAGUUUUUACCUCUUCACCGCAAGACUACUCAGUGCAUGUAGAAAUUCCUUGCUGAUCUGUGGUACAUUCGAAUGUGAAGUCAGGGACCCAGGGUGACUGCAUACUUCUCGUUAUUGGUUUGUGGCAUUUCAUAUGUGCAUAAAUCUAUCAUAGAUGGAUGAAAUGUUAUUAAGUAAUUUUCUUCACUUUUUUUCCCAUUGUUUCAGGUAAAGUUACCAUGUUGCAUGAACGGGAAAAGAUUUCUUGCUGUAAAUAGAUGCCGAAACCUAAUGAGAGUUCCCUUUCUACUGGUUUCUAAAAAGUUCCUAAGAGCGGUAGUGAAUAGAACGCAAUACCUUUGGCAAAAGGUUGUGGUGUUGUUUUUGCUGCUCCUCUGCAUUCCAAAAUAAGGAUAGAACUUAGUCAGAGUAAGUAAGGGCCUCCUUCCUAACAUGGGGUAAAUAAAAGUUUAUUAAUCCAUAGAAUGGAAUUCUGGACAGUAGCCAAGGUGUUGUUGCUCUCUUUUUGAGUUCUCAAGCAUUUGCUGAGGCCAUGUUGUUGAUUGCUUCAUGGUCCUUUUUCUCAGUAAUGAGCUAACAUGAGUUGAAAGUGGUUGAUUCAGUUAUCAAUAUGAUGUAUCUAUGUCUAUAAAGAUGUUGCUAUUUUAUCCGGUGUUCCAUGAACACACCAAGUAGUAUUCAGCUUUACUAAUGCCAUACCAUUUCUUAGCUAACCGGACAAGCAGCUUGCCGCUCUUUGAAGGGAAGUCUAAACUAGAUGGCUCUAGAGGUACUCUGCUUUUGUUAACGUUAAUGCGGCAUACUUGGAGGUCCUUCCCCAUACUCGCCAGAUGAACAGAUUUCUCUCGAAUCUCUUGAGGUAAGCCUUUGCGAUAACAUGAGAAAGCUGCUUACGUAUGAGUGGCUGCUCCAUCUUCGAAAUCUUCAAAGUAUCGAGGUCGCUGAGUGCAAAGGAAUGGUGGAGUUGAUAAGUGGAGCGGGACAAGGCCAAGAAGGAAGCAUAACGACUUCUGUAAACAACACUCCUUCAUCCUUCCAGCCUUCUUCAAUUUCUCUCCCAAAGCUAGAGUGUUUGAAGCUACGCUAUCUACACCAGCUGAAGAGCAUAUACAAAGCCCCAAUAAGCUGCGAUUUCAUGAAAAGAUUGGACGUGUACGGAUGCCCAGAACUGAAGAGGAUUCCUUUGCAACUGCCACUGCGUGAAAUUGAGGAGCUUCCGUAUAUUUGGGUGGAAGAUGAGGAAAAGUGAAAGACGCUGAUGUGGGAUCUUGCUCAGGCUAUUCUUCAACCUUAUCUCUGAAAAGUGCAUCCUUUUUUUUCAAAUGCUAUAGGUUAAUGAGUUUAAUUAAUAUACGAUUGCUUCACUUCUCAAAAAGUCCUUAUAAAGAUGUAGCUUAUCUGUCUAUAUAGUCAUGCAGCUCUAACGGCGGCCUUUUGCAGAACUGUCCGCCAGGAGAAAGGAUCAUCCUUGGCUCUACUCUUGAAGAAAGCCCUGCUACUCAAGCAUGCUUUCCUGCAAACUCGACUCAAGUUGCCAUAUGAAUUGACUUUCUUUCAUGUGGCCAUGCUUUGUGUAUUUUGAACGCAAUCGCAUUUUUUUUGGCUACUGGAAAUGAGUCAAUCUGGUCGAUAUUUCGGGUUAGUCAAAAAAAUGAAAGGACAAUUUAUUAUUAUGGAUUGAUCUUCCAGGAAUAUUAGCCUUCUGAGAAAAGAGAGAAUUUUGGGCAGCAGUACCUUUAAUCUGUUUGUGUUUAGAAAUGAUUUCAAAUAUAAUAUUGCUCUAACUUGUCGAUCGAAAAUGUUGUGACGUACGCCACUUUGCUCUUUUGGAUCAGAGCAGUGUGACCCUGAUUGAACUUGUUUCGACAUUAAACUAUCUAGUAUAGAAUACUCGACUUGCUUAGUAGUUGUAUCAUAUCUGGAAACACAGGCGGCCAGGAAGUUUUCUUUCCUCCCUUUGCUGUAAAAGGUCACCUUAGCCCCACUUUAGGUUAAAAUGUAAAAAGACCAAGAAGAAAGAAUUGCACAAUUAUCACCCCUCUUUGAAUGCCUCGAAGUCAUGGAUAGAUGGAUAACCCUACAUCUUCAGCUCAAGUUGCUGAAACCACUAGCAAGUCAAUGGGGAAAAGGCCAGCUUAUUGGACGUGACACUUUCGGAAGUGUUUACAUUGCAAGCAACUGGUAAGUUAGCUCUGGGAAACUUUGACAUGCUCAAUUUUUUAAACAUCCAGUCGGUUGAACUUUGACAUGUUCCGUGACAGAGAAACCAGAGUUCUGGGUGAAUGGAAGGAGUUUGAGCUAUUGCCUAAUGAUCCAAAUUUGGCUGAGUGCAUGAGGCAGUUUAAGCAGGUAAUGUUUUUGUUAUGCUUUGGCAANNNNNNNNNNNNNNNNNNNNNNNNNNNNNNNNNNNNNNNNNNNNNNNNNNNNNNNNNNNNNNNNNNNNNNNNNNNNNNNNNNNNNNNNNNNNNNNNNNNNNNNNNNNNNNNNNNNNNNNNNNNNNNNNNNNNNNNNNNNNNNNNNNNNNNNNNNNNNNNNNNNNNNNNNNNNNNNNNNNNNNNNNNNNNNNNNNNNNNNNNNNNNNNNNNNNNNNNNNNNNNNNNNNNNNNNNNNNNNNNNNNNNNNNNNNNNNNNNNNNNNNNNNNNNNNNNNNNNNNNNNNNNNNNNNNNNNNNNNNNNNNNNNNNNNNNNNNNNNNNNNNNNNNNNNNNNNNNNNNNNNNNNNNNNNNNNNNNNNNNNNNNNNNNNNNNNNNNNNNNNNNNNNNNNNNNNNNNNNNNNNNNNNNNNNNNNNNNNNNNNNNNNNNNNNNNNNNNNNNNNNNNNNNNNNNNNNNNNNNNNNNNNNNNNNNNNNNNNNNNNNNNNNNNNNNNNNNNNNNNNNNNNNNNNNNNNNNNNNNNNNNNNNNNNNNNNNNNNNNNNNNNNNNNNNNNNNNNNNNNNNNNNNNNNNNNNNNNNNNNNNNNNNNNNNNNNNNNNNNNNNNNNNNNNNNNNNNNNNNNNNNNNNNNNNNNNNNNNNNNNNNNNNNNNNNNNNNNNNNNNNNNNNNNNNNNNNNNNNNNNNNNNNNNNNNNNNNNNNNNNNNNNNNNNNNNNNNNNNNNNNNNNNNNNNNNNNNNNNNNNNNNNNNNNNNNNNNNNNNNNNNNNNNNNNNNNNNNNNNNNNNNNNNNNNNNNNNNNNNNNNNNNNNNNNNNNNNNNNNNNNNNNNNNNNNNNNNNNNNNNNNNNNNNNNNNNNNNNNNNNNNNNNNNNNNNNNNNNNNNNNNNNNNNNNNNNNNNNNNNNNNNNNNNNNNNNNNNNNNNNNNNNNNNNNNNNNNNNNNNNNNNNNNNGUAUAACAUAUUUGUAACUUUCAAUAGGGUCGCUGAUUCUGUUCAAAAAAAAAAAAAAUAGGGUUGCUGAUUAGAAUUCAAUACUUUGACCAAGUCUAAGGCUGCGUUUGGUUCAACAUUUGCAAUGGGCUUUGUUGAAAGCCCAAAGCUAUUUUGGGAGAAUGCAGUUGUGUUUGGUAAAAAAAUUUUGCAAAUGAACUUUGAGUUGAAGGUGCGUUUGGUAAAAAAAACAUUUGGAAAUGGCUUUAUGGGUAUUAUAUUUUCUUUUUCUUUUUUUUUUUGGAAAAAUUAGGUAAACCCUUCGCCGGACCGGCGAAGGGCUGCUCUUUUUCAUUUAAAAAAUAAAUAAAUACAGGGGCAACGGUGGGUUUUCAAAAAACUUUUGGGGGUAAAAUAGGAAAUAAAAUUUUCAUUAAAUGGACUUGAGCAUCCCGAAAAUGCUGAAGGCUCAAGGCUGGUCUCCACCAGCCUUGAGCUUUCAGCAUUCCCAAGGGGAAACUUUCACUUGAAAGCCCCUUGGGAAUGGUUGCCAAACACCCAUUUUUUGGGUGAAAGGGCUUUGGGGCUUGGAUGGGCUUUCUAAAUGCCCAUCCAAACGCACCCUAAGUCUCUCCCUUUCUCUCACACAUAGAAACAUGAUGAAAUGAUAAACGACGGAGACGUUUCCUGCGCGUGUUCUAAGCAAGUGUGCUGUUUUCUCUUGUGGCAGAGUCCCUCUCGAUUCUUCACCAAAACCUGUUCAUUCCCAUUUCUAGCAGCAGGUGAAUGCCCUUGCUCCUCUAGGAAUUGGGUUUCCGCCUUUGAAAGAAGAUGAGAAAGAAGUAGUCGAGAGAAGAGGAGAAGAGAAUUUUAUUUGUAUUAUGUAUAUCAUUCAAUGUACAAUGUCCACUAUGUUUAUAAUACAAAAUGUGUAUAAGAAAAGCAAGUAAAUAUUUUACAAUUUGGAUCCGAUUAGAUCCGAUACUAAAUGAUCGUGAUUGAUCUUGAAUGAUGUUGUGAAUCUUCAUGUGUAUCUUCUAACACUCCCCCUCAAGCUGAUGGCUUGUAAAUAUCUAAGAUGCCUAGCUUGCUUAGAAGAUAUGCGUGCUGGCUUUGACACAAGGGUUUGGCGAAGACGUCCGCUGGUUGCUCUUCUGUUCGGAUCCCUAGUGUCUCGAUUAUCCCUUGUUGGAUCUUUUCUUGUGCAAAUGGCAGUCCACCUCUAUGUGUUUCGUUCUUUCAUGAACUAUCNNNNNNNNNNNNNNNNNNNNNNNNNNNNNNNNNNNNNNNNNNNNNNNNNNNNNNNNNNNNNNNNNNNNNNNNNNNNNNNNNNNNNNNNNNNNNNNNNNNNNNNNNNNNNNNNNNNNNNNNNNNNNNNNNNNNNNNNNNNNNNNNNNNNNNNNNNNNNNNNNNNNNNNNNNNNNNNNNNNNNNNNNNNNNNNNNNNNNNNNNNNNNNNNNNNNNNNNNNNNNNNNNNNNNNNNNNNNNNNNNNNNNNCAUGUCGCAUAAUUUGCAUCACAAUAUGCAGUCAUCCUCUUAUCACAUUUCUUGGAGAGGAGAAUCUCAAGACCUGGACAUUUCUUCAAAUAUUUUACCACUUUGAGUGUUGCAUUCGUGUGGGACUGCUUUUGAUUGUGCAUGAAUUGACUAGGAGUUUGCACAACAUAAUUGAUGUCCGACCUGGUUAUAGUUAAAUAUAUGAGUUUCCUAACAAGUUUCUGAUAAGUCGUUGGAUCCUUAAUGUAGGAUCGGGUUCUUGAGAGAUUCCAGUAUCAUACUCUGCUGUGGUCAAUUUGAUAUUUUCUUGAUUGGAUUUAUAGCCAACUUACAUCCUGACAGUUCGGCUUCUAAUAUGAUUUCCAAGGCAAAUUUUCUCUGGUUGAGAGAUAUUCCUUGGUCUUAGCUAACUGGACAAGUAGCUUAAUACUAUUUGAAGGGGAGUCUAAAUUGGAUGGCUGCAGAGGUACUCUGCUUUUGUGAACGUCAAUGCUACAUUACUUUUUUUUUUUUUUUUUUAACAUGGUGGAAUGAUGUAGUCUAUCCUGUGGCUCAUACAAUCCUUGAUGGCAUAUGAUUACAGCACAUAUCUCAAUUGUACUGCUGACAUCUGAAGUUUGGGAAGUACUAUUUACAAGGAAACCUCCUUGGAGUGAGUAUGAGCGGGUAAGAAUGCUGCAUUGCUUUUCAUUUUCUCUAUUCGUCCUUCCAAGUAAUAUGCUUCCAACCAAAUCUGUGUUACCAUUUUCUGUUGGAAGUUCGGGACUGUGCAUAUUACCAUUUGUUAUGUGAUAUGUGUCUUUAGUUUCUAUUUAAGGUUUAAUAAUUAAUGUAGGCUCAAGCUAUAUUUAAGGUGAUGCAAAGUUCUCCACCAAUACCUAAGAUGUUAUCUGCCGAGGGAAAGGAUUUCCUGCAAUGCUGCUUUUGAAGAGAGCCUGCCGAGAGGCCCUUCAGUUGCUAUGCUACUUGAGCAUGCUUUCUUGCAAAUUUGAAGUGAUGACUGACUUAUUUCAAGUGCCAUACCUUGUUGAAAAAGUAAUGUCUUACUAUAAAGUUCCAGAUUUGCUAAACCAAAAGUAUCAUGAGGUCCAUAGGUGUGAUGAAGUACUUGUCUAUUGACAAAAUUAGAUGCAUGCCUGAGCGGUGGCAUACUUUGAUCUAGGCAAUUUGACAGUGUUGCCUAAUCUAAACGGAGAUCUAGGCAAUUUGAAAGUCUUGCCUAAUCUAAACAUUUUACUACGGAGUGCAUUCUUACCAUAGACAUUUUGUCUAUUACUUUAAUUUCAUCAAAAUUGAAUGGUAUUGAUAUGGCUCCAAAUAAGCAACAAAUCGGCAAAACACAAGCAAGAAACCCAGAAAAGAAAAAGGAAAAAGAAAAUCCAAGUGAUGAUGCAUCAGAAUCCCUGAAAUAAUUUUGGAAGCAAGUACUCCGUCGAUUUGGUUGGGGGAACAUUGGCAGGUUUGGCAAACCUGCAAUAUCUUAGGAUUGGGGAAGUGAAGAGAAGAGUAGCAAAGUUAUGGGCAUUGGAGGCUCUUGAUUCUUCCUUUAAGAAAGUCAAUCUCAACAAAUACAUGAGAUUUCUCCAACUAGAGUGGCUCUCAUCUCCAUCACCAAAUUCCGGAGAAUUAAGAAAAGCCAUUGGGUGUCUGUGGAUGUAAAUGAUGAUGAUUCGAGAUUUGUGACUUCCGAAAGGAGAAUUGACGUUGAUUGUUGCAAAUAGCUCGUGACUUGUGUCUAUAUUUCAUCUUGUGUCUAUGAAAUGCAAAUAGCCCAUGAAUUUUGUUUAAAAUAUCUCACAUCAUUCAUUUACGAGAUUUUAAUGGGCCUAAUAUUUAUUUAAUUUCCCUUCAAAUAUUUAUUCAAAUUUUUGGGUUGGACUUCCUCAUGCGUGCGUGAUGUCAUUAUUGCACUAGUAUAUUGCGUUAUAUACUCAUCACCAAUACAUCGCAAGAUUCAUCGUGACAGGGGCUUUUGCUCAUGGGGCUAUGAAAAAGUUAAGUGCUAAAAAAAUAUCAACUCUAUAUUUUUUAUGAUAUACUAAACAAUUUUAAAGACUAUGAUUGGCCUUAGUAAGUAAGUCACAUUUUACAUUUUCACAUUAUUUGGCACACAAAAUGUUGAUAUAAUUAGUAUUAAUUCAGGGGCCGCAAUUGUAAUUGGCUCAAAGGUGAGUGCAUCUUCAUAAGUAAUACCGGCAAACUCCUUUUGAGAUUAUCCUUCCUAGGGCAUGUUCUCCUACUUAGAUAACCUGAUAAUUUUCCUCUUUUUUUCUGAUAGUAUAAUUUAAUUUCCCUUUAUUAAUUUCCUCUGUCUAGAUCUAGUGCAUCUCUCUACUCGUGCGUUCGUUCCUGGUGAAAUAAGGGGAUUAAAUUAAUCUUGUUGGCUAACUGUCAACAUCAAUUAAGACAUCAAUUAAGCUUUCUCUCUCUCUCUUCAUAAAUACUUAUACACACAGCUCUUACUGUGUAUUUUUAUCAAUAAUUUCUUUUAAUUAUUUAAUAAUUCAAAUAUUUUAUAAACAAAGACUUGAAUUAAAAUUUGUAAAUACCANNNNNNNNNNNNNNNNNNNNNNNNNNNNNNNNNNNNNNNNNNNNNNNNNNNNNNNNNNNNNNNNNNNNNNNNNNNNNNNNNNNNNNNNNNNNNNNNNNNNNNNNNNNNNNNNNNNNNNNNNNNNNNNNNNNNNNNNNNNNNNNNNNNNNNNNNNNNNNNNNNNNNNNNNNNNNNNNNNUUUUCUUAUGACUCUCGCCUGCAUUUGGACUCUUAUCUCCAUUUUCGUUUUCUUUUGUUCUUUUGCCAAACCCUAACCAUAAUGCGCCUUUUCUUUUUUGUCCCUUUGUUCUCGCCCUUUUCUUUCGUACAACUCGCUCUUCUUUUCCAGCUGUUCUUUUUUUCUUCUUUUUUCGGUUCUCUGCCCAAACCCUUAAUGAAGACUAAUUGGUGUACGAUGACAUUGAGCGCCAUCGUCGACCGAUCAAGUUCGCUAAACUCAAGUCAUCAACGGACUGACUAUCCUUGUUUGAACAGGAGCUUCCACCAGCGUGGCAGGAAAAUGAAAACAAAAACUCAAGCAAGAACUCAUUGAUUUUCUAAGAUUUGGUCAUAAGUAUCGAUGAAAAGAAACUUUAAUACUGCUGCUCCGAGAAUGGAAGCACUCCCAACAAGAAAACCCAAGUGAUCGAAUUCAAUUCACGGCGGAUGAUGCGAGUUUAACAGUCAUUCUCUACGACAAUCACAAUAGCGAUGCAGUAAUUUUGAACUCCCCAGUGAGAUGUCUCUUGAUGCGGCAGAGGAAUCCAAUCUAUUACUUUUUUAUAUCAUCACUAAAAUUUUGUUACAUAAUUUAACUUACAAUUGUAUCAUCUACAUGAAAAUUCGAAAUACGAUCUAACUAAACGGAAUAAAUCGAAUCUCACUAAAUCGAAAUGUUAAACAGAAAAUAGAAUGCCCAGAUGAGAAUCUGACUUGACAGUCUAGAAAAAAACUGGAAUUCUUUCUGAUAAAUCUUUAAGUUCUAACUAAAACAUGUACUGUGUUUCUAGCUGAUGUCUCCUUCUGUUUUCCUUUCUUGCCGACUAGCUCUAUACGUAAGGACCGGGUCGUGAUGGUGUGAAUGCUUCGCCGGGGAGUCUCGACUAAAAGCAGCCUCCCUCCGACCGGGAUUCACCUGCUUUUCACCUUUUGCUUUUCACACUAAAUCUUUGCUGAAGAUAUGGUCAUUCAUCGUGAGGGUGUGCUGCAAUUUCUCCGCUGCCGUUGCCUUCUUGACCACGUUCUUCUCCUCAUCAGAGCAAUCUCCACCGAAGCCCACCGACAGUUCCACUUGCGCUCUUCUUUUAUUUCAAGUCUUUUUCAACUUUCUCUGCUUUCGGUUCCGCAUGGCCCGACCAUGUCCCCUCGUCCUUGUCUCGGUGUUCAGUUAGUCGGCACGUUUCCACCGUAUCGUGUCUCACGAGAAUUUGCUCUCCAUUUUUGCAGAAUUUCAGCUCUUCCCUUUCUGUUCCUUUUUUGUGUUUUCACACUUCUAUUUCCCUUCCUUCGCACUCGCACGAAUGCCGUGUCGAAAGUGGACUCAAGUUGACCAUUUCGGUUCACAAAAAUUCGCAAUUUUAUUGGAAACGGUCUGUAAUUUUAAAUGCGAAAGAAUGCAAUAGAGAUUGAGAAUGUGAGAUUACAAAUGCUUUUUUUUUUUUAAUAAGGGGUCAAAUUAUCAGUGAAUUUGAUUGCUGAAUUUCAUGAGAAUGCGGAUAGGACCUUUAGGUGAAAAUCUGUGUCAACAAUAAUUUUCCUCAAAAGUUAGCAAGUUGUUAUUCCUCUUUAAAUUAUCCCUUCGUUGAAUUUUUUUAUUAUUUAUUUUUGCCUAAAGAUCCAAACUGUAUACGAAAUUGAUCUGGUAAAUUAAUUAGUAUAUGUAAAAUUCCAAGUCUGAUUCGAGAUUUAUGCGAUGUAAAUAAGCAGCACUACUUCUGAAGUUUUCCUAAUUAAUGUUAUGCAAAUCAUUUCUAGAGGGAUAAAAGAACUAAUUGACACUUUUCUUAUAGCUAAUGAUUUAUGGCACAAAGAUACUAACAGUCGAGAGAUGCUGUGGGUUUUUUGAAAGGUUAAGCGCUGGGGGAGCCUCCAUUUUAUAGUGGAGACAGACAGACAGAGGAGAGAGAGAGAGAGAGAGAGAGAGAGAGAGACCAAUGGCAUCGGUAUUGAAACUUGCAAAGAAGAGAAGAACUAGCACAUACCACAAAGUGCUAAUUCCUACCUCUAAAAUGACGACCGUGUAGCAACUCUGAGAUUGUUACGCUAUCGGACUCGUCCCCUCUGUCUGAUUUGGACAACUCAGCAACUGCAGACUUGACAUGUGAUCACCAAAUAACGUUCAUUGAAGAUGAAAAUUGUUGAGAAGGACACUGUCGAUGGCUAUUUGAAGGCACGCGAUCACCAUUGCUGCAAAAUUAGGAUAUUGGAAUCACGAUGGACGCUCUCUCCCUUGCGUGAUGCCCCCGCCAAACACUCGCUUAAAGCAGAGCAUAUAAAACAAGAUAAAGCCACCUAAUCCCGUCCUUCGCGCGCGUCCCAUUCGAGCGUUUUCAGUAUUCUCUCCAAUAGCGCAGAGACAAAAAGAAGUGACGCAGCCGACUGACUUUUGGAUUGUACCCAUUUGAAAAAUGCACAGCAAGUGCGUAUAAUUGGGCUCUGAUCACCCCUCCUCUCCAUCGCUUUGCCUCCUCUGGUGUUUCCCUUUAUAAAUACGAGCAGGGAAUACAUCCAUCUUAUUUAACAUAACUGAUCCUAUCCCCUCUAUGGUGAGUUCCUUAUACAUUUAUUAUAUGUGCAGUUGAUUUGUUGAAGGCUGGUGCUACUGUGAUUUUGCGCAAUGCAAAGAUCGAUAUGUUCAAGGGUUCAAUGAGGCUAGCAGUUGAUAAAUGGGGCCGUGUCGAAGUCACAGAACCUGCAGAUUUCACAGUAAAGGAGGACAACAAUCUCUCCAUGAUUGAAUAUGAGCUGGUAAAUGUUGCGGACGAGUAGUUGAUAUCUGAUUGCAGCAUCGUCAUACUUUAAGAAUUUCUUAGGUUGUUAUAGUCAGUUUCUUAUUAUAGUUUCCUGAUAUAUCUACUUUUAUGUCCGAGAUUCUACUUUUGACAAUGAUGGAGUGGGAAGGUUUCUAAUUUCCAGGGUCUAGAUUUGGAUUUUACUACUGAAUCCUUCCUUCUAUACAUCACUCUGCAUUAUGAUCGAUGCUGUAUAAUGCUAGCCCGAACUUUCAUGCUCAAUAUCAACGUGGUAAAUACAUUUCUGUGAUGAAUCCAAUUAUGCAAUCACAAAUUCUUGAUGUAGUGAGCCAAACAUGUAGGUUUGUUAUGGAUUUGGUUCUAUAACUAGGAUUAAUCAAACAUGCACACAUCUGUUCUUUUCCCAUGAUGGAUGCACUAUUAUAAAUCUGGGGCGUCGGUCAGUAAGCUCAUUAAUUUUAAGCUACGCAAAGAUACUAAUAGUUGACCUAUAUAAGUGUGGAGUGGAGCCGCUCCUGUGAGAAUUUUUGGCGAAAUCUUUAAAGCACUUAUGAAUAAACCAAGCACGCACAUAGCCUAUUAGCACAAAACCGCGUUGAACAACAAAGUUUGUGGGAGUGUAAUGUGAUUAGUGAAAAUUAUAAUUCACAAAAAGAAAUUCUUGGUUCAUAGAAGUUUCAAACUUCACCAAUGAUUUCGUGAAUUAUAUUUCAUUCUUUCUAGGAUUGGUUCAUAGCCUAACAAGCAUAAGUUCUGAUGCAUUACUCUCCAAUAACCCAGUAUUAUUAUAUUUUUCUUGUCAAAACUUUUUGAAAUAUGUGGGGGAUUGUUGGAUAUUUCAGUAGUUUUGAAAUAUUUAUUAGAAAUUAUUAUCGUCAUGAAAGUCAUCAUUUUUGUAACGGCUUUUUAACGGUCAUAUAACGGCUUUCUAAUGGUUGUGUAACGGUCUUCUAACAGCUUUAUAAAUUUUGAUUUAUUACUUCAUAAACUCUUCAUUAUUUUAUAACGGUCAUCUUUUUAAUUACUAAUUGAUUUAUGAUGAUCUCCUAACGGCUCUCUUUUCCUUGUUUAAAUAUAAAUUAAACUUCAAACCACAAUCGUAGCAAUACAAUGUGUUCACACAUCUUUCCUUUUCUUCUUGCUGGGUUAUACACAAAAGUUGUUCUGUUUCCUUCUAAUAUUCAGUGUAGAGUAUAGAGGAAGGUCUGUUGUAUCUUGAGAGGAUAGCCACCGAAGCUUUACGCACCGAGUUUCGUACUCCGAGGGGCGGAAUUAUCCUUAAGGACAGUGCUUGCACGCCUCAGACAUUUCAUUUUAUUUUCUAAUCUUUUGUAAUGCAUUUCCAAUAAUAAUUAUUAUUUUAUGUAUUCUAAUACUUUUUCCAACAGAUUUUCCAUAUAGAAUUCUCUCAAAUUAAAAGGCGAUGAAAUGACACCCGUUGAAAUUGUAAAUUCUGUGAAUGGGGUACAAUAAUCGUAAGCUUUAUUCUUUAUUCUUGGACAAGGUCUCUAACGGCAUAUUAUUGUUUGGCUGGAUGGGGUUUUAAUUAAUGUGAACACAUCACUUUUAAGAUUCUGACUUUUUGUUAUAAACUCUACAUAGACAAAGUAGUCUCUUUAGUGAUGCAAAUUAAGGAGAAUAUGGAUCGUCUUAGGGUCUUGCGUACAAUAUGAGCCACUUGGACUGCAAACUAUUUGCACUUCCCAACCAGGCAUUCAUGAAUUGCAUUAUAAGUACUCAAAGAUUCCUAAAGUUUUGGUUGUCACGUAAUCACAAGAUGACUUGUCAUAAGUAUAAUUUUGUAAUAUGAAGGGUGUGUUUAUUUUACUGAAAAUUUCGUAAUAAAGGAAAAUAUUUUUCAUGAUAAUCAUUUUUAAAGAAAAUAGUUAGUUUUCAAUUUUUUUUGGUGAUUUAGGGAAAGUGAUUUCCUCUUUGCCAAAAGAAAAAGUUGUUUUCCCAUGUCUAAGCUUGUUGUUUUCAGUUCACUUAUAUGUAAAUUGAUUAAUCUUCUGUCAACUAAACACUGAAAAGUCGAAAAAUAAUUUUUCAGGAACAUUUUUCCUUCAAUCAAACAGACCUAAAAUAGGAUUUCAAUGUAGAUUUGGGAUGCCAUAGAGAGGUUGAUCCCAAAAACCCUCGAUGCUACUUCAUUGGCCAAAGAGACCGCUGCCUACUUGUGGGUGUAAAAAAUAAAAAUGCCUACAUAAAUGUGUAUAUAUAUAUUGGUCGAAUGGUAGGUGCAAAUGCAACAAUCAAAAGAUUUAAAACAGAUUAAACUUUCAGUCAAUUUUUCAGUUAUUUUAUUUAGAGCUAAUAAGUUAUUCAAUGUUAGUACCUCAUAACGUUUAAAGUCGCCAUGAUUCUUUUCUGUUAAUUUAAGUUAAUUUUGUUAAUUAUUUUGGGAGAACGAAGUUAAUACACCGUUAAAUAAUAAGACUAUAUAAUCAACAACCCUAAUUAACUAUAAUCCACGGGCAUAAUUCUGGUGUUUUCUUUCUUCCAUAGUUAUUUGGAAUUUACUAGGCCUGGAAAUCUUCUAUGUAACUCUUGAGUAUUAUUCUGAGAAAGGAAUGUAAUUUUUCUUUUGAUUUAAAAAAAGAAGAAGAAGAGACCCUCUAACAAUUAGAUCUAGCAGUAAUUCGAUCAACUAGUGGCUUGCAAUCUGUCUGUUGACCUCAGUCAUGAGAGGAAUACCCGAAUACCUAACAUGUAGAUGACCUCUCUGAAACCCACACAAAUCCGGUAUGCCAGAAACUAGAAUGUCAAAUGUGUAGAAUCACUUCAGGACCAGACAUUUCCCUAAAGAACCUUAAAGCUUGAAGACGCGUCACCCUUAAAAGACAACAUCAGAUCACCAGCAAAAGACACAUGGUUGAGUUGAAUCUUGGCACAAUAAGGAUGACACCUGAUUCUCCCGGCCUGAUUGGCUGCAUUCUCCUGGAUCAACACCUCCAUUGCAAUUACAAGAGGAUAGGGAGAGAGGAUCACCCCCCUCCAAGAAUCCAUUUACUUCUACAGGAAGGUUAGGAGUUGUGAUGCAAAGCUCGACCCAAUUUGACAAAACAAAGCAGAAACCCUAGUAGAUUUCAGAAUUUCCAAGAGGAAAUCCCAAUUUAAGGAGUCAAAAACCCUACCAUAAGUCAGUCUCUGUCAAGUAUCUCGGAGAUACAUCAAUCCUAUGAUGAUGCUUGACUAAUUUAAAGACUACCAAAAUAUUAUCUACUCGAAUAUUUCUACCUUCUAUACAAGUGCACACCGAUUCACGUUAAUGAAAAGAAGGCAAAACUUUUACUUAGCUCAUUGGCCAAGAUUUUUGCAAUCCACUUAUUAUAAAGAACUAUAGUGACAAAUUUUUACUUUAAUUUUGUUGAAUUGGAAAUGAAAUUUUGUUUUCAAUGUAAAAUCUUUUCAUAGAAGUUGCCCAUAACAAUGGGCGAUGCUGUCAAAUGAUUGAGGAUCUGGACACGCGCGUCAAGGGAGACAGAAUCAAUGGUGCAAUUCUGAUCAAACGUUGCCAUCAUAUUACACCUCCAAUCCCAUCGUACCUUACAAAGAGUCCAUUAGGACCUUGGGCGAUCAAGUCAAUGGCUCCCAAUCAAACCCAACAUAUAGAAUAAUUUCUUUUAUUUUUUCUAAUGAUUGCUUUUGCCACUGAAUGAUAAAAUAAAAUAUCGUCUUUAUUCAAAUGGCCAGAGCCAGAGAGGGAAGAGAAAAGGCCUUUUCUAUAAUGGAGGCACAUAUGCUCUUGAGCCUAAAUUCCUAAUAGAGCCAAUGGCUCUUUCAUCUUUUCAAUCCCCCCCCCCCCAAGAACACCUACCUUCAUUAUCACACUUCCCCCAUCAAAUCCCUACCAUAGGUGGCAGCAGGUAUGCUAUCCUACAGUAGUUUCGAACUUUGAUGUUCUUUUUUGUUGGGGUUUAGAUGCUUCGGAGGUUGGAAAUGUGGGUGAUUCCAAAGUUCAUGUGUUCUCGUCAUCAUCCGAGGUAAAACCCAUCAUGAUGUUUCCCUUGAUCCAGGUUAUUGGCGCUUUUCAGUUAUGUGCAUGUGUAUUAGUGUCUUUAGUUACGGUGCUUAUGAAUGGAUCAAAAUCACAACUGGAUAGGCAAUUGUAAAUGAUUUCCCUGCUUUAUAACAACUUGCCAAAUGAUGGGAUUGGUUCGAGGAUGUUCGAUUUUGGCCCAAACAAUUGUGGGCGGGACACGUUCUUCCAGGCAAUAAUAGCUGAAUGAAUCCGUAGUGCCUUGUAAUCGUCAAUUUGUGGUUGAGAUUUUAAUAGCAGGAAGGGCAGGUGUUUGAAGAAUUUGAUGAUAAGGCGAUGAAUUUUAUUUGCCUCAGCUAUGUACUAGGAUGUGAAGUUAAAGCUACCAAAAUUUUGCAUCGAUCUCCAUUGAAUGCGGUUGAACCUCUUGCUAACUGACUUCCGCCCUAGGAAAAGAUUUGCAAUCCGAAGAAGCUUGAGCUAGGCCAUUGUUUCCCAUCUUCACAGAUCCGAAGUCACCUGACCUGUAUGAUGUAAAGAAAUCCCUACGAGACGUAGCAUGAACGGAUGCACCACUAUCAAUUACCCAACUGGUCUCAUGAGAUACAAAAUUCACCACAUCACCAUAAAAAAUAGUGAGAAAGUCUUCUUUAAGUGUAGCGACACGAUUGUCAUCACUGUCAUUAUCACUUUUCUCCUCUUUACUUUUCUCCUUUUGUUUCUACCUUUUUAACUGGCGACAAAACCUCUGAAUAUGUCCCUUUCUGAUGACAAUAAUGGCACUCAACAUUAGCAAAUUUAUUAUACUUACCUCUGCUUUUAUCUCGACUUUUAUCUCUACUUCUUAGACCUCGAGACUCACUUCUCCCCAUUUUCUCGACAACCAAGGCAUUAGAAUGUGAAGAGGAUGAUUAAAUAAAACUGAACAACCACUAAGUAUCAUUAGCUCGCUAAGCAAGGAUUAGUGAGAUUAUUCACCGAAAUCGCGCGCAACCCGGAUCAAAUCGACGGGCACGACGUGGGGAAUGAGACUCCCCAAAGCACGGCUUGGGUUCGAGGCCCGGAAACGGCCCAAAACGAGCCCGAAGGGGGCUGGAAAACCCACUCGUGGGUCACUGCCCUUGGCUGGCCGAAGCUAUUUCGGUGGCCAAAACGGCGAGGGGAGGCCGGCGAAGGGUGAGGGGGACGCUGGGGAGGUUGGGACGGCGGCAGGGCGGAGCUGGGUGGCGGUUGAAGGCGUUGGCCGAGCUGGGCAAGGGGGGAAUGUCAAGUAGUUGUUCGUGCAAUAGUUAUCUCAGCGAAGGGGCAUGUUUGAAACCCAUCAUUCUAGCUUUGCGCCUUUUCGCUCAUUUCGUUUAUGCAUGCCCAUAAAGCAAGCGAACAAGUGCAUAAAAAUUUAUGCUACUUUGAGCAAAAAAAUCUUAAUUGUCAUGCAAUAUAUUGAGGUUCUACCAACAUUGGAGAAAGCAGACCAACUCUAGAAAAUACAGAGCAAUAUGUUCAUGGAGUCAAAGUCAACGUUGAAAAUAGAUCAACUCUAGAAAAGACAAACAUGGAAAUAUAUUCACGGAGUGGGGGAAAAGAAGAUAAACUGAACAUCGAAUAGAGGACUACAGUCCAAAAAUCACUGUGAUAAAGUGCAUAGCCUGAUGAAACUAUUCCAGUCCGGCUGGAGUUGGAGGAUCUCCACCUCUUAGAGUGUGGUUAAGAUGGAAGUGUCCAUCCAUCAAUUGUCGAUAAUUCGACAUCAUCGUAUCCAUAUAAGUUCCCAUUGCAUUGACAACGGCUUCUGUCAUAUCUUUCAGUGCUAUAAUUGCUCCUUAUUGAAUGCCCUAAAGUGGAAGUCCAAAACGCACUCCGAUAAAGUGCAUAGCUUGAUGAAUCUGUUCCAGUUCGGCUGGAGUUGGAAGAUUUCCACCUCUUAGAGUCUAGUUAAAAUGGAAGUAUCCAUCCAUCAGUUGUUGAUAAUUCGACAUCAACGUAUUCAUAUCAGUUCUCACUGCAAUGACGAUGGCUUCUGUCAUAUUUCAGAGUGCUAUAAUUCCUCCUUGCUGAAUGCCCUGAAGGGGAAUUCCCUGAUCCUGCCCUGGCUAUUCUUCUUGUCCAUUAAGAUCCUCUCCUUGUCCGUCAGCCUCAUCUCCUGCAAGAGCGCCCCUGGUCUAUUUCCCCUUCAAGUGGAAUUCCCUGCUGAAUGCCCUGAAGGGGAAUUCCCUGAUCCUGCCCUGGUUGUUCUUCUUGUUCAUUAAGAUCCCCUCCUUGUCCGUCAGCCUCAUCUCCUGCAAGAAUGCCCCAGUCUAUUUCCCUUUCAAGUGGAACAUGCUGCGCGAGAGCAGCAUAAUCAAAGUAAUCUUCAAAGUCUUGAUCUUUAAAGUUGAUAUCAUCAACGCUUAAAUCAUUCUUAGGUAAACCUGAAUAAACAGCUCCAUGAGCUGGUUGAUUGACAAUGGGUACUAGAGGAGCUGGUUGAUUGACAAUGGGCACUACAGAUUGAUUAACAAUGGGUAAGACAGGAGUUGCUUCAGGAUCAAUUAUUCCAAAUUGUUGUCGGAACGCCUCUCUAAUAUGUGCAGGGAUUUGACUGCAUCUUUUGAUCUCACGCGUCACCCUCGGCACUCAAGACAGAUGUAUUCUGAUUCUUGGGGUGGCUGAGUGGCCACCACAUAUGAAUUGAUGGACCUCAAUUAAUGCGCAUCUAAAUUGAUGGACCUCAAUUAAAGCCCAAACAAUAAACACUAAUCUAACCACCUAAGCCUAGUUAAAAUAAAACUAAACAACCACUAAGUAUCAUUAGCUCGCUACGUAAGGAUUAGUGAGAUUACUCCCCAGAAUCGCGCGCAACCCGGAUCAAAUCGACGGGCACGACGUGGGGAAUGAGACUCCCCAAAGCACGGCUCGGGUUGGAGGCUCGGAAACGGCCCAAAACGAGCGUGAAGGCGGCUGGAAAACCUACUCGUGGGUCACUGCCCUUGGCUGGCCGAAGCUAUUUCGGUGGCCAAAACGGCGAGGGGAGGCCGGCGAAGGGUGAGGGGGACGCCGGGGAAGUUGGGACGGCGGCAGGGCGAAGCUGGGCAGGGGGGAAUGUCAAGUAGUUGUUCGUGCAAUAGUUAUCUCAGCGAAGGGGCAUGUUUGAAACACAUCAUUCUAGCUUUGCGCCUUUUCGCUCCUUUCGUUUAUGCAUGCCCAUAAAGCAAGUGAACAAGUGCAUGCCCAUAAAGCAAGCGAACAAGUGCAUAAAACUUUAUGCUACUUUGAGCAAAAAAAUCUUAAUUGUCAUGCAAUAUAUUGAGGUUCUACCAACAUUGGACAAAGCAGACCAACUCUAGAAAAUACAGAGCAAUAUGUUCAUGGAGUCAAAGUCAACGUUGAAAAUAGACCAACUCUAGAAAAGACAAACAGGGCAAUAUAUUCAUGGAGUGGGGGAAAAGAAGAUAAAUUGAACAUCGAAUAAAGUACUACAGUCCAAAAAUCACUGUGAUAAAGUGGAUAGCCUGAUGAAGCUGUUCCAGUUCGGCUGGAGUUGGAGGAUCUCCACCUCUUAGAGUCUGAUUAAGAUGGAAGUGUCCAUCCAUCAGUUGUCGAUAAUUCGGCAUCAGCGUAUUCAUAUAAGUUCCCAUUGCAUUGACAACGGCUUCUGUCAUAUCUUUCAGUACUAUAAUUGCUCCUUGUUGAAUGCCCUGAAGUGGAAGUCCAAAACGCACUCCGAUAAAGUGCAUAGCUUGAUGAAUCUGUUCCAGUUCGGCUGGAGUUGGAAGAUUUCCACCUCUUAGAGUCUAGUUAAACUGGAAGUAUCCAUCCAUCAGUUGUUGAUAAUUCGACAUCAACGUAUUCAUAUCAGUUGUCACUACAUUGACGACGGCUUCUGUCAUAUUUCAGAGUGCUAUAAUUCCUCAUUGCUGAAUGCCUUGAAGGGGAAUUCCCUGAUCCUGCCCUGCCUAUUCUUCUUGUCCAUUAAGAUCCCCUCCUUGUCCGUCAGCCUCAUCUCCUGCAAGAGCGCCCCGGUCUAUUUCCCCUUCAAGUGGAAUUCCCUACUGAGGAAUUCCCUGCUGAAUGCCUUGAAGGGGAAUUCCCUGAUCCUGCCCUGGCUGUUCUUCUUGUUCAUUAAGAUCCCCUCAUUUUCUGUCAGCCUCAUCUCCUGCAAGAGCGCCCCAGUCUAUUUCCCCUUCAAGUGGAACAUGCUGCGCGAGAGCAUCAUAAUCAAAGUAAUCUUCAAAGUCUUGAUUUUGAAAGUUGAUAUCAUCAAUGUUUAAAUCAUUCUUAGGUACACCUGGAUAAACAGCUCCAUGAGCUGGUUGAUUGACAAUGGGUACUAGAGGAGCUGGUUGAUUGACAAUGGGCACCACAGAUUGAUUAACAAUGGGUAAUACAGGAGCUGCUUCAGGAUCAAUUAUUCCAAAUUGUUGUCGGAACGCCUCUCUAAUAUGUGCAGGGAUUUGACUGCAUCUUCUGAUCUCACGCGUCACCCUCGGCACUCCAGACAGAUGUAUUCUAAUUUUUGGAGUGGCUGAGUGGCCACCACAUCUGAAUUGAUGGACCUCGAUUAAUGCGCAUCUGAAUUGAUGGACCUUAAUUAAAGCCCAAACAAUAAACACUAAUCUAACCACCUAAGCCUAAUUAAAUAAAACUAAACAACCACUAAGUAUCAUUAGCUCGCUAAGCAAGGAUUAGUGAGAUUAUUCACCGGAAUCGCGCACAACUCGGAUCAAAUCGACGGGCACGGCGCGGGGAAUGAGACUCCCUAAAGCACCGCUCGGGUUCGAGGCUUGGAAACGGCCCAAAAUGAGCCCAAAGGGGGCUAGAAAACCCACUCGUGGGUCACUGCCCUUGGCUGGCCGGAGCUAUUCCGGUGGCCAAAACGGCGAGGGGAGGCCGGCGAAGGGUGAGGGGGACACGUGAGGUCGGGACGGCGGCUGGGAGAGGCAUUUCAGAGAAAUACUACAAAGAUUUUGGAGUGCUUAAUAGGGAAUCAAGUAUCCUAAUAAGGCAUUUAUGGGAUGGGAGGUGUUGGUAAAACGACUAUUAUGGUGCAUAUAUAUAAUAAGCUCAUUGAAAAAGCAAAUUAUCAUUGGUUGUGGGUCACUAUGUCAAAAGAUUUUAACACACAAAAGUUGCAGGAAGACAUUUGGAAGGAACUAAAAGUGGGCACACAACUAGAAAAGGAUGUGAGGAAAGGAGCAGCAAUGUUGUCCAAUGAUUUAACAAAAAGAGGGAAGUCUAUAAUAAUCCUCGAUGAUGUGUGGGAAUAUUUCAAUCUUGAAGAGGUGGGAAUCCCUGUUAAAGCAGAUGAAAUUAAGUUGGUCUUAACCACUCGAUCCCAUGAUGUAUGCUACCAAAUGCAAUGUCAAGAGAAGAUAAAAAUCGAACCUCUAUCUCUAAAAGAAGCUAAGAGUUUAUUUUUUGAGGAGAUUGGAUCUGAAGUGGCUCUUAAUUUGGAAAUUGAAGCAGUUGUAAAGUCCAUUGUUAAAGAAUGUGCAGGCUUGCCGCUUGGAGUCAUCACAAUGGCAGCAAGCAUGCGAGGAGUGACCGAUGGGUUUGAAUGGAGGGACUCCCUGGUUAAAUUGGAAGAAUCAAGUAAGGGGCAAACAGAUAUGGAGAAGGUCUUAAUGAAUCUGAAAUUCAGUUAUGAUCGCCUUGGUAAUCCCGAUGUCCAACAAUGUUUCUUAUCCUGUGCACUUUAUCCAUAAGAUAAAUUGAUUGGUAAGGUUGAGUUGAUAGAAUUCUUUAUUGACCAAGGAUUGAUUAAAACCAUAAUCUAAAUUCAAAACAACUAUUCUUAUGCGCUCCACAUCAACUCCAGUAUUGUUUCCAACUUUAAGCUUUAACUCCCUUGGACUUGAAUUUCUUAGAUUUGUGAGACCCUGUAAGGUAGUGGUCACAAGAGCAGUAGCACCAGAUUCAAGCCACCAAGAAUCCAAAAGAUUAUCAACUAUAUUUGAUUAAAAAAAAAAAACCAACAACUCACCUUGGUGACUUUCUUUUCUUGCUUUUAGCCAAGCUUGGAACUUAUAGCAAUUGGCUCUCUUGAGACCCUGCUUUUUACAGUGAAAACACUUGAAAUCAUUAUCUCCAUUUUUUUCCAGGAUUCCCAUUUUUCUUGAAGUCUUGGCCUUUCUUUGGACCAUGAGCAUUUGACCCUUUAGGCUUCCAUUUUCCUCUAGAUGAAUUCAACUUGGCAUUGGCAAUUAAGUGAGCGGACUCAUACUUCCUUCUUUAACUUCUCUUCCUUAGUUACACAUUUGGUAAUCAAGGCAUUGACGCUUCAUGUCUCAUUCUGAGCACUAUAAGUAGUCUUAAUCUAACUAAAUUCAGCUGGUAAAACAUUUAAGGCAUGAUGCACAAUAUAAUUUUUAGAAAUGACAAUUUCAUGGGCCUUAAGUUUGGACUGAAUGUGGACCAUCUUCAGUAUAAAUUCUCUCACACCCUAGCAGCAUCAUAUCUCAUGUUCGUUAACUUAUUCAGCAAGUUCCCAACUUCAGCUUUAUCUGAGACUCUAUAUCUUUCUCCCACUGAUUCAUAAAACUGUCUCACAUUCGUAUCUUCCAGCAAACCAUUAACGAGAUGCUCAACAAUUGACCUCCUCAUAGCAAUGAGGCUUAGUUGGUUAGAUUUUUCCCAUCUAGCAUAAUGGGCCUUUUGAUUUGCAGGACUUUGAUCAUUGGGCUUGGAAGGUUCAUCCUCACGUAGAGUCAAGUCCAUAUCCACGAUGCCCAUAACAAACUCUAUAUCUUGCUUCCAUUUCUUGAAGUUUGAUCCAGUUAACAUUUCAACUGUGGGAUUGUUAUUAUUUAUAACAAAUGUAACUAUUUGUCACAUAAUGCAAUAAGAUCAAUUAUGGGCAAUAAGGUAUUCAACAAAAAAUAAUUAAUACAUCAUAAACUCCCCUUUGGACAGAGUGUACAAUGCACCAUUAUUUUCCACAGCAUGAAGUUUAUAAAUCAACAACAACAAAAAUUACAUAUAAUUGUCAAUGAUCCAUACCCGUUGGGCAGAAAGAUCCUUUAAAUUAUACAUCUCCAUAAUAUCAAUAUAGAUGGGGAUUACAUAUUUUUUCAAAACAUUUAUCCCCUUUGGGCAGAUAAAUAUUUUUCAAUUAUAUACCCCUAACUUUUAAAUUCGGGAAUUAAUCUUCAUGCUAUUUUCCAAAUUAAUAUAUACAAUAACUCCAUUUGGGUGAAUUAUUGUAUAUACUAAUUUUUAUCAAUAGGGCACUCCAAAAAUUUAUGCCCAUAAUUCACUGAACAAUAUAAAUCACUUUACAAUAUGUGCUUCCCAAGAUCAUAUUGCAUUUAUCACGCAAUAAUUUUUUGCCACAUUUUUUUAAAAUUCUAUUUUUUAUUAUUAUUUAAAUAUUUCGGACCCUCUCGCGGGCCCUGACCUUUGCCCGGCCUAUAUACCCGCAAGAGCCCACGCGGGCCACUUGGAAUGGGCCCAUCACUUCUCUUAAUUAAAAUUGGCUCAUGAAUUGAGCUAUAGGCCCAAAGAAAAGUAAAUUGGGCUCACGCCCAUUAAAAAAAUAUAAAGGUUCUAGGCUACGCCCAAAACCCGAAACAUAAAAAAGAAAGGAUGGGCGAGCCCAUCCAUUGGCCCGGCCCGGCUAGAGGUCUUCUUCAACCUCCAGCCGGGUCCUAAAUCUCUACAAAAUGGGGUCGCACGAUCCAGUUUUGACCUGGAACCAAAAAAAAAAAACCCAUUAACUUGAUUUUUGAUGAAAUCUCUCCAUAGAUCUUGCAUCUAACAUCUGUUGGAUGUAAAACGUGCAACCCCAAGAUUUCCAUAACAGACAAGAACACACAUAAUUGAGUAGAAAGAUUAACGCACCUAUUUUGGGAUCCAUCGUUUUUGAAGCGGAAGCAAAAAUCGAUGAUCCACGCACAAGUCCUUCUCAUUUAUUGCCCUCUGUAUCACUGGCUCAAUGAGACGGCCCCCUCACCCUUUAGCAUAAAUCACCUAAUUCACAUAUACAACAUGCAAUUUCAUAACUCAUCAUCAGAUGACCAAUCCAGCAUUCAAUUCUAAAACCUGACCAUAACAGAGCAGUCAGAGCGCAUUUCUAACGAUUGGUCAUCCCGGUCGAAUUCCCGAAAAAAUUUAAUUAAUGAAAUAAUUAAAUAAAUUCCGAAAAUUAAACUAAUUAAAUAUUAAAUAAUAUAAUUAAAUAAUAUUUAAUUUUAAAUAAAUAAAUAAAUAAAUAAAUAAAAGUCUAAAUAGGAUUACACUAAUCUAAUCUCAUAAUUAGACAAACUAAUCCAUCCGCUAAACUAAUCCAACCCUUAAUCUAAUCCAUACUUAAUUAAACUAAUCUAACUACCUAAACAUCAUUAGGCUAAUUUAAACACUCCUUAAGCAUGAUUAACCACCUAAGUGAGGUUUAGUGAGUAAACUCACUGGAUUUGCGCACCGGUGAGUUCACGACGACCACGACGUAGAGGCGAGUGACGAUCCUCCUAGCGGUGACACUAACGGAGGCUGGGAAGGCACCUAAAAUGGGCCUUGAAACCUCAAGAUCCUUGCUGGUCUUGGCUACUGAUCUUGAAUAAAAAAGGUUGGAACCUUCGAUAAUUGAGGCUGAACGGCGAAGGAGGAACUGGCGGCGGCAGCAGCUGGUCUAGGUGGUUGCAAGCGGUGGCUCUGGCGGCCUUGGUGACGAUGGGCAGCAGCUAGCAACGCUGGACUACGGCCUUAGACGUGCGAACAGUGGCGAAGUAGCGAAGCUGGACGCACGGGCGAGCAGCAGAGGCGGCUGGCGUGCAGGUGAGCUCCAAUGGCUUGCGACGUCGGACGGCCAAGGGAGCUGCUCAGCUGGCUUGCUGGCUUCUUCCUCUGGUUUUCCAAGCUUUCUCUCAUUCAACAACAAUGGAGAAAGCCCCCAAAUGAGGAAGAAGAAUGUUGCUGAAGAGGGGGCCCCCUUGGUGGCUUCUAUGGGCUCAACACAUGUCAAUUCCUCCUCUCUCUUGCCUCCACCAUGGCCGGCCCAUCCCUUAGCCAUUCUCUCUCCUUAGCUUCCUCCACAAGCUUGCCAAUAGGUCCAAAAUGUUGUGUACCCCAUGGCAUACGAAUUUUGUGACUUUGCCCUUCAAUUUCAUUCAAUUUCUCUUCCAAUUGAGUCAAAUUGAAGUCCAUAAAUUCAACCAAUGUAACCAUACUCGAUUCCAUAUUUUUCCUUGUCCAUCGAACCAUCUUGGAUGUCAAAAGCGCGACCAAAAACAGGCCUAAGGAUUUUCCCGAUCCAAUUUCGCCAAAUCUUGAUUUUUCGCCAAAAAUCUCUAUUUGUAGAAAAAUCUUUAGAGGAUAAGUCAUGUGACAUCCCGAAUUUUGACGCCGUCCCGAAUAUAUGAAAUGGGCAUUUCGCCGGCGCGCCUAUGGUCCUUUUUCUCUAAGUUGAUCACUCACGAGUUAACCAAUCUGUUGGGUGAAGCCGUUAAGGGAUAUAACCGCGGUAAAAUUCCUAAAAGCUACCUGAUAGGUUGGAUCAGAUUAAAUCGCGUUCGAUCGAUUUUAACCAUGAGAUUGAAUCCGGUUUGGGGAAUCGGACGUUCGAGCAUGUCGCGGUUCAUUUAUAGGACGUCAUCUUAUCUUUCAGAGAAAUUCCGUCGAGUUGGGAUUUUUUUUCGAAGAACCGUUUCGGACGUAGCGGAAAUUCGUACGGGCCAAAUUAAAGAAAAUUGGGACUUCCAAACUGAACCUUUGAGUGUCAGGGACUUGCAGAAAAUGGAAUGAGAAUUUACUUCAUCGAAAUUGGAUUUCAAUUUGGAGAAUUUGUGAAAAAAUUGAGGCCAAGAAAGUGAAAUUCGGAGCUAGGCAUGGGGGUGCAACAUUGGUCAUCAAAUUGGAAUUGUUGUGGAUUAACUUACAAGAUUUAAUUAUAGGAGACAAGGAGAUAAUUAUGUGGACUUGUGGGCCAAGCUAUGAUGAUUUUAGAUAAAUAUCUUGAUCUUUCUUCCCCCUCACCCACGGCUUCUCGAGCAAGCCUCACGCGUCCCUCUCCCUUAUCCGUUUGUUCUCUCUCCAAGUCGGUCUCUCUCUUUUCUUUCCUUCGAAGACCGUCUGCAGCUUUUCGUUUUCAUUUUCCUUUCUCUCUGGACGCCACAGCUCCUCUCUCUUUCUCUCUUGCUGCCCUUCUUCUCCACCGUUCGAACUCCAGCGCUCAUCUCACGCCAGCUGCUCCACCAUUUUUUGGCUUUCCCUCGGUCAACUCCAGCAGAAUUCUCCAAGUGAAGCCAAUUUGUUGACCUCCGAAGCUCCACCGAAGUUCCUCUCCUUUGCCACUCGUCCAACAUCAAACGCCCACCAGUCAACGUUGCAAAUUUCCCAGGCGGUUUGUUGACCCAGCAAUCCACCCAGCGAAGCUCCUCCAUGCGUGUCUUCAACCCAGCAAAGCCCGAAACAGCUCCAUCUCUCUGCCGUGUGCGAGUCUUCUCUCGCCACCAUCCCCACGAAUCCAGUCAACCGAGCCCAUCUUCACGCAAGUCCACUUCCAUCGUCGGCUGCGCAAAGAAGGCCAAAGCCCAACCCACCGAAGCUGCUCAUCUUCUUCAGCUGCACGUGGAGUGGUUUUGCUCGGUCAACCACUCACCAAAGAAGCCCCACCGUUGACCCUCAUCUUCGCACGUUCGGCCCAGCAGCGGCGUUCCAAGUGAAGCAGCCCUCAGCAACGCACGAAGCUGCUGCUUCCUUCGCCAGCUCGCUGGUCCACGGAUCUCCUCAGUCAACUAAAGCUGUCGCCCGCUCAUCCGUAUCCACCGAAGACAGCCCAGCGAAGCUCGGCCCAAUAGCAGUUUUGUUGCUUCCUUGUUCAGUCUAGUUGAAGCCGCAAGCCCAGCGGCCCAUCCAGUGUCUUUAGCCCGUAAUUUCAGUUACAGCAGUCAGCCCAUCAAUUGAGCAGUUCGGCCCAGCUUGCAGCAAGCCCAUUUGAAGCCCAAGAAGUUUGAAUAGUUCAGCCCGCGAAGCAGCCCAAGAAGUAGGCCCAAUCAAGUCCGGCCCAAGCCCAGCUUUUGCUGUGGGCUUGCAAAGCUUGUAGGUCCGGCCCGAGUGUCCGUCGACACCGCCGAAAAUUUGGAUUUCGGCCGUCGUCGCGUCGCCAUCGCGGUGUCCCGGUCCCCGCUUUUACCAAGUGAGUUUUACUCACUAAUGCUUUAUUAGUUUGCUAAUUAUAUUAAGGUUGGUUAGAUUUAAUUAAAUGCAAUUAGGUGGUUAGAUUAGUUUAGAUCAAUGAAAUUAGAGACUUAAUGAUGCAUGUUAGGUGGUUAGAAAUAGACAUUAGCAAGUAGACAUGCCAUGUUAUUUAUGGAACGAGUCUCGGUAAUUUUCCGGGCUCGUCUCGGUGUCCAAUUCGGCAUUACGAGCCUAAAUUGGAUUUUUUAUAAUUAUUUAUUUAAUUUUCGAAAUUAAUUAUUUAAUUAUUUAUUUUUCCGGAAAUUCAACCGGGAUGGUCGGUGACCGAAUUUUAUGCUGAUUGUCGUGGUGCAGUCCGUUUAUUUAAUUGAGCUUUAUUUUGUGCGGAAAUGAUUUAUUUGUGAAUUUAGGAUUCAUUCCCUAAUUUAAAUAAUCCUGAAAAAUUAAUUGGAAAUUAACCGGGCAUCAGUUAAUGAUACCAAAACUGUUUUAGUGAACUACAGAAAAUAGUGGGAUUUAUAAAAAGGAAAUUAUUAUAUUUUGGUUAAGGUCGAUUGUGUACCCACACACGUCAUUUUAUCGGAAAGGAAAAAAUUAGUUAUUUGAUUGUUUGCUUGGAAUGGCAUGUAUACCGGCUCGAUGACUCCACGGAGCAUCUUGAGACAGGACGGUAUGAUCCACCGGCUCGAUGACUCUACGGAGCAUCUUGAGACAGUACGGUAUGAUCAAUUGUAUGAUCUACCGGCUCGAUGACUCUACGGAGCUUCUGGAGACAGUACAGUAUGAUAAAUUGUGUGUAUACUGGCUCGGUGACUUUAUAUGUCAUCUUGAGACAAGACGGUAUGAUAUACCGGCUCGGUGACUCUACAGAUUAUCUUGAGACAGUACGGUAUGAUAUACCGGCUCGAUAAUCCUACAGAUCAUCUUGAGACAGUACGGUAUGAUUUGACAGCUCGAUGACUCUAUAUGUCGUCUGGAGAUAAGAUAACAUACUAGCUAUAUAUCACUUAGGGUGAGUAGUCUUGGAUGUUGAUCAGACUCAUAGAAAGUAUGGAAGGGGUCGAUAAAGAGAUAAUUUGGAUGACAUGUAAUCGACUAGGUCGAUUGAUCGAUGAUUCGAUCUGAUUGGGUGAGGUGAUGUGAUGAUGUAUAUUUGAUAUAUAUACUAACUUGCAGGAAAGAGUUGAGGCCAAGGUAAGUCCUCUGACUCGUGAUGUGCUUAAGCAGCCUAAGGUGUAUUAGUUUACUAAUCGAGUCUUAGGGGGUAGGACUCGCUGAGACGUGGUCUCAUUGGUUAUUGAAUAACCAUUUCAGGACCCUGAGGAGAAGCUGAGGAAGAGGAACCUGAAGGGAAGAAAUACUUUUGAAGAAGAAGAUGAUCCACAGAGGGAUUUUGAGUAUAACCCAGAUGUGGAUUGAGAUCCCAUCCCUUUUGUGAACCCUGUCUUAGUAGAUAGGUGUGAGACAAGUAUGCUGUGAAUAGUAUUGUAAAUAUACUAUGAGUUGUGCUGUUAAUGAAAGUGUGGUUGUGAAUUUCAAUAUGAAAAAUAUGGCAUGCUUUUCUAUCCCAUUGUUUUAUUGUCUAGGGAUUUAUAAUUGCUUCUGCAUGCGUAAUAAAAUGAAAGGGUCAGCGAUAUAUUGCACUUUAAAAUCGACCAGGAAGAAGGAUGGGCGCGUCCCCGAGGAUCGGGACGUGACAAGUCAACACUCCUAAAAUGACUUGUACAUAAUAGAACUCUCUAUUUUUGAAUUUGGGUUCAAUUUCGCAGUUAAUUUCAAUCUGGCGCGAUUUUAGCACAUCCUAAUCUACCGGGUAGCUUUUAGGAACUUUUUGUGCAAUUGACCUGUGGUCGAUUGUUUUUUAGCCACAAUGUGCAUCGUCGACACAUUGACGACUCUCGAUUGUCAUAGAAAUCUCAAGGUCAAAUAUUGACACAGGGUACCAAAACGACAGAGAAAUCGGUCUAUUGCCGAUCGAGAAGAUUUGUGCGAUCAGGUGGAAUCACCCACACUUAAUCACAUGCCUUUGUCGAGUCGACCUAUCUCCGGUCUCUAAUCGGUUUGUGCCGUAAUGACCCUUGUAGAUUAGUACGGUCCAAUAGUCGUUUCUUGGUCGAAUUCUCAAGUCCAUUGCGUUUAGAUUCCUUAACGUCUUCACCUGAUAGACUAGUUAUCCCGUGAGUAAUUAGCUUAGGGAAAAGAACUAUAUGCGUGUCGAUGAAAAGCCCAACUUAUUCAAUCGAAAUUAGAACCUUAAAUUUAUGAUGUCACAACUCUUCCCCUCUUAUAAAAAUUUCGUCCUCGAAAUUUAAACCAUUACAAUCUUUAAGCAAAAAUGUGGGGGUACAAUCGUCUCAUCGACUCUUCACUCUCCCAGGUUGCUCCUUCAGUCCCGUGGUGUUGCUAGACCACUUUGACCAAUGGGAUGGUCUUUGUAUGCAGGACUUGCUCUUUUCUGUCCACGAUCUGAAUUGGGCUUUCAACAUACGACACUUGGUCGUCCACGUCCAAUUCCUCGAAAUUAAGCACGUGGGUCGGGUCAGGCUCAUACUUCCUCAACAUUGACACGUGCAAGAUGUCAUGCACUUGCGCUAGCUUCAGCGGUAAUGCAAGAUGAUAUGCCAAAGUCUCGAUACUUUCAAGAAUCUCGAAGGGACCUACGUACCUUGGACUCAGUUUUCUUUCUUGCCAAAGUGCGAAGUUCCCCUCAUUGGUGACACUUUUAGAAAAAUGUGAUCACCAACUUGGAAUUCCAAUGGCCUUCGACGCUUACGGUGUAGCUCUUCUGGUAGCUCUGAGCGGUCUUUAAUCUAUCUCUAAUAACUGCAACUGCAUCCACUGACUGUUGAACCAACUCUGGGCCUAUGAUCUUUCUCUCCCCAACUUCAUCCCAACACACUGGUGUUCUGCAUAAUGUCAUACAACGCUUCAAAAGGAGCAAUCUGGAUGCUCUGCUGAUAACUAUUGUUGUAGGAAAAUUCCACAAAAUGAAGUUGUUCUUCCCAACUUCCUUUAAAAUCCAGUACACAAGCUCGCAACAUAUCUUCAAGGGUUUGAAUUAUGAUCUUUCUCUCCCCAACUUCAUCCCAACACACUGGUGUUCUGCACACUGUCAUACAACGCUUCAAAAGGAGCAAUCUGGAUGCUCUGCUGAUAACUAUUGUUGUAGGCAAAUUCCACAAAAUGUUGUUCUUCCCAACUUCCUUUAAAAUCCAGUACACAAGCUCGCAGAAUAUCUUCAAGGGUUUGAAUUGUCCUCUCAGACUGGCCAUCUGUCUGUGGAUGAUAUGCCGUAUUAUACUGUAGUUUUGUACACAAAGCACUCUACAAGCUCUUCCAAAAAGUGGCGGUAAAUCUUAGGUCUCGGUAUGAAGUAAUUGUCACCGGCACUUCAUGCAGUGGAAUCAUGUGGCGCAUGUACAGAUCCGCGUGCCUAUCCAAACUGAAGUCCUUUCGCACUGCAAUGGAGUGAGCCGACUUCGUCAAUCUAUCGACCACUACCCAAAUUGAAUCGUUUCCUCUCUGACUCCUCGGUAGUCUAGUCACGAAGUCCAUCGUGAUAUGUUCCCAUUUCCACUCGGGAUCUCGAGAGGUUGCAGAAGUCCUCUUGGCUUACAAUGCUAAGCUUUAACCUGCUGACAUGUCAAACACUUGGUGACAUGCUUGGCUAUGUCUGCCUUCAUACUUGACCACCAAUAGUGUUGACGUAGAUUAUGAUACAUCUUAGUGCUACCAGGAUGAAUGUUGUAACUAUUACGAUGUGCUUCUGAUAAAAUAUCCUCUCUAAGUUCCACAUCGUCAGGUACAACCAAACGUCCUUGGAAAUUUAGUGUUCCUUCAUCAGAAAUCUGAAAGUCAACCUUUCUUUUCUUUGUAUCUUCUUGUAGAAUCUUCUGCACAUCUGGGUCUGUCGACUGGAGUAACUUGAUCCUGAUCUGGACAUUCGGCUCAAUCCUGAGGGUGGCCAUAAGAUGCAAAAGGUGGCCUACCUCAAAUUUGAACACUGAAUCCCGUGCUCUUUCGAUCAAAUUCCACUCCUUAAUCAAUAUAUGAGCAACUGAAGACUUCUGACUCAAAGCAUCGGCAACCUUAUUCGCCUUUCCUGGGUGAUAUAAGAUCUCACAGUCGUAGUCCUUCAGGAGUUCUAUCCAUCGGUGAUGCCUCAUAUUCAACUUUUUCUGAGAGAAUAGAUACUUUAAACUCUAAUGGUCAGUGAAGAUCUAUAAUCUUUCUCCACAUAAAUAAUGUCUCCAAAUCUUCAAUUGCGAGUUCUAAGUCAUACGUCGAGUAGUUCAGUUCAUGAGGUCUCAACUGACGGGAGGCGUAUGCAACAACUCUGUCAUGUUGCAUCAGCACGCAACCCAAUCCUCUGAGCGACGCAUCACUAUAGAUCUCGAAUCCUCAAAGACCAGAUGUAAUAGUCAGCACAGAUGCGGUAGUUAGUUUUUCCUUCAACUCUUGAAAACUAUGCUUGCACUUGUUUGUCCACACAAACUUUUCUUCCUUCUUUAGGAGUCUUGUCAGAGGCGAUGCUAAUGACGAGAACCCUUCCAAAAACCGUUUGUAACAACUUGCCAAACCCAGAAAACUUCUUAUUUCUGUCACUGUAGUCGGUCUUGGCCAAUUAAUCAUGGCUUCUAUCUUGCUUAGGUCCAUGGAGAUUCCUUCGCCUGAAAUCAUGUGACCUAAGAAAGCAACGAGAGUCAACCAAAACUCACACUUGCUGAACUUGGUGUAUAACUGAUGUACUCUUAGCGUCUACAGCACUAAUCUCAGAUGACUGUCAUGCUCUUCAUCACUUCUCGAAUACACCAAGAUAUCAUCGAUGAACACAAUCACAAACUGAUCUAGAUAUUCCUUGAAUAUUCGGUUUAUCAAAUCCAUGAAAGCAGCUAGAGCAUUCGUCAACCCGAAUGGCAUCACGGUAAACUCAUAAUGACCAUACCGAGUACGAAAUGCUGACUUAGGAAUGUCUUACUUCCUGAUCCUCAGCUGAUGAUAUCUUGUCCUCAAGUCGAUUUUUGAAAAUAUCGAUACUCCUUGUAACUGAUCAAACAAGUCAUCGAUCCUCGGGAGUGGAUACUUGUUCUUGAUCGUUACCUGAUUGAGUUGGCAACAGUCGAUGCAUAAGCGCAAUGAACCAUCUUUCUUCUUUACAAAGAGAACUUAUGCUCCCCAAGAUGAUGCACUGGGACGAAUAAAUCCCUUAUCCAAUAACUCUUGCAUCUGCACUUUCAGUUCCUUCAACUCAGUAACGCCAUCCGAUAAGGAGCCUUAGAAAUUGGCUCUGUCCCGGGUGCUAACUCGAUCAUGAAUUCAAUUUCUCUCUCUGGCGGUAAUCCUGGCAAUUCCUAUGGAAAGACAUCUGUAAAUUCUUGCACCACAGCAAUGUCUUCCAUUUUCAGCUCCUCAACUGUCGUAUCCACGACAGUUGCCAAGUAACCUUGGCAACCCUCGUCUAACAAAAAAGUUACCCCCAGCGACGAGAUCAAGGUAAUCGAGGGUCCUCCUCGAUUCCCGACAAACUCAAAGCUCUUACCCUCUAACGAUUCAAACUGAAUUGCUUUACGAUAGUAGUCCAUUUUAGCUUGUUGCUUGGUGAGCCAGUCCAUGUCAAUUAUCAAAUCAAAGUCAUACAUGGCUAGGACUAAUAAGUCUAUUUUCCCCACUCGCUCACCAAUCGCUAAUUUGCAACCAGAACAACCCAAAGCAGACAACACAUUAUCCUUUAACGGUGUAGAUAUGCUAACAAUAGAUUUUAGCAACUCAGGACUUAAUCCUAUCAAUUUAACAAAUUGCUCAACAAUAAAGCAAUGAGUUGCUCUUGGGUUGAACAAAGCAUAAGCAGCAUGGUUGUUUAGCGAAACCGUACCUGUGAUCACAUCAAGCGCGUCCUUAGCCUGACCUCUAGUGAUAGCGUAAAUUGUCCCUUGAACCGGGGGUCUGAGCUGUCCACCAUGCGAUGCGUUCUGCAGUGCAAGUCCUCUGAUCUAACCCAACGGUGGCGGUGGUGGUAACUAUUGCGAUCUCCCCUAUCUUCUUGGACAGUUCCUAACCAUGUGACCCAGUUGACCACAUCCAAAGCAAGUACCCGGCCUAGAUUGGCAUGGGGCUGAUCCGUGUCGCAUUCCACACAAGCGACACACACCAUUCUAGCUAGAUCUUGCCUUUCCAACUCCACCUUUCCUGUUGGGCGGGAUUGGGAAUUUACCUCCAGUCAUGGGCUUCUUCCCGUGACGUAUCUCUUCUCGGUACGAACCGAACCUCAAUCCAAACGAGGCGGCUUGCUCGUUUUGAUCUCUCUCGAUCAUCUAGGCCCUCUCGUAUAAGUCCUUGUAAGAUCUUAGAUUCAACAAAAUCAAUGUACUCCUUAAGUCUAGCUUGAACUCGUCCCUGAACCUUCCCACUCUAUUCGUUGGAUUCUCAAUUAGUUCAGGAGCAUAUUGCGAUAGUUCAACGAACUUCACCUCAUAUUGAUCUAUAGCCAUGAAGCCUUGGCGAAUGCGCUAAAACUCUGCCAUCUUCAUCUCUCUGGCAGUCUCUGCAAAGUAUUUGCCAUUAAAAGCCUCAUGGAAAGCGUUCCACUCCGGGACGACACCUUCUAGGAACACUACUCCCUGGGUGGUUCUUCACCAAGUAUCUGUAACUCCCUCCAAUUGGUAAGUUGCAAGGACUACAUUUUUAGUUUCAUUGCACAUCAAUAGUGCAAAAGCCUUAUCAAGUCUUUGGAUCCACAAAGUAGCAACUUCAAGGUCUCCUACCCGAGUGAACUGAGGUGGAUUCAAUUUCAAGAAUUGUUCCACCAGCUUAUGAAUUGGUCUCUCCGCGACCACGUUCCAAGGUGGAACUUCAACAGGUGCAACAAUAAGUGCAACAACAAGUGUAGCCUUAGCGGCGGCGGCAAUGGCAGCAAUAGCAGCGGCUACAACAACGGCAGCUUGGUUCUGGGCUUGCUUCCCUAUCAGAUCCCUCAUAGCUUCUACCUUAGCACCAACCAGCGGAACUAAUGGUGGCACUACUCCACUCACGCUAGCCUCAGCCUGCGCUCUACUCUGAGCACCUCGGGUACCGACUCUUGUUAGCGUUCUACCCCGAGUCGCAGGGCCUAUCGCCCUCUUCCAAGGAGUCCUCUAUGUGUAUGCUAGUAUGAGCACCUAGAGGGGGUGAAUAGGUGCGAAAACAAACUUUUGCGAAGUACAAUGUAAAACCUUAAGUUUAACUAGAGUCUGUUUAAUAGUAGACUUUAAAAUAGAAGCGAGACUCUUACAGUUAAAUAAAAUUAUGAGUAAAGUAAAAGAGUUUAGGGAAGAAAAUAAGAACACAAGGUUUAUAGUGGUUCGGCUUAAUCCAAGCCUACGUCCACUCUCCCGCACUGACAGCCCACCGGCUGGAUUUCACUAUGAAUCAAAAGAGUUGUUACAGUAUCACAUCCUUGAUUCCACAGUGUAGAUACUCUGCUACACUUCCUCAAGGUCUCGCAAAUGUAUAAACUCGAAUAACUAGAACGUCUUCCUUAUAUACUCCUUCAUGCCUUCAUACCCGUUGGCACUUUCCAAAGGAGCUCUUCCAAUCUACCCAUUGGACAUAAUUAAUUAGGGAGAUCUCGAGUUAUUUAAGGAAUAUGACAAUAGUCCACCAAUCCUGCUCGCCCAUACAAUCUGGAUCUAGGUUUUCAUAAGUAGAACUUUCCAAGUAUGCUUCGCCAAUCAACGGAUCUAAAUUACCCGAAUUGAAAUCAAAACGAAUAAUAGAUUCCAAUAUACUAUAUCCAGCCGUGAGAUCUUCUUUAGUCGAUAGAAUCAAAUCCUUGGAUCUUGAGUCUGGUGGUUCGGCGGUCUUUAGACUUUGACGAAAAAGUCUACAAGUCUUCAGACUAGACUGAUCGAAACGUUUUGUUAGCUUCAAAACAAAUAUGAAAGUUUUCUCCAACAAUCUCCUCCUUUUUGAUGGUGACAAAACUUUCCUGUAGAUUUGGAUGCUUUUGACCUGCAAGACAAUACUCAAGCAAACAUGGAUAUUUCACAAAAGAUAAUUGGCUUAGCAAAGAUAGCAUUAGAUCUGCAUCCACAUGAAAUAAGAAAGUUAGUCCUACAAAUAAACAACUAUCUUUGCCAUGAAAUACCAACAUUGCUUAAGAUACUGCAACAAACAUUCAAACGAUCAAACAAUCCAAAUCCAGUCACAACCAAACAACUAAACAAAAGUAAAAGUCAAUCAAAAGUCAAAUAAACAAGAGUUAAAUCUCAAAUUUGCACCAUCUCCCCCAUUUUGUCAACAUGAAAAAGGUAGAGACGAAAAGAUAAUGAAAUUAGGAUUGCUUUGGAACGCGAAUGAGCUAGAAAUCUCCUAUCGACUGGACAAUCCCUUCUAGCUUUUUCAAAUCCUCCUUCAAUUGAGCAACUUCUUCACCCUUGGCAUUUGCUUGAACUUGAAGAGCAAGGGCAUGGAUUUGAUCAUGUAAGGAAACUAAAGAGGCUUGACUUGCAUUAUGCAAGUUCUGAACUUCGCAUCCGAGGGCAUAAAUCUAUCCUUGCAUCUCCAUAAGAAUAUCAAGCAGUCUUCCAAAGUCUGCUGAAUUUUCAGUCAGAGUGCUUGCUUCUGCAUAAUCAGUAGGAGUAUUGGUAAAUGAUGGUAAAUUAGCAUGAUCACUCAGAUUUGGCGAUGAAACCUCAUGACCUUCCUCUGGAAAUUGAGAUGCAUAAAUGUCUUUUGGAUCUGCAGGUGAACGACUAACACCUUCAUUAGUAAAAGCAAUUGAAUAUGUACCUCUUUUCUUAGCAACUCCCCCUGUUUCAAUGCCUUCAAGCGGUGAGAAGUACUCUUCAUGCUCUGUUUCCUUUUGUUCACCUCUGCCUCUUCUUCUUUUGCAAUCCUUUCUUCCUCUGCUUCUUUUCGCAUUGAUUCUCUCUCUCCACUCCUUUGUUCGAACUCUUCUCUGUCUUGAUCCUCUCUCUCCUCUGUCACUGAAUAGAAUGAUAUAAGUUCCUCAAUGCAAGAGCAGAAAUGGUUAUAUCGUCCUCAUCAUCUUCAUCCUCCAGGAUGAGUGCUCUUAUUUUCUUGGAUGGAACUGUCAUGGACUCCUUCCCUUUCCGUUUUGCAGCCGAAGAAAUUUGGUGAGUCUUGACAGGGAUUUUCUCCUUUAAUCGCUCCAAAGCUUUAUCCAGCUCUUUUAGACGCAUUUUGGAAACCAUUUUCAGUUCCACCACCAUUUAAUCACAAGAUCGAACACACAGAUUCCUGGGAAGCUGAAUAUUCAAAUGUCUGAACAACUUUGUGACAAGCGCUGAGUAAGGAAGUUGUCUCUUAUCUUUCACCAUCGUUCUAUACAUGUGAAACAUGAUUGUGUGAGGCAGAGAGAACUUUUUUCCCAGCGUUGAUAGCAUACAUCAACUUUGCUUCCGAGUUGGAGACAUUGGUCUUUGAAGUCGAUUUGGGUCUUAGGCAAUUGAUCACGAUCUUGUGAAGCAAAAUAUUUGAGGCAUUCAUCCUCAAGUACGAGAUUUUUCCUUCUGCCAUUCCAUCACGAACAAGCUCUACCGUUGCAUGACCAACAGACACACUAAUCGAUUGGAAUGCCCCUCGCUCUACUCCAAUCACAUCCGCCAAUGUGUCCAUGUCAACAAUAUAGUCUUGGUCUUGAACACUAAAAGGAAAUCUAUUCGCACCCAAGAAACUCAGAUUAUAAUAGAAAUAGGCAGUAAGCUCUGGAUAUGCCUCUGUCGUCUCAGAACAAAAUCGCUCAAACUGAAGUCGAGUGAAUUUCUCUCGCAUUUUCACAUUCAAAGAAUCAAGAAAAUCAAAGUCCACACUUCUUCGAUUGAUUACCCCUCUUUUUAGCAACUUGGAGUAAAGUCGCUUGUGUUCCUUCGACCGAAACAAGUCUGUCCUUUUGCUUCGAAUAUUCGCCGCAACACCCAUUCUAGGCUUAAAAUGAGUGUACAUUUCGUCAUCAUCAUUCCCAUCAGGCUGACUAAGACCUCCAACACGUGGAUCACUAGGAAUAUUCACAAAAGCUCAUUCUGUCGACCCCGCAGGAGCAAUCCCCAAUCGUUCCAUUGUUCGCAAAAAGUGAGUUUCAUUUUGAUGCCUUUCGCUUUCAAAAAUGCAUCAAUAUAGUUCAAGGGAGUGCCUCCCUUCUUCAAAACAGAGUAAAGCUUACAGAUAAAAGCAGGCUUUUGAGUUCUUACUGGUUCUGCCCCUUCAAUGAUUUCUUCCUCCACUCUUUGAUCAACAUCCUGAGGUCUAGCUUGAGGAGAUUGAUGCGGUUGAGAAUGUUGUGGGCUCUGCUGCUGUCUUGGAGAUUCUUCUUUCUCGGUGAGGUCAAAAUGCAUAGGACCCUCACGCAUGUGUUGUGGUCCCCUAUUCGCGAUCCUUGAAGACUUUCUUUGGGACGCCAUUCUCACAGUUUUUGAGAGAUUUCAAACUUGAUUCACGAAAAAGGUGAGAACUUUGUAGAUUAAACUAGAGAGUAAAAAUAAGAAAGUGAUGGUCUGUGCUUUUAGGGUUUGUGAGGAAGACAAUCAGUAUAUAAAACAGUCAAAAAGAGGUAUACGGAACGACGUAAAAGGAAAAAUAGAAAAUGCCUUUUAAAAAAUAACUGCCUUUUUGAAAAAAAAUAGAUAACCGUCAUUUCAAAAGAUAACUUCUUUUUCAAAAAUGAAUGAUUGCAAUAAUCGCAAAAACUGGGAAAGAUAACAACAAUCAAUUACAGAUUAAUAGAUGAUCGUACCUUUUCGAGAUUUUAUCCGACAGAUAAAAUUCUAAAAUAGAAAUAACUUACAGUCGUGAAUCUUGAUUGGCUGAGCCUGAAUAUCUUUAGACUUUUAUCCCUGAGUCUGAACUUCUUCAGACUUUAAGAUAUUGAGUCUGGAACGAAUAAGCUCGUAUUGACUUUUCUCCAGAGGCUUUGUGAAGAUAUCCGCUAGUUGAUUCUUUGAGUCAAUGCAUUGAAUUGAGAUUUCUCCAUUUUGAACAUGAUCUCUAAUAAAAAUGAUGUCGAACCUCUAUGUGCUUUGCUCUCGAAUGAAGAAUUGGAUUCUUGGUGAGAUUAAUCGCGCUGGUAUUGUCGCAUUUGAUCUCACUACAUGAGUCUUCAAUUCCAAAGUCUCUUAGCUGUUGCUUUAUCCACAAAAUUUGUGAACAACAACUUUCAAGAGUCACAUAUUAUGCUUCUACUGUUGAAAGAGCCACAAUACUUUGCUUCCUUAAAAACCAAGAUAUUGUCCUGUUCCCAAGUAAUUGACAAGUGCCCGAGGUGCUCUUUCUAUCAACUCUGCAUCCUGCUAGGUCUGCAUGUGAAUAUCCAAGGAGAGUAAAAUCUCAUUCUUUACAAUACCAGAGACCAAAAUUUGAAGAUGAUGCAACAUAUUUGAUGAUGCGUUUUGCAGCACUUAAAUGAGAUUUUUUGGGAUCUGAUUGAAAUCUAGCAAAAAUACAAACACUAAACAAAAUGUCAGGUCUAGAAGCAGUAAGAUAAAUAAGUGAACCAAUGAUACUCCUGUAUAGCUUUUAGUCAAUUUUCUUCCUUCCUUCGUCUUUGUCUAGCUUCAAGGAUCUUGACAUUGGUAAAUUAGUCUUUUUGCAAUUUUCCAACCUGAACUUUUUAACAAGUUCUUUAGCAUAUUUUUCUUGGUGGAUGAAGGUUCCUUCCUUCAAUUUUUUUACUUGAAGUCCGAGAAAGAAGGACAAUUCACCCAUCAUGCUCAUUUCAAACUCAUCCUACAUAGUCUUGGAGAAUUUCUUGCACAGAUUUUCGUUAGGUGAUCCAAAAAUAAUAUCAUCAACAUACAUUUGAACAAGUAAAAAGUUUUUGUUUUCUCUUUUGAUAAACAAUGUAGUAUCUACUUUACCUUUAACAAAGCCAUUUUGAAUUAAAAACUUACUUAACUUGUCGUACCAAGCUCGAGAUGCUUGCUUUAAACCAUAUAGUGCCUUUUUCAGUCUGAAUACAAAGUCUGGUUUCCUUGGGUCUUCAAAACUGGGAGAUUGUUCCACAUAGACUUCUUCUUGGAUAAAUGCAUUUAGACUUCUUCUUGGAUAAAUCAAUUUAGGAAAGUGCUUUUGACGUCCAUUUGGAAUAAUCUGAAAUUUUUAUAACAAGCAAAAGCAAGUAAUAAUCUAAUUACUUCUAACCUUGCUACUGGUGCAUAAGUCUCAUCAUAGUCUAUCCCUUCUUCUUACGUAUAUCCUUUGGCCACGAGUCUUGCUUUGUUCCUUACGACUUUUCUUUUCUCGUUCAUCUUGUUCCUGAAAACCCAUUUAGCUCCAAUGAUAGAUUUACCUUUUAGUUUAUGAGUCAAUUCCCAAAUAUCAUUGAUACCGAAUUGCCUGAGUUCUUCUUGCAUAGCUUCAAUCCAGCUUUCAUCAAUUAAAGCUUCAUCCAUGCUUUUGGGUUCUAUCUCAGAAAUAAGAGCCACAGCACUAGACUCUUCACGUUUUUUGGAUCUUGUACGAAUUCCUUCAUUAAUGUCACCAAUAAUGAGUUCUUUGGAAUGACUAGACUUGUGCUUCCAGUUGCUGGUUGAUUUGUCAGACUAUUGUUCUUUUUCUUCAGUUGAUUCUUCAACGAUCAUUCGUUGCUGGUCUUCUGAAGUCUAAGCUGCUUCUGGAGAUUUAGACUUUGUAGAGUCUGGAACAUAUUCAGAUUCUUCAGGUUGAGUCUAAAUCGAUUGAUUUUGCAUAAAGUCUUGAAAUUUGACAUUCAUCGAUUCCUCCACAGAUUGAGUAUUUUUGUUGUAUAAUUUGUAAGCUUUGCUGGUAGUUGAAUAUCCAAGGAAGAUACAUUUGUCUGAUUUUUCUUCAAACUUACCAAUUCGAUCAUUUGCAUUUUUCAAUAUAAAACAUUUGCAUCCAAACACAUGAAAAUAGGAAACAAUUGGCUUCUUUCCUUUGAACAACUCAUAGGGAGUUUUAUCCAUAGUAGGUCUUAAGAAGACUCUAUUUAUAAUAUAGCAUGCUGUAGAAAAUGUUUUCCCAAUACACACGGUGUACAUAGAUCAGAUUUUUGAUAUGUCAGGUUGGGUAGUCCUCGAACAAGCUUCUUUGCAGCAAUCUUGGCUAUUUGCUUCAUGUUGAUGUGCCCAAGUUUUCUGUGCCAGAGAUUAGCUUCCUCUUGAAUUGAAAUUAGACAUUGGAAUUUUUCUGGAUUGAUAUCCAAGAGAUAUAUAUUUCCAUGUCUUCGCCCUGUGAAUGUCUGAGAGGAGUCUUUACUGGUUCCUGAACAUAUUCUUUCUUGAAAGUUGAUUUUGUAACCUGUGUCGCACAGUUGGCUGAUACUCAACAAGUUGUAGUUAAGUCCUUCUACUAAGGAAACAUUACCGAUUGUGAGACUUCCAAUCUUUACGGUUCCGUAUCCCACAAUUCUGCCUUUGCUAUUUCCUCCAAAAGAGACUUUUCCACCAUUAACUUGCACAAACUUUGUGAAACAAUUUGAGUCUCUUGUCAUGUGUCUUGAGCAUCCACUAUCCAAGUACCACUUAACCUUUUUCUUGAUAGUGACCUCGAUUUCACUGUCUGAGUCUAAGUCUAUCUUAGAGUCUGAAUCUGAGUCUGAUUGUGCCAUUAGACAAAUAUUAGCAUAAUCAUUAUCACUCUCUUAACACUCGGUAUCACUCCAAGUUUAUGCUUUGAGAGCUUUUCUGUAUUUCUUAGCUUUUCCUUUCUUUUUCUUCAGUAAGGGACAGUUAGGUCUGAUGUGUCCCUUUUUCUUGCAUUAAAAAAAAAAUUACAUCUUUGUUGGAAUCAUCAUCCUCAGCUAAUUUAUUUUGAAACUUUUGAGAACUUUGUUUCUUUGAAUUGAAUCUUCUUCCCUUCUUUUUCAGUUUUCUGAACAUUCUUAUCAUGAGAGCAAGCUCUUCAUCGUCCAUAUCGUCUUCAGAAUCUGUAACAUCAGAAUCAUCAUUAGAUUUUAAUGCAAUAGAUUUUUUACCUUUAAGAUCCUCAUCUUCAUUGAUUUGCUCCACUUCAUAAGACUGAAGAGUGCCAACCAAUUCGUCAACAGAGAGUGGCAUGAUUCUUUGUGUCUCCCUUAUUGAGGUCUUUAUAUGAUUCCAAUCUUUGGAAAGUCCACGUAGUAGCUUGUUAACCUUCAUGGGUCCAGAGAUUGGUUGACCUUGAUACUCAAGACCAUUCACGAUUUCUGUAAAACGACUAAACAUGUCAGUGAUAGAUUCUCCUGGUUUCAUCCUGAAUGCUUCAUAUUGACCGAGCAUAAAAUUGAUUCUGGUUUCUUUCACUCAAUUGGUUCCUUCAUAAGUAAUGUGUAAUCUAUCCUAGACUUCUUUAGCUGUUUCACAAAAAGAUAUUAUGUUAUAUUCAGUAGGAGAUAAUGCACAAUAUAAAGAAUAAAUUGCUUUUGCAUCAAAAGCUUGUCUCUUGAUUAUCUCUUCUCGAGUCAUAUCACUGGACUCAACGGCUUCUUUUUCCCUUUCUGAGACUGUUGUAGUUUUAGCAAUAAUUCCUUUAUCUACUACAUCCCAUUCAAGAGGGUCUUUCGAUCUCAGGAAUGCCUUCAUUUUGUUUUUCCAUAUGUUGUAGUCCUUCCCAUCAAAGUAUGGCGGUCUGGUGUUGCUUUACCCUUCAACCAAGCCUAGAGCCAACAUACUAGUCAUGGAUCAUUAACUCUAAAGUAAAAACUGUUGGAGAAAUCUUCUUGAAGUGUUUUGAAGCUGACAAAACGUUUCCAUCAGUCUAGUCUGAAGGCUUGCAGACUCUGCUAUUUAAAGUCUGAAGACCUCCGAACAGCCAGACUAAAGACUCAAAGUCUAUCCUCAUUGACAGUCUCUAAUCCGUUGAAGAAAGGUUAUCCAGAACUGGAUGUUUCAUUAAGGAUAUGACCUUAUCAACCGGAGAAGAUCUCUUGGCUGGAAAAGACACAACGGAAUCCUUUGAUUGAUCGACAUUGACUCGAAGAUUAAGGAACCGAUGAUUGCCUAAAUAUUCUUGGAAGGUUCUAUUUAUGGAAACCGAGAUCCUGAUUGUAUGGGCGAACAUGAUUGAUGGGCUAUCGACACGUUCCUUUAAUAGCUCGAAUAAUCUUCCUAAUUGAUUCCGUCCAACGGGUAGAUUGGAAGAAUUCAUUUGGUAAGUGCCAACGGGUAUGAUGGCAUAAAGGAGUAUAUAAGGAAGACGUUCUAAGUUGUUCGGGGUGUGCGCGAUAGAAGAAUUCCAAAGUCUGAAGCUCCUUGUUGUUUAGACAAUUCCUUUGAGCGAAACCUUGUAUACAAAAGAGAGUUUAUAUUUGUGAGAAACCUUGAGGAGGUGUGGUAGAACAUCUACACUGUGGAAUCAAGGAAAAGCUGUGCUGUAAUUUCUCUUUUGUUCAUAGUGAAAUCCAGCCGGUGGGCUGUCAGUGCGGAAGAGUGGACAUAGGUUUGGAAUAAGCUGAACCACUAUAAACCUUGUGUUCAAUUUUCUCUUCCUUACUCUCUUUACUUUGAUCGUACUUCAUUUUGUGAACUCCUUUCUAUCAGUUUCCUAGAAUCGCUUCCGUAUCUCGAUAAAUUAUUUGUGCACCUAUUCACCCCCCUCUAGGUGCUUAUACUAGCUAUCUCAAAAACACUUCAAUUUAAAUAAGUAUACAGGCUCUGAUACCAAUUGUGAAUGCUAGUAUGAGCACCUGGAGGGGGUGAAUAGGUGCGAAAACAAACUUUUGCGAAGUACAGUGUAAAACCUUAAGUUUAACUAGAGUCUGUUUAAUAGCAGACUUUAAAAUAGAAGCGAGACUCUAACAGUUAAAUAAAAUUACGAGUAAAGUAAAAGAGUUUAGGGAAAAGAAUAAGAAUACAAGGUUUAUAGUGGUUCGGCUUAAUCCAAGUUUACAUCCACUCUUCCGCACUAACAGCCCAUCGGCUGGAUUUCACUAUGAAUCAAAAGAGUCGUUACAGUAUCACGUCCUUGAUUCCACAGUGUAGAGACUCUGCUACACUUCCUCAAGGUCUCACAAAUGUAUAAACUCUCUUUUGAGUACAAGUUUACGCUCAAUAAUUGAAUUGACAAAGAACAAGGAGCUUCAGACUUUGGAAUUUAUCUAUCGUGCACACACUCGAAUAACUAGAACGUCUUCCUUAUAUACUCCUUCAUGCCUUCAUACACGUUGGCACUUUCCAAAUGAGCUCUUCCAAUCUACCCGUUGGAUAGAAUCAAUUAGGGAGAUCUUGAGUUAUUUAAGGAAUAUGACGAUAGCCCACCAAUCCUGCUCGCCCAUACAAUCAGGAUCUAGGUUUUCAUAAGUAGAACUUUCCAAGUAUGCUUCGCCAAUCAACGAAUCUAAAUUACCCGAAUUGAAAUCAAAACGAAUAAUAGAUUCCAAGAUGCUAUAUCCAGCCAAGAGAUCUUCUUCAGUCGAUAGAAUCAAAUCCUUAACGAAAUACUCAAUUCUGGAUAAGUCUUCUUCGACGGUCUAGAAACUGUCAAUGAGAGUAGACUUUGGAUCUUGAAUCUGGUGGUUCGGCGGUCUUCAGACUAGGUCGAAAGAGUCUACAAGUCUUCUGACUAGAUUGAUGGAAACGUUUCAUCAACUUCAAAACAAAUACGGAAGGAUUCUCCAUCACUCUGCUCCUGGUCACUCAUUGUACAGGCUCCUUAUGGACACCUGUUUUCCAAUUCCAAUCCCAAGUUAGAAUUUGAGUGAACAUACAAUCAAGCUUCCAAUCAGCUUUCAAUCACAAGCAUCAUAAGAAAAGCCUUUCCUACUAACUAUCCCCCGAACUCAUCGGUCCUUAUCACUCCAUACACAAACUUGCUUUAAUACCACUUAAAUGGGGAUGGGGGGCCCCGAUCCUAGAGCAAGCGCACGUCCCGCUGUAGCCGAUGGAACUAAGACAUUCCCAGAACACGUCGCUGAGCUUUAAUUUUUAUACACAUGCGGAAGUGAAUCAAGACCCCCAACAACAAACAUCAUGGGAUAGGAAAGCAGGGCAAAUUUCUCAAANNNNNNNNNNNNNNNNNNNNNNNNNNNNNNNNNNNNNNNNNNNNNNNNNNNNNNNNNNNNNNNNNNNNNNNNNNNNNNNNNNNNNNNNNNNNNNNNNNNNCAAGCCACACAACACAGAGGACUUCCCUUGCCUCAGUUCCUUCCUGCACGUUAGCACAAUUCAUAAAGAAUCAUUAAAUCACAUCAAUCAAGAAUUCUAAUUGAAUCAUCGAUCAAUCGACUUAGUCGAUUACGUAACAACGAGACCUUUCCCUGGUCAUCUCACUUACUCAACCCCAACGCUAAAUUACGGCUCAGCAAGCACGGCCUACUAAACCUUUGGCAGUAAUGCUGAAUUACGGCUCAGCGGCACAACCUAGAUUAUGUGGUACUACUGAAUUACGGCUCAGCGGCACAACCUAGAUUAUGUGGUACUACUGAAUUACAGCUCAGUGGGCACAACCUAAUAGGUGGUAAUGCUAAAUUACGGCUCAGCGGCACGACCGAUUCCAAGCUCGGUGGUAAUGCUGAAUUACGGCUCAGCUGCACAACCAAUUCCCAAUUCGGUGGUGUCUUGAUCUAACUCACAACAAUAUGCUAGUCAACUCUCAAAAGCCCACAAUGGCACAAAACAUCAUUCAAUCAAACAAUCGACAGCCAAUUGCAUAAAUCACCUAAUUCACAUAAACAACAUGCAAUUUCAUAACUCAUCAUCAAAUGACCAAUCCAGCAUUCAAUUCUAAAAUCUAACCAUAACAUAGCAGUUAGAGUGCAUUUCUAACGAUCGGUCAUCCCGGUCGAAUUUCCAGAAAAUUUAAUUAAUUAAAUAAUUAAAUAAAUUCCGAAAAUUAAUCUAAUUAAAUAUUAAAUAGUAUAAUUAAAUAAUAUUUAAUUUAAAUAAAUAAAAUAAUUAAUUAAAAGUAUAAAUAGGAUUACACUAAUCUAAUCUCAUAAUUAGACUAAUUAAUCCAUCUGCUAAACUAAUCCAGCCCUUAAUCUAAUCCAUACUUAAUUAAACUAAUCUAACCACCUAAAUAUCAUUAGGCUAAUCUAAACACCCCUUAAGUAUGAUUAACCUCUUAAGCAAGGUUUAGUGAGUAAACUCACCGGAUUUGCGCACCGUUGAGUUCACGGCAACCAUGACGCGGAGGUGGAGCGAUAAUCCUCCUAACGACGACACUAACGGAGGACGGGAAGGCACCUAAAAUGGGCCUUGAAACCUCAAGACCCUUAGUGGUCUUGGCUACUGAUCUUGAACCGAAAAGCCUGGAACCGUCAGCGAUUGAGGCUGAACGGCGAAGGAGGAAUCGGCGAUGGCAACAGCUGGUCCAAGCGGCUACAUGCGGUGGCUUCGGCGGCCUUGGCGACGACGGGUAGCUGCUGGCGAAUGGCGGGGGAGCAGCGAAGUUGGACGCGCGGGCGAGUAGCAAAUGCGGCUAGCAUGCGGGUGAGCUCUAGUGGCUUGCGGCAGUCGGACAACUAUGGGAGCUACUCGAUUGGCUUGCUGGCUUCUUCCUCUGGUUUUACAAGCUUUCUCUCCUUCAACAACAAUGGAGAAAGCCCCCAAAUGAGGACGAAGAAGGCUGCUGAAGAGGGGGUCCCCUUGGUGGCUUCUAUGGGCUCAAUACAUGUUAAUUCCUCCUUUCUCUUGCCCCCACCAUCGCCGGCCCAUCCCUUAGCCAUUCUCUCUCCUUAGCUUUCUCCAUAAGCUUGCCAAUAGGUCCAAAAUGUUGUAUACCCCAUGGCAUACGAAUUUUGUGACGUUGCCCUUCAAUUUCAUUCAAUUUCUCUUCCAAUCGAGUCAAAUUGAAGUCCAUAAAUUUAACCAAUGUAACCAUACUUGAUUCCAUAUUUUUCCUUGUCCAUUGAACCAUCUUGGAUGUCAAAAGCGCAACCAAAAAUGGGCCUAAGGAUUUUCCCGAUCCAAUUUCGCCAAAUCUUGAUUUUUCGCCGAAAAUCUCGAUUUGUAGAAAAAUCUUCAGAGGAUAAGUCAACACUCCUAAAAUGACUUGUGACAUAACAGAACUCUCAAUUUCUAAAUUCGGGUUCGAUUUUGCGGUUAAUUUCAAUCUAGCGCGAUUUUAGUGCGUCCUAAUCUACCGGGUAGUUUUUAGGAACUUUUCGUGCAAUUGACCUGUGGUUGAUUGUUUUCGAGCCAUAAAGUGCAUCUUCGACACAUUAGCGACUCUCAAUUAUCGUAGAAAUCUCAAGGUUUCAAAUAUGGACAUAGGGUACCAAAACGACAGAGAAAUCGGUCUAGUGCUGAUCGACAAGAUUUGUGCGAUCAGGUGGAGUCACCCACACUUAAUCACAUGCCUUUGUCGAGUCGACCUAUCUCUGGUCUCUAAUCGGUCUGUGCCAUAAUGACCUUUGCAGAUUAGUACGAUCGAGCAGUCAUUUCUUGGUCAAAUUCUCAAGUCCAUUGCGUUUAGAUUCCUUAACAGCUUUACCUGAUAGACUAGUUAUCCCAUGAGUGAUCAGCUUAGGGAAAAGAACUAUAUACACGUCGAUGAAAAGCCCAACUUAUUCAGUCGAAAUCAGAACCUAAAAUUUAGGAUGUCACACGUCUUGGAUUUGACUAAUUUCUGCCUAAAAGUUCCAUCGCAAAGAUGAUUAUUAGUCUAGUGCAAAUUUAAGCAUAUAUUAUACUUUUAAGUGCACUGACACAAGAUACAUCAUUUAUCUAGAUUUUCUUAAUAUCUAAAUAAGGACAAUGUAAUGAAUUCGGUUCAUCAUCCUUAAUGACGGGAGCAAUUCCUGACUUGCAGUAAUGUAUGUUGAAUAUUUCCAACAAAUGUCCUCUGAGAUAAAUCCUAUAUAUAUGGCGAGAACAAUCCUGACGAACCUCAGUGUAAAGGACAAAAGAUGCCUCAAGGUCAUUACUUGUAAACAAAAUAUCACGUACAUAGAGUAUGAGAAAAUAAAUUUCCUCCCACUGACCUUACAGUAUAUAUAUAUAUAUAUAUCUGUGUGUGUGUGUGUGUGUGUGUGUGUGUGUGUGUGUGUGUGUGUGUGUGUUGAAUUACUGUGUUCCUAACUGAACGAAAAGAUAACACUAUGAAACUUUAAUAAUAUUAUCUAGAAACUUGCUUAAGACCAUGAAUAAAACUUUUCAGUAUACACACAAAUUUAUUUAAAUCAUCUACUGCAAAAUCUUCUAGUUGCACUAUAUAGAUUUUGGAUCUAUUUGGCGUAACUCUAUAUCAAAAUACACUAUUAAUGCCACAUUCACUCUGAAAGAAUCUUUAAAAAUACUAAGGGUUAAUACCUUAAAAACCCUAAACUGGUACACUUGUGACAAAUUUACCCCAAACUAUUUUUUUGACCAUAAAAAACCCCAAACUGGUAAACUUGUGACAAAUUUACCCCGACUGAUUAUAAAAAAUCCUAAACUGGUACAUUUAUGACAAAUUUACCCUAAACUAAUUUAUUCGACUACAAAAAACCCUAAACUGGUAAAUUUAUGACAAAUAUACCCUAUGCUAAAUUGGAUUAAUACUACAAAAAACUCAUAAAAAUUGUAAACUGUGACAAACAGAACGUAAAAUCCUAAAUUGGUAUACUGGUUAACUGUCACGUGUCAUUUAACUUAAUAAUUUGAGAAUAAAAUUUAACGAAAACUAACAUAGAGUAAAUUUGUCACAAGUGUACCAGUUUGGGAUAAAUUUGUCAAAAGUAUACCAGUUUGGGGUUUUUGGUGGUCAAAAAAAUAGUUUGGGGUAAAUUUGUCACAAGUGUACCAGUUUGGGAUUUUUUAGGGUAUUAUCCCAAAUACUAAAAAGAAAUAAUUAUUUCUUCACUAUUAACUAUCCACCCCUCUUUCAGAGUGAAAAAUUUAGCUACUAGUUUAGCUUUAAACUCCACAAUCUAUAUUUGAAUUAUUUUUAGUUUUGUACGCCUAUUUGCAACUAAUGAACUUGUGAUCUUUUGGCAAGUCAGUAAGUUUCCAAACACCAUGAUAUUUCAUAGAUUGCAUAUCGCCUUUUAUGGCAUCUAAUUAAGGAUAAGAAACAACAUUUAUAUAAGUAGUUAAAUCAACCAUGUAAUGGAUAUUGCAGUCAUGCUCUCAUAGAUAGACUAUAUAGCCUGAUGGUAUAACUGAUCAUCUUUCCCUAACAAAUAACAAAUCUCCUGAGUAAGGUACAACCACUUCAUUCUAUACUUGAGAGGUUUGAAAAAUUUCAUCACAAACUAUAUCAAUAAUAGUACCUUGAACCUCAACAAGUUUAGUCUAUGGUACAGAAGAUUUCACAAUUGUCUGUAUAGGCAAUAACAAAGACACAAUAACCUCCAUCUUACUAUUAUUCUUGAUAGUCUGAGAGCAACUAUCCUCUACAACUAUGUUGAACUCUAGAAAUUUUACUGUUUGUAAUUCUAUAAUUCUUGUACCUUCAUUAAGGUCAUAAAAUCAAUACCCCUUUGAAUAAUUUAGGUAAGAUACAAAAUAAUUUCAAGUGGAUCUGAAUUCCAACACACUUAAUAUUGGAUUAGAUAACUUCAUUUCUACAUGACACCCCUAAAAUUUAAUAUGAUUCAAGUUAAAAUUUACGUCUAGUCCAUAACUCAAAAGAAGUUUAGGAAAUAACUUUGGUAAGAAACACAUUUUGUAUGUGAAAAUGUUGCUUUCAAAAUAUCAACCCACAGAAGAUUGGAUAAAUUAAUCUUACGCAUUAUACUCAUCACCAUGUUAAUUAUGGUGCAACUAUGCCUUUCAACCAAAUCAUUUUGUCAGGAUUUUCAAGCAUGGUAAAUUACGUUACCACCCAAGAAUUUACCAAGUAUUUAACAAAUGACCCUUUAAGCUAUUCCGCAUUGUCAUACUUGUCAAAAUACUCACUGCCACUAUUAAGCCUAACAACCUUUAAGACUAAUUCUAACUGUUUUAUUAUUUAUCUCGGUCAUUUUACUUCCACAAUAUUCUAUAGUAAUCUUUAGAUAACCGUUAAGAGUAGACAGAAUAUCAACAUUAUCACAUUUUCUACUCUUUCUUUAGACAUGUGUGAGAUUAUUCCUUAAACAAAAAAAUUUUGGAAACAACCUUUUCAACAUUAUAUGAGACGUAUAUAUCAUUAGGACUUAAACACAAUCUUUGCAUAUGUGUCUUAAUUUCGGUAUUAGACAAGACAUAAUUUCAAGCCACUAAGGCUUCCAUCAUCUUUUAGGAGUACAGUCAGUUGGUAAACCACUUUUCAAGUAUUCCUGAAUGGAACACUUCAUGGACAUUAAGCAAAUUCUAUUGUAUUUUUCCUAAGCGGCAGAUCAUAUGUCCNNNNNNNNNNNNNNNNNNNNNNNNNNNNNNNNNNNNNNNNNNNNNNNNNNNNNNNNNNNNNNNNNNNNNNNNNNNNNNNNNNNNNNNNNNNNNNNNNNNNUCAUAUAAUCACAUUUGGGCAGAAUAUAUAACAUGCAGUUGUACACUCCUUACACGAUAGCGGUUAUGAGAAUAUAUUCCAAUAUUCGUGAAUUCAUUACCUUUGGGCAUAUGAACCACUAGGACAGUCAUUCUUUCACCACACCAUCAUGUAUCCCUCCAUGAACUAAUACACAAUCACCUUAUUUGGGAGUAUGACUAUGCAUUAGACCAUGAGACAUCCCAAUCAAUAUACGAGAUCGAAAUUUCUCAAACCCAAUCAAGCGUGCCACUUUGGCAGUCACUACUCAAUUGAAUCUUUGAAACUCUUUCAUACCAGGGAUAUAAACUUUACUUCUCACAUACACCAUAUACAUGUGAUUUUAACUUUAGUGAUAGGGGCAGUAAAUCACUAAAAUCAUAUAUCAUGCUAAUUACACUGCUUUAUUCAUUAACAAAAAUCAAUCAUACAUAUAUAUAAAUGACCUGAAAGACAAACUCCAUUGAGAUCACCGAUCACAGCAACACAAGAAACUUCUCAUAACAUAGAAGAAAGCAUCUCUUGUGCACCUUGAUUGCAGAUUACCAGAACAACAUCAAAAGAAUGCCAAUCCAAAGGAUCUCUCACAAGUUAACAUCAAUAGCAAUACAUGGUACUCCAGAUUGACUAGCUUGACAACUAACUAUUGCUUAUGAGUUUCAUAAGAUAAACUAUGUCUCCAAGGUCAACAAUUGAUUUAUUAGCCAAUAUUAAGUACCAAAUUAUCAUUGUAUCAACCAGUGACUUAUUAAUUGAGUCAAACCACAGAAUCAUGUAUCUAAACUACAACAGUAGAUACUAUGCUCUGCGUAAAUGUUAUCAUACUUCUUAACCAUUAACAAAAAAAAAAAAAAAAAAAUCUUGAUAGACAUUAACAAGUGACCAGAUGAGUUUAGGUACAGUAUCCAAUAAUUUAACUAACAUGAAUUACUCACAUUCAGCAGAUGUGUUAAGUAGUACAAUCAGUUUGGUCACAAGUUUUAAGACGUCCAUCAUUCAAAGGUUACCAGCGUGUAAAGGAGUAUGCUUGAGCAACAAAAGUUUCAUAACCUUUUACUGUUUCUUAUCACAUCAAUACAUAGUUCAAUUACCAUCUCACAAUAGUUUUAUCUCAUUAAGCCAACUUCAGUUCACAAUAAAGUUUAAUUUUUAUUAAUGAAUCACACAUUUAUAAUGUUUAUGUGAUAACAUACCAGUAACCCAACACUUGCUUUUCCAAAAUCACUGAAAAUACAAGAAAAAUACACUAAAAUACACUAAAAUACACGUAUUUAGGGUUUCAUAUGUAUUUUCACAUCCAUAAAAUCAUCAAACAUGUAAACUAAAUAAUCCACAAGACAGAGGAUGAUCAUACGAACCCAACGCCGCCAGCCACACGUCGAUCUAAGGCUCCAUGCGCCCGCACGCGCCGCCUGAGUGUGCGGCGCGUGGAGCUCACACGCAGGCGUAUCUUGACUGAUCAAAACUAGUCUGACCAGUUCCCGGCUUGACCGUUCGGUCCAGCCAUCCAGUUUGACCGGUUGACUGGUCCGGUCAAUAGUUGAUCGGGUCAGGUCGGCUACGAGUUGCUGAUGUCAUCAUGACGUCAGCACCGCGCGUGUGACGAAUGUGCGAGCCGCGUCUCGUGCGUGGGGGCGUGUGAAGGCACGUGAGCAUUCGCGAGGCACGUCUAUGAUGCCUUGGCGGCGUGUGGCCGCGCGUGGGGGCGUGUGAAGGCAUGUAGGGCUCAUCUACAACGCUCUGGCGAUGCGUAGCCGCAUGUGGGGGCGCGUGUGGCAUCCCCCGACGACGCUUCGCCCAUGGAUCCACUCAUCUCGACGAGCCUAGUCCGAAUUUAUGAUUUAAUUUGAUUUUAUUGAAUGAAAAAUCGUGAAAAUCUCAAAAUUAGGGCAAAAAUUCUAUGCGUUUGAAUUCUAGGGUUAUAGUUGCUUUGAUACCACAUGUUGGAUGCAAAACGUUCAACCACAAGAUCUCCAUAGCCAGAACAAAAACACACAUAACUGAGUAGAAAGAUUAACGCACCUAUUUUGGGAUCCAUCGUUCUUGAAGCAGAAGCGAAAAUCGAUGAUCCACGCGCAAGUCCUUCUCCUCUAUUGCCUUCUGUAUCACUAGCUCAAAGAGAUGGCCCCCUCACCCUUUAGCGUUAGGUAAACGCUCCUUAUGUGAGGAUCUCGUGAAAAUUAGGGUUAGAGGAGAGACUUGAACACUAUUUAUAGAGUUCCUAACCAGACCCCCUUAUUACAAGACAUGCUCAACUCAAUCCACACUAGCCAGCCUCAUACUAGACUAAUUAAGAAAUCUUCUAUCUUACCUUAGACCAACCCCAUUUUACGGUAACUGUAAAAUGGUAAAUUACAUUAUCAAUUAAUGUAGUCCACAUUAGGAAAACUCUUACAACAUCAAUAUAAUUUACUACAAUGAAUUAAACAAAGAAAAAACUAGUAAAUUUUCCACAUUCAAGCUUCAAAGUUUCGGAUCUGAGCCUCCCAUGGCCGAAUUUUGGAUUUAUCAAGUUUAAGCCCAAAAAACUUAUCUUAAUGCAACAAAAGGAUGCUAAAACAUAUUUAUAACAAUACCCAUGCAACGAUUUACAACGAACAUCAAUCAAUUGCAAGUAAUUUGAAAAUUCUAGAACUUUUUCAUGCAUAAACCCUAUAAUCUCAAAUUUAAAAUUCUCUCUCAAUUCUCAACGAAAUAAUACAAAUUAUAUAUGGUUGGAAAGAUCUCGGCAUGUAGAACAAAAGCCCUAAGGUUUCAGAAUCAAUCGAUCAAAAAAUCCACAUGAAAAAAUAAUGCCCAUAUUCGGCUCAAAAAGAAAAAUUUCGAAUUUGUUCAUAAAAAAUAAUUUUUGGUUCUACAAUCAUAUAUGACAUGCUCUGAUACCACAUGUUGAAAAUUAUUUACAUAAACAACCUAUUAAUCAAGAAGAAUUAGAUUCAUAUAUAACUGUAAAACAUCGAGAACAAUAAGCAUAGCAGAAUUAAAGCAUACCUGUUUAAGCAAUUGCUUCACUUGAAUAAAAAUAGAUCACUUUGAUAAUAAUAGAUCUAUCGGAAUGGAAAAUCUUCUUUUCUAUGACAUAUUUCAGUAUAGCAGCUUUCAAUAGGAUUAAGCAACCGAUAUGUAUAACCUACCAUUUUAUAAGCUAGAGAGGGCACCUAACAAACUCUAAUCAAUAGUAUGUCAACUGAGCUCCUCUCAUUACGAGCUUCAAUUAAACACAAUUGCCGACACUUUGCUACUCAACUAGGCCCGUUAUUAAUAGAUGCCAAAAUCCAGUUCAAUAAAAUCACUUAAAGGUUUAGCAAAUAUUGAAAUAUCCAUUAAAUUAAUUAUUUAAAAUAGAAAAUCAAUUAAUUAAUGUACGCCCAUAUUAUAGGAAAUUUCCAACAAUUCAAUUAAUUAGAAGUGGAUUCAUUGCAAAAAAGUUCUCAUCCGUGCUCUCUAUCUCUGAUUAUCUACUUCUUUUAUCGAUGCAUAUCAUCAUCUUUUCUGAUCAUGAUAAUAUUUUUCGAAGAAUUCACAGCUGAAUCAAAUAUAUACAUCUAGACAUUUAAAUCUAAAGGAUUAAGUUAAAAAAGGAUUCUGUCAAGUUGAAGAACCUAAAUAUAUUUUGAUAGAUGUAGCUUAAGAUGCAAUAACCUUCUAUGAAUUUUCUAAUGGUAAUUUUAUGUCUGUGCUUUAAAUUUUCUCUUCACUGAGAAUAUACAUUAGUUGUGGCUAGGUGGAUGGGGUUGGAAGUGUAAAUUCUUGUCAAAUGUGGCUAAUUUCUAGAGAGCGUUUGGUUCAGUAUUUCUCAAUUUGAAACCGAGUGAAAAACAAAUAAAGAGAAGGCAGGGGUAGUUGGCAGAAAUUAACUUAUGAGGCGGGAGAUACCUCGUUUGGUCCUAUUCUCAUUCUAGCAUUCUUUUGUCCAUAAUGGGACCCUUGGUUGUAUGAACGCCACCCCAUUUUCAUUAUUUUUCUCAAUGAGGCCUACAUUUGAGAUUUCUAUAAGUGUCAUAACAUAUUAAUAGCAUAUGCGUGCCGACAUUUCAGGUUAGCACUGUGUAUUUUCCAAUAAAAAUGACCUUUCUUUUCCAAGUGCCAAUUUUCUUCUUCCCCUAAGAAUUGUGAUUAUGCUUCGCAAUAUUUCAUUAACGUUGUGGGUUCUUGAAUAUCAAUCUUUAAGUUGACUUUCUCAUCGUUGAACGGAUUUGAUACCUGUGGAUGUUAUUAUUUUCUUGGAAGUAAUGCUCUACUGCCCCAAGAAUACAUAUACUAUAUGAUGGUGUGCGCUCUCAUUGCCCUGAGAACAUGUUAGAUUGUCAUACUAUCUAAUGGUCUAGAAUGCAAAAGUCACAAUGUAGCCAUACGCAGUAUGGUCAUUAGCAAUUUCUACAUGUAAUGCAAAAAAAAAUAAAAAAUGCUUUCUUUUAAUUAUAUUAUUUUUAUUGAAAAUUUAAGAUACGGAUGAUAUAAAGUGUCUACAACAGCCAGGUUCUCAACCUCUCAAGGCCUGUUUCUAAUGCGGAAAUUCGUGAGUCCUUAUUCUCCAUUUCAACUGGUAAAGCAUCGGGCCCCGAUGGCUUUGGCGUGGAAUUCUUUAAGCAUUGCUGGGAUGUUGUUGGCCCUCUGGUUACUACUGUGGUUAGUGAUUUCUUCACUACUGGAAAGCUCCUCAAGGAAUCUAACAACACUAUUCUCACCCUUGUGCCGAAAUGCCCAAAUGCUACUACGGUAAAUGAUUUCAGGCCGAUUGCUUGUUGCAACACGAUAUACAAAUGCAUUACAAAGAUUAUUGACAACCGUAUGGCUGCCAUCAUGCCUGCUGUCAUUAGUACUGCUCAAAACGCCUUUGUUAAAGGAAGACGAAUUAGUGUCAACAUAUUUAUAGCUCAGGAGCUUUUUGCGGGGUUCCACCUCAAGCCACAUAAGCCUAGGUGAGCCAUCAAAGUUGAUUUCCGUAAAGCUUAUGAUACACUCAGUUGGGACUUUCUCGAGGUAACGCUUCAAGCUUUUCGCUUUCCUCUCCACUUUAUUAACCUUAUUAUGAGCUGUGUUCGGUCGCCUCAUUUCUCGAUCUCCCUUAAUGGCGAACUCCAUGGAUUCUUCUCUAGCGGUAGAGGCAUUAGACAAGGAGAUCCCAUGUCACCCUACCUCUUCACGUUUGUCAUGGAAGUUUUUAUAGGCAUCCUCAUUAAGCAAAUCAGUCAACCAUCGUUCCAAUUUUUUUGGAGAUGCAAGGCGAUUAGACUUACUUAUUUGUUUUUUGCGGAUGAUGUGCUGCUGUUUGCGGAGGCGUCUAUGCCAGCCCUUUCUCUUCUUAAGGCAGGCUUGGAUAGUUUUUCCACAUGGUCUAGCCUCUAACCGAAUCUACAUGAGAGUGAGAUUUUUUUCUCAGGGGUCACCCCUGAGUCUCGCGGCGAUUUCAUCUCUAUUUGGCUUCCAAGAGGGAUCCAUGCCUUUCCAAUAUAUGGGGGUUCCCGUUCUUUCUUCUAGACUUCGUAAAGUUGAUUGUGCUACACUGGUUAAUCUCAUCACUUCAAGGGUGCAAUCUUGGACACAACGUUUUCUCUCAUUUGCGGGUCGCCUACAACUUAUCAGGUCAGUGCUCCAUUCCGUUCAAGCCUAUUGGGCGAAUGUCUUCAUUCUUCCCAGAUUGGUUCUGGAUGAUAUUGAGAGGAUUUUGAGGCAAUUCCUAUGGAAGGGCCCGGACCUUGGUAGGGGUGGUGCUAAGGUCGCUUGGACUGAUGUUUGCCACCCAAAAUCUGAAGGGGGCUUAGUAAUUUGAAGACUCAGGCAAAGCAACACCGCGGCCAUGCUAAAACACAUCUAGUUGUUAUUUACAGAUAGAGAAUCCCUUUGGUACAGAUGGAUACACUCUGUUUUCUUGAAAAAUGUUAGUUUUUGGCUGGCAUCUAAACCUACCUCUUGCUCUUGGUCUUGGAAAAAAAUCUUGGACCUUCGUGUGAAGUUUCGCAAGUGCUUUCACAGGCGAGUUGGAAAUGGCUGCUCGACUUCCUUCUGGUACGACAACUGGCACCCCAAAGGGCCGUUGAACUUAUUAUUUUUCAAUGCAGACAUUUACCGUUCUCGGUUACCCAAAGAAGCUACAGUCAUUGACUUUUUCUCCUGUCCUAACCCAUCUUCGGGUGUUCUGGAUGUGAUCCCCUACCUAAACUCAAUGAUGAAGAUGAUCAUUUUCUUUGGCUGGGCAGCUCGAAUGGCACUUUUUCUGCUGCAUCUACUUGGGACACUUUUCGGCCGACUAGCCAUCCGGUACAGUGGGCGCCCUUCAUUUGGAACAUUUCAUUAGUACCCCGCUACCAAUUCCUGCUAUGGUUGAUUACAAAAAAUAGACUACCGACUCAAGUACUACUCCUUACCUAUGGUAGAAUACCAUAUGGGAACUGUGCCUUUUGCUCCUAUCGCCCAAAUUCAAUUGAUCACUUGUUUUUUGGAUGCCCCAUUCCUGCUGCCUCGGCCACUUUUUGGGCUGCAAGAUUUAAUUAUGCUUGGCGGAAUAAAUCUUGGAAGGAAAACUUGCUUUGGGCAAUCAAAUCUCUCUCAGGACCCUCUUUCCGCUUUUCUCUUGCUUGCUUUGCAUUUGCUGCUUUAUGCAACAUCACUUGGAAGGAGCGUAACAAUAUACUGUUCCGGGGUAGACCUCCCUCCCAUUUGGCCAUGAAAAGGUGCCUUGAACAGGUUAUAAAGGACAAAGCCUUGUCUUUCCAUCAAGUCCCUCCCACUGCGGCUAACAGGAGAUUAUUGCAAAGCUGGUCGCUCAACCCCUCCAUUUUGGCGAGCUGAUGGAUUUCACCCUCCUCCUGGCUUCCGAGAUGACCCCUUACCAACCUUAGAGCUAUGCUUGGUUUCUUUUGUUGGUAGUGCUUUCUCUUUGCUGUUUGUGUUGGUUUAGGCUUGCUGGUUCUGUGCCGUUGUUUGGCCUUUUUCCUUCCCCUGCUCUUGGCUUGGUUUCAUUUACCUUGGCCCCCUUUCACUCUCUCUGACUUGUUGUCUACGUGAGUGCAAGUUUCUGGGACCGAGUUUUUGUUGUAUAGAUAUAUAACUCUUUGGUUUAAAGUCAAUAUAUUUAUUACCUUCACCAAAAAAAAAAAUGAUAUAAAGUGUAACUGAGAAAAAAACUCCCCCAAAUUUUGCAAAGUCAGAGGUACCGCUUAGACCCAACGGUGGGGGUGGAGUGUCUGCACUAGCUCUAUACAUACAUACCGCUAAAUCUCUGCUUGGAAGUUACCUAAUUUGUUUUCUUUUCUCACCCCCUAGCUCUAUACACAACGACCGGGUCGUGACCGUGUGAAUGCUUGACUAAAGCCUCCCCCCUUGGGCCCGUAUUUUCCUGCAUUUUAUGUUCUUAUUACUUUUUCCUCUAAAUCUUUGCUGAAGAUGUGGUCAUUGCGAGUCGCUGCUUGCAUUUUCUUUGCUGUGUCCAAUUUUGACCUACUUUUUUUACCCAGAAUUCCCCGAUUUCCGGCUUUUCCCUUCGGUUCCUCUUCGUGUUUUCACACGGCCAAUUUCCUUCGUUCACGCGCAGGAAUACCGCGUGGAAAGUGGGCUCAACUCGACCAUUUCGGUCACCCAGAAGGAGGGAGCGGUGAGGACUUAAAAUUCCCGUUUAAAUUCGCUGCGGAAAAUUCAGGACCGGGUUGGGUCGUGUAACUGGUUGGUUCAUAAGAAUUCGCGGGGUCUGUAAUUUUAAAUGCAAAAGAAUGCCGUCGAGAUCGAGAUCGGAGGAUUAAAAAUGUGCUUUUAUUAGGGGUCAAAUUACUGUUCAAUUUGAUGGCUGAAUUUCAUGAAAAUGUGGAUACAACCUUUGGGAGAAAAUUUAGAUGUCAGUAGUAAUUUUCCUUGAAAGUCGGUAAGUUACUACUUCUCUUUGAAUCAUCUCUUGGUUGAAAUUUUUUCUUUUUUGGUCUAAUGAUGCAGACUGCAUAUGAAUUGGUCUCAUGAAUUAAUUAGUGUAGGUAAAAUUCUAAAUUUGAGUCAAGAUUUAUGCUAAGUAAAUAAGCAGCAGUACUUUCGAGAGGUUUUCCUUGCAAUUUCUAGAAGCAAAAAAAGAGAAAUGCUAUUCAUAAGAAAACUAGACAUUUAUAUAUUAAGAUGAUGGAGUAAUUUUGGUGUCAAUAGUAAUUUUUCUUAAGUUUUUUUUUUACUCUCGGCUGCUUUGGAUUCCCUCUUCGUUUUCGUUUCCUUUUGUUUUUUUCUCCUCAUUUUAUAACCACAUCCUCACCAUGAUGAGCCUUCUCUCUUUUGUCCCCUAGGUCUCCCCUUUUCUUUCUCACAAGUCUUUUCUUUUCUUGCUUUUUUUAUUUGUUGGUUCUCCGCCGAAACCCUUAAUGAAGACUACUAAUUGGUGUUUAGUUUUCCAAAGUGUAGCAUUAUUGAGCACCAUCAUCGACCCAUCAAGUUCGCUAAACUCAGUCAUCAAUGGAUUGACCAUUCUUUUUUGAACAGGAGCUACACCAACGUGGCAGGAAAAUGAAAACCAAAAACGCAUGCAAGAACUCAUUGAUUUUCUAAGACUUGGUCAUAAGUAUUGCUGAAGAGAAACUUUGAUACCGCUGCAUUGAGAAUAGAAGCACUCCCAACAAGUAAAUCCAGGUGAUUGAAUUCAAUUACACGACGGAAUCAACUCAAUGAUUUAAGUUCAAAAGUCACUCUAUAAUGAUCACGAUAGCGAUACGGUAACUUUGAGCGUCGCAAUAAGAUGUCUCAUGAUGCAGUAGAAAAAUCCAAUCUAGUCAUGCAAAGGGGCGGCAACAUGACCACAACGCCAGUAAUAUUGGGGUAGCAACGGCGCAUCAACGAGGCUUACCGUUAUUGAACCUUUUUUCUUUCCUUUUUAUGGAUAUAAUAUGAAUUAGAUAAUAGAUCUCUUACUAAUAAAUAGAUAAUAGGGAAAUCCAAUUCUCCAAUUCCUAUUUGAAUUCAUCAAAUGGGCAUUUUUUUUUCAUUUACUAAUUCAAUUCUAUUACUUUUUUAUAUUAUCCCUAAAAUUUUAUUAGAUAAUUUAAUUUACCGUCAUAUCAUUACAUGACAAUUCAAAUAUGGAUGUAACUANNNNNNNNNNNNNNNNNNNNNNNNNNNNNNNNNNNNNNNNNNNNNNNNNNNNNNNNNNNNNNNNNNNNNNNNNNNNNNNNNNNNNNNNNNNNNNNNNNNNNNNNNNNNNNNNNNNNNNNNNNNNNNNNNNNNNNNNNNNNNNNNNNNNNNNNNNNNNNNNNNNNNNNNNNNNNNNNNNNNNNNNNNNNNNNNNNNNNNNNNNNNNNNNNNNNNNNNNNNNNNNNNNNNNNNNNNNNNNNNNNNNNNNNNNNNNNNNNNNNNNNNNNNNNNNNNNNNNNNNNNNNNNNNNNNNNNNNNNNNNNNNNNNNNNNNNNNNNNNNNNNNNNNNNNNNNNNNNNNNNNNNNNNNNNNNNNNNNNNNNNNNNNNNNNNNNNNNNNNNNNNNNNNNNNNNNNNNNNNNNNNNNNNNNNNNNNNNNNNNNNNNNNNNNNNNNNNNNNNNNNNNNNNNNNNNNNNNNNNNNNNNNNNNNNNNNNNNNNNNNNNNNNNNNNNNNNNNNNNNNNNNNNNNNNNNNNNNNNNNNNNNNNNNNNNNNNNNNNNNNNNNNNNNNNNNNNNNNNNNNNNNNNNNNNNNNNNNNNNNNNNNNNNNNNNNNNNNNNNNNNNNNNNNNNNNNNNNNNNNNNNNNNNNNNNNNNNNNNNNNNNNNNNNNNNNNNNNNNNNNNNNNNNNNNNNNNNNNNNNNNNNNNNNNNNNNNNNNNNNNNNNNNNNNNNNNNNNNNNNNNNNNNNNNNNNNNNNNNNNNNNNNNNNNNNNNNNNNNNNNNNNNNNNNNNNNNNNNNNNNNNNNNNNNNNNNNNNNNNNNNNNNNNNNNNNNNNNNNNNNNNNNNNNNNNNNNNNNNNNNNNNNNNNNNNNNNNNNNNNNNNNNNNNNNNNNNNNNNNNNNNNNNNNNNNNNNNNNNNNNNNNNNNNNNNNNNNNNNNNNNNNNNNNNNNNNNNNNNNNNNNNNNNNNNNNNNNNNNNNNNNNNNNNNNNNNNNNNNNNNNNNNNNNNNNNNNNNNNNNNNNNNNNNNNNNNNNNNNNNNNNNNNNNNNNNNNNNNNNNNNNNNNNNNNNNNNNNNNNNNNNNNNNNNNNNNNNNNNNNNNNNNNNNNNNNNNNNNNNNNNNNNNNNNNNNNNNNNNNNNNNNNNNNNNNNNNNNNNNNNNNNNNNNNNNNNNNNNNNNNNNNNNNNNNNNNNNNNNNNNNNNNNNNNNNNNNNNNNNNNNNNNNNNNNNNNNNNNNNNNNNNNNNNNNNNNNNNNNNNNNNNNNNNNNNNNNNNNNNNNNNNNNNNNNNNNNNNNNNNNNNNNNNNNNNNNNNNNNNNNNNNNNNNNNNNNNNNNNNNNNNNNNNNNNNNNNNNNNNNNNNNNNNNNNNNNNNNNNNNNNNNNNNNNNNNNNNNNNNNNNNNNNNNNNNNNNNNNNNNNNNNNNNNNNNNNNNNNNNNNNNNNNNNNNNNNNNNNNNNNNNNNNNNNNNNNNNNNNNNNNNNNNNNNNNNNNNNNNNNNNNNNNNNNNNNNNNNNNNNNNNNNNNNNNNNNNNNNNNNNNNNNNNNNNNNNNNNNNNNNNNNNNNNNNNNNNNNNNNNNNNNNNNNNNNNNNNNNNNNNNNNNNNNNNNNNNNNNNNNNNNNNNNNNNNNNNNNNNNNNNNNNNNNNNNNNNNNNNNNNNNNNNNNNNNNNNNNNNNNNNNNNNNNNNNNNNNNNNNNNNNNNNNNNNNNNNNNNNNNNNNNNNNNNNNNNNNNNNNNNNNNNNNNNNNNNNNNNNNNNNNNNNNNNNNNNNNNNNNNNNNNNNNNNNNNNNNNNNNNNNNNNNNNNNNNNNNNNNNNNNNNNNNNNNNNNNNNNNNNNNNNNNNNNNNNNNNNNNNNNNNNNNNNNNNNNNNNNNNNNNNNNNNNNNNNNNNNNNNNNNNNNNNNNNNNNNNNNNNNNNNNNNNNNNNNNNNNNNNNNNNNNNNNNNNNNNNNNNNNNNNNNNNNNNNNNNNNNNNNNNNNNNNNNNNNNNNNNNNNNNNNNNNNNNNNNNNNNNNNNNNNNNNNNNNNNNNNNNNNNNNNNNNNNNNNNNNNNNNNNNNNNNNNNNNNNNNNNNNNNNNNNNNNNNNNNNNNNNNNNNNNNNNNNNNNNNNNNNNNNNNNNNNNNNNNNNNNNNNNNNNNNNNNNNNNNNNNNNNNNNNNNNNNNNNNNNNNNNNNNNNNNNNNNNNNNNNNNNNNNNNNNNNNNNNNNNNNNNNNNNNNNNNNNNNNNNNNNNNNNNNNNNNNNNNNNNNNNNNNNNNNNNNNNNNNNNNNNNNNNNNNNNNNNNNNNNNNNNNNNNNNNNNNNNNNNNNNNNNNNNNNNNNNNNNNNNNNNNNNNNNNNNNNNNNNNNNNNNNNNNNNNNNNNNNNNNNNNNNNNNNNNNNNNNNNNNNNNNNNNNNNNNNNNNNNNNNNNNNNNNNNNNNNNNNNNNNNNNNNNNNNNNNNNNNNNNNNNNNNNNNNNNNNNNNNNNNNNNNNNNNNNNNNNNNNNNNNNNNNNNNNNNNNNNNNNNNNNNNNNNNNNNNNNNNNNNNNNNNNNNNNNNNNNNNNNNNNNNNNNNNNNNNNNNNNNNNNNNNNNNNNNNNNNNNNNNNNNNNNNNNNNNNNNNNNNNNNNNNNNNNNNNNNNNNNNNNNNNNNNNNNNNNNNNNNNNNNNNNNNNNNNNNNNNNNNNNNNNNNNNNNNNNNNNNNNNNNNNNNNNNNNNNNNNNNNNNNNNNNNNNNNNNNNNNNNNNNNNNNNNNNNNNNNNNNNNNNNNNNNNNNNNNNNNNNNNNNNNNNNNNNNNNNNNNNNNNNNNNNNNNNNNNNNNNNNNNNNNNNNNNNNNNNNNNNNNNNNNNNNNNNNNNNNNNNNNNNNNNNNNNNNNNNNNNNNNNNNNNNNNNNNNNNNNNNNNNNNNNNNNNNNNNNNNNNNNNNNNNNNNNNNNNNNNNNNNNNNNNNNNNNNNNNNNNNNNNNNNNNNNNNNNNNNNNNNNNNNNNNNNNNNNNNNNNNNNNNNNNNNNNNNNNNNNNNNNNNNNNNNNNNNNNNNNNNNNNNNNNNNNNNNNNNNNNNNNNNNNNNNNNNNNNNNNNNNNNNNNNNNNNNNNNNNNNNNNNNNNNNNNNNNNNNNNNNNNNNNNNNNNNNNNNNNNNNNNNNNNNNNNNNNNNNNNNNNNNNNNNNNNNNNNNNNNNNNNNNNNNNNNNNNNNNNNNNNNNNNNNNNNNNNNNNNNNNNNNNNNNNNNNNNNNNNNNNNNNNNNNNNNNNNNNNNNNNNNNNNNNNNNNNNNNNNNNNNNNNNNNNNNNNNNNNNNNNNNNNNNNNNNNNNNNNNNNNNNNNNNNNNNNNNNNNNNNNNNNNNNNNNNNNNNNNNNNNNNNNNNNNNNNNNNNNNNNNNNNNNNNNNNNNNNNNNNNNNNNNNNNNNNNNNNNNNNNNNNNNNNNNNNNNNNNNNNNNNNNNNNNNNNNNNNNNNNNNNNNNNNNNNNNNNNNNNNNNNNNNNNNNNNNNNNNNNNNNNNNNNNNNNNNNNNNNNNNNNNNNNNNNNNNNNNNNNNNNNNNNNNNNNNNNNNNNNNNNNNNNNNNNNNNNNNNNNNNNNNNNNNNNNNNNNNNNNNNNNNNNNNNNNNNNNNNNNNNNNNNNNNNNNNNNNNNNNNNNNNNNNNNNNNNNNNNNNNNNNNNNNNNNNNNNNNNNNNNNNNNNNNNNNNNNNNNNNNNNNNNNNNNNNNNNNNNNNNNNNNNNNNNNNNNNNNNNNNNNNNNNNNNNNNNNNNNNNNNNNNNNNNNNNNNNNNNNNNNNNNNNNNNNNNNNNNNNNNNNNNNNNNNNNNNNNNNNNNNNNNNNNNNNNNNNNNNNNNNNNNNNNNNNNNNNNNNNNNNNNNNNNNNNNNNNNNNNNGUCACUUGGGGGUUUACGGCGCGGCUAUCGGCUGCAAGCUGGUUCCUCCCAAUACCAAAAUAUAUAUAUAGAAUCUUACUAAAUUGAAAUGCUAAAUAGAAAAUGGAAAUAACCAGAUUAGAAUCUGACUUGACAUUCUAGAAAAACGGGAAUUAUUUCUAAUAAUCUUCAACUACUAACCAAAACAUGUAAUGUUCUGACAAAAAAAAAACCAAAACAUGUAAUGUGUUUCUAGCUGAUAUCUCCUUCCGUUUUCCUCUCUCGCCCACUAGCUCUAUAAGUAAUGACCGGGUCGUGAUGGUGUGAAUUCUUCGCCGAGAGUCUCGACUAAAAGCCUCCCUUCGGCCGGGAUUUCCCUUCUUUCUACCUUUCCUUUUUACACUGAGCCUUUGCUGAGGAUAUGGUCAUUCAUCAUGAGGGUGUGCUGCAAUUUCUCCGCUGCUGUGUCCUUUUUGACCACGUUCUCCUCAUCAGAGCAAAUCCACCUAGAAUUCCACUUGCGCUCCUUUUAUCUUUAGUCUUUUUCAACUUUCUCUCUUUCGGUUCCGCAUGGCCCGGCCAUGUCCCCUCGUCCUUAUCUUGGUGUUCAAUUAGUCAACACGGUUCCACCGUAUCGUGUCCCACCAGACUUUGCUCUCCAUUUUUGCAGAAUUUCAGCUUUCCCUUUCUGUUCCUUCGUGUGUUUUCACACUGCCAUUUCCCUUCCUUCGCACUCGCAUGAAUCCCGUGUUGAGAGUGGCCUCAAGUCGGCCAUUUCGGUGAACCAGGAGGAGGGAGCGGGAAAGACUUAUAAUUUCCGUUUAAAUUCCCCGCGGAAAAUUCAGGGUCGGGUCUUAUAAUAGGUCAGUUUACAAGAAUUCACAAUCUUAUUAGAAAGGGUCUGUAAUUUUUUUUUGGUGAAGGUAAUAAUCAAGGGUCUGUAAUUUUAAAUGUGAAAGAACGCAAUAGAGAUUGAGAUCGCAGGAUUACAAAUGCAUUUUUAUUAGGGGUCACAUUAUCAAUGAACUUGAUUGUUGGAUUUUAUGAAAAUGCAUAUAAGACAUUCCGGCGAAAAUUUAGGCAUCAACAAUAAUUUUUCUCAAAAGUUAAUACGGACGCGUUUGAUAACCAUUUUGUUCAUGGGAAUAAUUUUUUCUUAGAAAUGAUUUUUUUAUUUAUUUUGUUCCUAGGAACAAUUUCUGAGCUUUUGAAGGCGCUUGGUAAAUGUCUAAAAUUUUUAUUCCUAGAAUAAGAAUGUGUUUAGUAUGACUCUUAAAUAUGUUUUUUUUCUUUUAAUUUUUUAAAAUAUUUUUACUAUAUUUUUCUCUUUUUUCUUCUUCAUUUUCUCUUCUGAUUCCUCCAUCUUUGUGGCCGGCCACCAGUCAUGGCAUGCCAAUGACCGCCGGCUUGGCGAGGUCUAAAGAGCUCACUGGAGGCUCGCCUAGCCACCACAAACCUCGGCCUCGCAGAUUUGGGCGAGGCCGAGCCUCGCUAGGCCUUGCCAAGUCAGUCGUCGAGGCCAAGCCUUGUUAGUGGCUAUACGAGCCUCGCCCAACCCAACGAGCCUCGCCUGACCAUUAGCUAAGCUCAGCCUCGCCUAGCAGGUCGUCGGCCAUUAUCGACGGCGGCAAUAGAGGCCGAUGACUUGCUAGAAGGAAGAAGAAAAGAGAAGGAGAAAAUAACAAAAGAAAAGAGAAAAAAGAAAAAGUUGAUUUGAAAUUGUUUUCGGAAAUAAAAAGUAAUUUUUUUUCUUUUUCUUGAUUUUGUUUCAAAUCUAUUAUCGGGAAUAAAAAAGGGAUUUUUAUUCAUGUAAACAAAAAAUUUAACAAGUGGAUUUCUAUCUUUUUUUGUUUCGGGGAUCAAAAGAAUAGAAUCAACAUUAUUUGAAGGGUUACCAAACAAAGUCUAACUUACUAUUUCUCUUUAGGGAUAAUACCCUAAAAAACCCCAAACGGGUACACUUGUGACAAAUUUACCCCAAACUAUUUUUUUGACCACAAAAAACCCCAAACUGGUAUACUUUUGACAGAUUUACCCCAAACCGGUACACUUGUGACAAAUUUUUCCUAUGUUAGUUUUCGUUAAAUUUUAUUCUCAAAUUAUUAAGUUAAAUGACAUGUGACAAUUAACCAGUAUACCAAUUUAGGAUUUUACGUUCCGUUUGUGACAGUUUACAAUUUUUAUGAUUUUUUUGUGGUAUUAAUCCAAUUUAGCAUAGGGUAUAUUUGUCACAAAUUUACCAGUUUAGGGUUUUUGCAGUCGAAUAAAUUAGUUUGGGGUAAAUUUGUCAUAAAUGUACCGGUUUAGGGUUUUUUUAUAGUCAGUCAGGGUAAAUUUGUCAUAAGUUUACCAAUUUUGGGUUUUUCAUGGUCAAAAAAAUAGUUUUUGGUAAAUUUGUCACAAGUGUACCAGUUUGGGGUUUUUCAAGGUAUUAACCAAUCAUCCCUUCGUUGAAUUUUUUUUUUCUUUUUGGUCUAAAGAUACAUAUUGCAUACGAAAUUGAUCUCAUAAAUUAAUUAGCGGAGGUAAAGUUCUAAACUUGAGACAAUAUAUAUGGAUAGUAAAUAAGUAGCACUAUUUCUGAGAUUUUCUUAAUUAAUACAAUGUAACUCAUUCCUAGCGGGAAAAGAAAAAGAAGAAGCAAUGCUAGACAUAAGAAAAUUGUGUGUGUGUGUGUAUGUGUGUGUGUGUAUAUAUACAUAUAUAUAUAUAUAUUAAGACGGAUGGAGUAUGAAGAGGAAAAUAGUGUGGUGGCCUUCUUAGGUAAGUUUUGUUUUUAAUUUGGGUUAAUACCCUGAAAAACCCCAAACUGGUACACUUGUGACAAAUUUACCCAAAACUAUUUUUUUGACCACCAAAAACCCUAAACUGGUAUACCUUUGACAAAUUUAUCCCAAACUAGUACACUUGUGACAAAUUUACCCUAUGUUAGUUUUCGUUAAAUUUUAUUCUCAAAUUAUUAAGUUAAAUGACACGUGAUAGUUGACCGAUAUACGGAUUUAGGAUUUUAUGCUCCGUUUGUCAUUGUUUACAAUUUUUGUGAUUUUUUUAUGGUAUUAAUCCAAUUUAGCAUAGGGUAUAUUUGUCACAAAUUUACCAUUUUGUGGUUUUUUGCAGUCGAAUAAAUUAGUUUGGGGUAAAUUUGUCAUAAAUGUACCAGUUUAUGAUUUUUUAUAGUCAGUCGGGAUAAAUUUGUCACAAGUAUACCAGUUUGGGGUUUUUCAUUGUCAAAAAAAUAGUUUGGGGUAAAUUUGUCACAAAUGUACCAGUUUGGGGCUUUUCAGGGUAUUAACCCUUUUAAUUUUUCAGAGUUUGGCAAUUAAGUGAACCAUAUUUUAACGUACAACAAUAGUUUUCCAUCUCAUUUGGUACACUGAUUUUUUAAAAUCUUCAUAAAAUUAGUACUGUUUCGGAUGGCAAAAAGUUAAGAUAAGUGGUCUCAACAUUUUGUUGGGAGCACAUUCGGGUGAGUUUCCUCACGGCCGAAAGCUGAAAUUGACUCAAAGGGAACGCGUUUUCUUGAGUACGACCGUCCAUUCAUUACGGGGACAAUGACAUAGGAAACAAUUACCCUACACUACUCUUCAUGCUCCUCUGGAUCCAUGCUUAAUGUGUCAGGGCUGCCUGAGAUUCUCCUUGCAAGGCAGGUUCUACUUCUUACAUAACCGAAAAUUUUUCCUCUUGUUUUUCGAUAAGUAUGAUUUAGUUUUCCUCUUCUAAUUUCCUCUGUGUAGAUCUAGCGUAUCUCUCUACUUGCGCUUUUGAUCCUGGUGAAAUAAGGAGGGGGAUCUCUACACUCUGGGCAUGCACAACGCAGGUGGUUUGACUCUGUUAGGAGGAUUCUUCAGUUUUGCAUCGACAUCAAUUCUAUCUGGUCAGCCGACUGUGAACAUCACUUAAGAAUCUUUUAUGUUUCUAUAUUCUAAUUAUUUUGUUCACGUGUUCUUUCUCAUGGCUGCUCUUUCUCGAUUCCAAUAUGGAUUAGAUUACAGAUAUCUUAAUACUUAAUAGAUAAUAAUUCAUUUUUUAAUUCAUCAAAUGACAUUUUUUUUCGUUUUUCUUUACUAAUUCAAUUUGAUUACUUUAUAUAUUAUCACUAAAAUUUUGUUAAAUAAUUUAAUUUACUGUUAUAUUGUAUGCAUGUACUUUAAUUUUCUUUUUACUGCGAAUACACAUGGAUUGUUGAUAUGGUGGAUAGGGUUUGAGAUGUAGCAUCUUGUCAAAUUUGGUUGGUUUCUAGAAGUCCUCAGCUUCAAGUCGAGCGAACAACAAAUAGAAGGAAGAGGAGAGUAGUAGGCAAAAAAUUGACCCGUGAGGUGGGCGACACUUUGUGUGGUUCUAUGGACAACGCCCGGUUUUUCAUAUUAUUCCCAGUGAGACCUAUUUUUGGGAUUUUUAUAAAUGUUACAGGAAAUUAAUGAAUUAAUUUUACAGACAUUUUAGAUUAGUACUGUUGUACAAAAAAAAAAAGAUUAGUACUGCGUCAAUUUGCCAACAGUUAUGACCCUUUCUUUUUAAAGUCGAGAUUCUCUUUUGCCCAUAAGAAUUGCAUGAGGUAUAGAUUAUGCCUCACCGUAUUUUAGAAAUUAUUUUCCUAUGCGUGCAAAUUUCUGCGUGUUAAGGUCAUCUGCAUAAGUAUAGUUUUAGGUUUGAUCGAUUCAUGGGAGCCUGGAUGAUGUUCCAUGAUCUUCUAGGUAAUCGGAUUUUCUGUACUUAUGUCAUAGGGGUAAAAAAGAAUCAAUCUUCUGCCACUUCUGAAAUUGGAAAAUUAGAAAGGGAUGAAACUGAGGAGAAUAGCUCUAAAGUGUGGGGGAAUUUGGCGCUGCGCGUCAGCUAGCUCUAUCUAUUUGGAUAAUAAUUCAGUUUUUGACAACAAUUUUUUCCCCGAGUUGCUCGCGCAUGUCUAGGAAAAAAAUGGAAGAAAAAAGAAUUAUACUGUCCAUUUUUUUUUAAUCCGAACCCUCCAUGUUAUUGACAUCUUAAUCUUUAGUAAUCGAAAUUAUUUUGGGUAUAUAACUGCAAUAAAAUCUAUACUUUGCAAAGGGUAAAGUACAUGCUCUUCCAUGGUUACAUUGUAUGUUUCAAUUGAUUUGCGUUUUUCUCCAUGACAUUAUACGUUUGUUCUUUUACGUAACAAAUCGAACAUCACUGUAGUGGAUGCAUUAGUGUGACACGGAAUUUUGGAUACAAAAAUAAAAGGGAAAAGUAAGUAGUUUAUCGGAGCAUUUUCAAAAUGAUGCAAUAAAUUCUAAGUGAUUCUUUUAGUUAAUAGACUUACUUGAAAGCUCAAUAAGAUUCCGUCUUGUCAUUUUACAAAUCAUUUUGAUGUAUCAAAUGUAUAAUAUUAUACUAAAUAAAUCACUCUAAAUUCAACUAGACCAACUAUGAGGGAGUAUCUCAUUGAAUUAAUAAGAACUUGAGUUCACUAAUGACUAUAAGAUACAUUGGUAAAGAGGAAAAGAAAAAGGCAAAGAAAGGGAUAAAUGAAGGAGAAGAGGGUUUGGGGAAGACAAUCGUCUCGUUUGAUUUCUCGAAGAAAACACAGUACGGAGAGAGACCGAGAAACAGAGAGAGAAGGGGCGAGAAGAAAGGGGGGCGGAAGAGCGACUUCGGUGGAUCGAAAUGGUCGAGCUAUGCGAGAAAUCUCCAUUUUGUUUUAAAAGUUAAUGUCUGGAUCUAGUUUGGAUUUUGCUUCACCGGCGACGAUUCGGUCAAAAUCCAAGCAUAUUUUGAUUCCCCAUUUCUCCUUCUAUUUCUAGAAUUGAUUAUUUUCUUGAGAAGGUGGUCCGCAAUUUCUAAGUUGUUUUUGAGUUGAUUGGGUGUUUCUUGUCUCAAAUACGACAAGUUAUUCUUGGGUCUGUUAAAUAUUAAUCUGUAGUUUGGCUUUGCCGCUCUAGCACUCGUAGAAGCUAUUGUUUGCUUGAGAAUAAUGCUAUGUCCACUAAGAAAAUAUACAAAUGAUUUGUAUGCUAUAUGACCGGGUGCGGUCUCUUUGCCUGUAGGUUGACUAUCAAGACAAUAAGAUGCCGCGAGUUGAAGAUAUAGCCUGGAAAUUCGUGAUUAGACAGGGCAAGAAAUGGCGUUGUCCUCACUGUCAGAAUGAAUACUUUGGAUCAGUUACAAGAGUGAAAAGUCACUUUCUCAAACAACCAAAAGGAGGGAUUGCCUCUUGCACAAAAGUGCCAGAGCACAUAAGCACGCUAAUGGAAUUGUUACAUAAUCAGGUGGCUUUGGUACUUGUGGUAGCUACAUUAUCUGCUUGAGAAUUAUGGUAUCCGUGCCAAGAAGAUACAUAAAAAAUGGGAUGAUAUAUGAUGGGGUGCGCUCUAUUUGCUUGCAGGUUCAUAAUAAAGAUGAUAUAGCCUGGAAAUUCGUCAAUAGACUGGGGGAAAACAAAUGGCGUUGUCAUCACUGCAGGAAAGAAUUCUCUGGAGACCUUACAGGAGUGAAAGGUCACUUGCUUAAAGUCCCAAUUGAAGGGACUUCCGUUUGCACAGAAGUGCCGGGCCACGUAAGAAAUCUAAUGCGGUCGUUACUCGAUGAGGUGGCUGAAGAAGAGAGCAGAAAAGCCAAUGGUCAAUCCUCCAUAGAACCACAAUCACGUCACAUGCCCGCUCAAGCUGAGGUGGCUGAAGAAGAGAGCAGAGAGGCCAACGGUCAAUCCUUCACGGAACCACAAUCACGUGACAUGCCGACUCAAGCUGAGGUGGUGGGUGAAGAAGAGAGCAGAGAAGCCAACGGUUCCACGGAACCACAAUCACGUGACAUGCCCAUUGAAGCUGAGGUGGCUGAAGAAGAGAGCAGAGAAGCCAAUAGUCCAUUGUCCAUGGGGGCUUUAUUCUCGCCAGGCCUCGAAUUUAUUAUGGAACAGUUCAACUUCAACCAACAGGGUGUCAUUGGGUCAAACUCUGACCAACAAUCACAAGCAGAGCGUCAGUUUCAUCCGAUUUCAACAGUGCCAUUAUUGGUGCAAAGUGGCCAUGGUAUGUCCAUGUGAAGUUUCUUUACAUUCUUCUAGGCGUGGAGAAAAAAACAUCAUUAUAUUUUUCGUAUUAUUAAUCCUCUCUAGAAUAACUCAAAUUCAUCUAUUUCCAUAUCGUAUCGAUUCCAAAUUACAAUGGUAUCAUUACAUAUUCUACAUGUCUGAUGUCACUAUCUUUUUACUGCACAGCUCAUUAUUUUCAUUAUAGAUAUCUAUUUUUGUGAUCAAGUUCUAGAGGUUCGUUUUACUUGUACCCAUGGCUUGAUUUGAAGGUCCCAUUGUUGAUUGAUCUUACGGUGGAAUAUUUUAAUGCAACCAGCUUUGGUGCCCCCUCAACAUCGAAGUGUUCUACAUCAAUCCGUUGAUCAUGAGAUAAGGGAUACGCAACAGAAUGCAACCAUGCCUCUGGAUAAUCGAGAUACCACCCGGCAACCCGAUCUUCAUGACUCUCCGCCAGAGAAUCUUGUUGAAUCUCGUGAUGCAAUUGUAAACACUCCUGAGGAAAUACAAACGAAUGAAGAACAUAAUCCAACAAUGGGAUCAUCAUUACGAAACGAUUUAUCCGUUGAUGUGGACCAUACAAAUCAUUUACAGGAUUGGAGUCAACAGUGUGUAGUGGAAGGGGUUCCCUUACUCAACAAUACAAGUCCGACCAACGCCGUCGAGCAUCCCUAUCAGCUUGACCCUAGGUGUGAUAAGGAAGAUGGAAAUGAUACCCGUUUGUUCCGCUCGCCAACUCCAAUGGACAUAGAUCAUUCAAUUGAAUUACCGCAUUCAAGUGACUCACCCAAUUUUGAGUCAACAAUCGAUGAUUUGCAAGUUCCAGAGGUGGCAACAAAUGCAACAGGCCCAUCAUCAUCACAAGGUGUGUCCGGAUUAAUCUAGAUUUUUACUAUCACUUCUUUUGAUCCUUAAUUAUCCCCUCGUUAAUUUAUUGGAAUCUAACUUAUGUUUUUUUUAUAAAUUAGAAAUGAACAGGGGUUCUCCAAACUUGAAUGUACGGAGCAUCUAUGCCAACGAUGAAGAGAUAAGAAACCUGAAAAGAAAAGUGGAAGAACUCGAGGACAAAGAAGCUGUGAUAAAGGAGCAGAUGGAGAUGGAGUCUGCUGCUUCCUCAGUUCGGAAGAAGCCGAGGAUAUUGGUUGAGAGAUGGCUAAGAGACACGGAAAGAGCAAGAAAUAAUUUCCAAACAAUUGGCCAAGUCAAUGCGGAAACUUUGCCACCAAAGGAACAGGUGGAGACAUUGACGAGAGAAGUGGAAGAACUCAUAAAUCAAACGCCACAGACGCUACCCUUAAAGGAUAGAGAUGCCAAUGGAGUCAAAUUUUUGGAACGAAAGCUAACAGGAAAAGCGACUUAUAGGAACAUUAAGUGGAUUUUAGACCGUCUCAAGGAGAAUCAUGCAUGUAUAUUGGGUAUUUAUGGAAUGGGUGGUGUUGGGAAGACAACUAUUAUGAUGCACAUACAUAAUAGUCUUCUCAAUGAUGCAACCUUCGAUGGUGUGGUUUUUAUCACUGUGUCCCAAGAUUUUAGCAUUUAUAAGUUGCAGAGUGAUAUUUGGAAGGCACUAAAACUUGGCAUUAUGGAGGAUGAGCAUGAGAAGAAACGAGCAGCAAUGUUGGCGGAGCAAUUAGAAAGAAAGAAGAAUUGUGUAUUGAUUCUUGAUGAUGUGUGGGAACGUAUUGAUCUCGAAGAGGUGGGAAUCCCUUUUGGAGCAGAUGGAUUUAAGUUGGUCUUAACCACUCGAUCCUUUGAUGUGUGCAGUCAAAUGCAAUGUCAAGAAAAUAUAAAAAUCAAGCCUCUCUCUCAAAAAGAAGGCGAGAGUUUAUUUUUGGAGGAGCUUGGAUCCAAAGUAACACUUAAUUUGGAAAUCAAAACAAUUGUGGAGUCCAUUGUCAAAGAAUGUGCAGGCUUGCCAAUUGGAGUCAUCACGAUGGCAAGAAGCAUGCGAGGAGUGACUGAUGUGUUUGAAUGGAGGGAUUCCUUGGUGAAAUUGAAAGAAUCAAGUAUGGGGCAAACAGAUAUGGAGAAGAAGGUCUUAAUGAAUCUAAAAGUCAGUUAUGAUCGCCUUGGUAAUCAUAAUAUCCAACAAUGUCUCUUAUCUUGUGCACUUUAUCCAGAAGAUACAUUAAUUAAAGUGGACGAGUUGAUAGAAUUCUUUAUUGAUCAAGGAUUGAUUGGUGGAUUGAGUACGAGGAUGAAGCAAUAUGAUAGGGGGCCUCACCAUACUGAACAAAUUGAGAAAUGUUGGCCUAUUGGAAGAUUUCCGCAGGAUCUGGGUGAAGAUGCAUGAUCUGAUUAGAGACAUGGCAUUAUACAUCAUGGGUGCAACUUCCAUUGUAAAAGCAAGAAAGGAAUUGAGGAAUAUUCCAUCUGAGGAAUAUUGGACGGAUGCUUUGGAGAAAGUUUCUCUUAUGGAAAACAAAAUUAGUGAAAUUCCAUUGAACAUAUCACCAAAUUGUCCAAAACUAUCAACUUUACUACUGAAUGGAAACUUGUUGCAGGAUGUGGUCAUCCCCGAUUCUUUCUUCGAACAAUUAUGUGGGCUAAAGAUUUUGAACUUGAGUGGAUGUGAUCUAAGAGAACUUCCAAAUUCCAUCUCAGACUUGGUAAAUUUGAGAGCACUAUUGCUUAGAAAGUGUAGGAAAUUGCGCCGCAUUCCUUAUCUAGGGAAGCUCACAUCUUUAAGGAAGUUGGACACUAUAGGCUGUGAUAGUCUUGAAAUGCUCGAGGGUCUGGAAAAGUUGGUCAACUUGAGAUACUUUGCCCUCACCAAAACACCUAGGGAGAGAGUACCCAAAGUAACACUGGAUUGUUUACCAAAGUUGCAAUUUCUUGACGUUUCUGCGAUAAUUGAAGAAAACAUCACAAAAUUAUGGGCAAUGGAGACAUUUCUAUGCUACCUUAAAAAUGUAGAUGAUUUCAACGAGUGUGUGAGGUUUAUUGAGCAGAAGCAUAACCCUUGCUAUUAUGAACUCGAAGUGGCUUUUGAAGGAUCAAAGUUUAAAGUGAAAGUAAGUGAUGGUGCUCAUUUUUGGAACCAUGUGCAGGGGCAGGGGAGGCAUGUCUUCAUUUCGGGGUGGAGUCAUGCUAUUGUGAGCGUGAGAGGGGAAUGCACUGGCAUUUUUAUUUUGAUUCCCCCAAAUGUGAAGACAAUGUUAAUGAUAAAAUGCAAUGGUAUAACAAAUUUGUCUGACAUGGGUCCGCUUGAAUACCUUUUUCACCUAUCGAUAGAUGGAUGUGGAAAUUUAGGGGUGCUCUGUGGAAGACACGAUGAAGAACUAAUCGACAUCCUUCACUCCCCUGCACCAACCCCUUCCCCUCUCAUCUUCCCGAGCCUUAGGAUCUUGACGAUACGCCAAUGCACAAAAUUGAAGUAUCUCUUUGGGCAUGGCUCUAAACCCAACCUUCCGCAUCUACAAAAGAUUUUUAUAUGGGAAUGUGGGGAAAUGGUGCGGAUAAUAGCAGCAGUUACAUCCCCACCACCAUCUCCGCUCCCAACCUUCCAUAGACUAGAAUAUAUUAGUGUUUCAUACUGUGAUAAAAUGAAGAGGGCAUUGGAAUUUGACUGGAUGCCCCACUUCCCUAAUCUGAGAAGACUCAAAGUAUCCGGUUGUGGGAACAUGGAGGAGAUAAUUGGAGGUCCUCCCCCAUACGUACCUAUUGAAGAGAUUUCUCUCGAAUUUCUUACAGUAGCACGUUGCGAUAAGAUGAGAAAGCUGUUAUCGCAUGAGUGCCUGCCCCAUCUUCGAAAGCUUCGAACUAUCAACGUCGAAUAUUGCAAAGGAAUGGUGGAGAUGACAAGCGGAGCGGGAGAAGGCCAAGAAGGAAGCAUAAUGACUCAUGUAAACAACCCCCCUUCAUCCUUCCAGCCUCCAAUCUCUCUCCCAAAGCUGAAGCACUUGUUCCUAUACAAUCUACCCCAGCUAAAGAGCAUAUGCGGAGUCCCAAUAAGCUGUGAUUCCAUGGAAGAAUUGAGAGUACAUAGAUGCCCAGAAUUGAAGAGGAUUCCUUUACAACUGCAAUUACGUGAAACUAAGGAGCUUCCACAUAUUUGGGUGGAAGAUGAGGAAAAGUGGGAGACGCUGAUCUGGGAUGAUCCCAAUGCUCAAACUACUCUUGAACCUUUUCUCCGAAAAGGGGAACGGUGUAAUGAUAGACUUUUUCCUAGAGAAGCGGAAGACGUUGAUAUGAUUUAUUUUUAUCAGAGGAUGUUGUAUUCUCCAAAUGCUAUAGGUUAUGAGUUACUUGAUAUACGAUUGCUUGACUUCUUAAAAGUCCUUACAAAGAUGUAGCUUUUCUGUCUAUAGUCAUGUAGCUUUCUAACAGUGGCCUUUUUGCAGAAUUGGACGCCGAGGGAAAGGAUCCCCUGUGAUGCCGCUCUUGAAGAAAGCCCUGCUGCUCGAGCAUGCUUUCCUGCAAACUCAUCUCAAGUUCCCAUAUAAACCGACUUUUUUUCGUGUAGCCAUACUUUGUGUAUCUUGAACGCCGGCGCAUGCUUUAUUGACUACUGGAAAUAAGUAAUCUCGGAGGACUAGUGAAGAGAUGAUGCUUUGUUGUGCAGCCCUCUCAUUAUAUUUUCCUUGUCAGACUAGAUUCUUGCAAGCUGUUGGUUUGGGUGAAGACCACUUAUAUUCCAGAAAUGUGGUGUCCCGACUUUUCUGCCGCUAACUUAUGAGCGGAAUGUCUUUUAAAAUCUUUAUGUGUCUUAUCUAUAAGGUUAUGAUCGCUAACUUAUUUUUUCUGUCUUUUAUUUUUUUUUUAAAUUUCUGAGAAAUAAUUCAUCAUUAUUAAAAUAGAAUUAACUUUAAAAUACCUUAAAAGUCUAGACCACUGUUGCAAUGAGUACAAUGCUUCUGACAAAUGCUUCAACAUCAAAUAAAUAAUAUUUAUUCUCAUUCCGUUUUGUACUGAAAUAUGGAGAUUUUAACUCAUAACUUAAAAAACUUUAUAAAAGGAUUUAAUCGUUUAAUCUAACCUGAUUUAGUAAAAACUAAUUAAUUAUCUAAUGACAUCUAAGCAUUAUGUUCCAUUACGUUCAUGUUAAUAAGCACAAUCUUAUAAGUUGAAUCUUCAAAUGACAUGACAACAUAUCAUCUUAUGAAUAAAAAUUUGCAUUUUAAAGUACAUAUAGAUAGAUGUAUUGCUCUAUGUGGUUAAAUAAAAUGAUCCGUGAGUUUGAGUCAGGAUCUACGAUUUGCUAAACUUGAAUUGUUCCAGUUUUUCUUUUAUUAGUUUUAUUUUCUCAGCAAGAAAACUCUUUAACAAAUUAAUUAUAGGCUAAAAACCUAUUUCUCAUUGUGAGUUUUUAUCAGUAGUUACUUUUCAUAAUUUAAUAAUUGAUAUAUUUCGUAUAAAAGGAUUUUCUUUAAUUUGUCAAAUUUAAAUAUCAAUUUCUUGUAUUAGACGGGGGUAUGUGUAUAGUUGCUAGCAUGAUAAAUAAAAUGCCAUACAUCUUGAUUGAAGAAAAGUACUCGCCUGUAGCAUAGUCUCUAUUCUCUAAUUUAUUCUCUGUUUCUGGUAUUUGACUAUCAAUAUGCAGAUUGGCUUUCUUAUUGAAUGGGUUUAGUAGUGUUGGUUGCUUUUAUUUGCUUGAGAGUAAUGCUAUACAUUACUCCCGAAGAAGACAUAAAAUAAAAAAAAAUAAAAAAAAAACUGGAUUACUAUAUGAUGGGUGCGCACGUUUUGUUUGUAGACUAAUAACCAGAUAUCGCGAGAUGAAGAUAAAACCCGAACAUGUAAACUAGAGGGUGAUGAACAACAUUGUCAUCAUUAUAAGAAAGAAUCCACUAAAAACCCUUAGCAAAGUGAAAAUAUGGGAAAGUCACUUUGCUUUCACUUCGCUGGAGUAAAAGGCGACAAAGAUUGCCAUCGCACUGGAAUCCCUAACCACAUAAGAGAUCUAAUGCAAUUGUUACUUAACAAGGAGACUGAAGAAAGGAGCAAGAGGACGACUAUUUGAAAAGUUCCUCAAGCUGCUCACUUGUCACCGAGUCUCGAAUUGGUGGGAUGGUUAUUGCCAAGGCAAGGGCGGCUCACAUUGCAAACUUCACCCUCUAGGGAUUAAGUUAAAAAAUUGUGUUUGGCACUUAUGAUGUUUUUACUUCAUAAUAAAUGUGUUAAUUAUUUUAUCAAUUAAUCUACCCUGAACAAUAUGCUAAUAUUAGAUUAUAUAGUUUGUUAAUUUGGCUAUAACUUAAAAUAAGAGACAAUAACAAUAUAAAUUCAAUACCAAAUACUUUUUGUUUGAUUUUUUUUUCACUUAUUAGUUAUUCUUUUAGCAAUUACCAAAUAACAUCAUUCAAACCAUGUAACGACAUAUCUAUUUUUUUCAAUUAGUUUACACCUAAAUUGUGUGGAUCAACAUAUAUAAUUUCUCUGACCAAAUAAAAAAAAAACAUAUAUGAUUUCACCACAAAACAAAUGAAAAUCAUUCGGAAUAAAAAAAAAAGAUUGAAAAAUGGCUCUCAUAUUAGUACCAUUUACACAGGUAAUGCAAAUUAAAACCAAGUCUUAUUAUUAUUUUUUUAUGUGUAUUAAACAUUUCCAAUUACACAUAAAAUGCAUAGAAUAAACAUUCAGAUAAGAAGGAAGAUAAGAGAACCCUUAAACAAAAGAACAUCUCUGUCCAUCGUAAGAUAGAAAGUACACAUCAAAUUUAAACAAUCCCACUUUAAAUACUUAUCUAGCAAGAACAUUCAUAAAAAUAGAACAUAAUGUAAGACUAAACAAUCAUAAAAUGAUUCAUUUAUAUGAAGUGUCAAUAUAACAUAAUGCAAAAAGUUUAUACAUGCUAUAUAGGUUCUCAAUAAAUGGAAUUUGAAGAAGUAAAUUUCUGAAUCUGUGCAACUCACAGGUCUUUGUUUACUACACAUUCUAAAAAAAUAUGCAAUCAUAAGCUACAAUAUGAUGGAAUCACCCACCAAUAUACAAAGUUCUAUUCACAUCAUAGGAAAUGUCAUCUAGCAAUCGGAUGGCCUGGAAUAUUUUGGGGGCAGAGAUGGACACAUAUCAUUCAUAUGAGGGUAUGGUCCAUUGUAUUGUAUCCUAGCAGCUCCAUUCAAUAUCUACCUUGUAUUUGACAGAAUGGAAGCUCAACGGCAUCCCUAUCAUUGCACCACUUAGGCAAGUGGCUUGAAUUAUUCUCAAAGAACCUAAGUGAGUUAUAGUUCUCAAUCUUUAAAGAAAGUGAUAUCCAUCUCUAGAUAGUAAGUUCAAGCAAGUAGGUUUAGAAAGAUAACCCAAAUCAGAUCGCACUUACAGUGAACUCUGCAACUUGAAUGGAGCUAGAAACAAGAACAAAAGCUACACAUGAGGUGGACUUCCCGUCACUGUAUACCCAAUUGUCUUGCUCUAGAAUUGUCAGCAGUUCAGCAAAAGAUGACCCCCUCAUUUCAGUUUCGACUAUUAGAUCAGGAAGAUCCAAGCCCUGUAUGCAACACAAUUGUAAAGUAGCCAUAAAGUAAAGUGUAAUUACAACUGUAUAACAUUUGUUAACUGAAUGUCAUUCAAGAGACAUUAGAUUCCAGUUGCACCUCAGUGUGCAAAACAAGAUGCAUAAUGUCACACAGACAAUUGCAAAUUGAAUGGGAUGGUACCUCUGUUCCUAGUCGCUUGUUGAGUGUUUCAUUCCACAUGUUCACAGCAUAGACUGGUUGCAUUUGGUUCCAUACUAUCAUAACAUAAGCAACCUACGAUAAAACAAUGCUUUCUAUAAAACGAGUGAACCGCACUCCCAUCACGUGGAUAAAGCACUGCACAUGGUGAGCAUAUUACAUGCAUCGUCAGCCAGGCUAAUAGCAACUCUUAAGAAAAAAUGAACAAAGUCUACCAUUUUGCUAUCUCAGUAUCAUAUAGGAGGCCAUAAAAAAAGAAUAUUUGUCAAACCAAGUCAGAUUCUUUUCCAUAAUGUUAGCACUCAAGAGAGUCAAAUGCUAAUAUGCUAUUUGGAGAGAUAACUGUUCACUUUUAGCCUUUUGUUUUGUUCAGUUGAAUUCAUUUGAAAUCAUGGCAUGAUUGUCUAAUUCCAACUAGACCAUAUUGUUACGAUCUAACACAUGGUGUGACAUCCUGAAUUUUCAACCCUAUUUCGAUUAAAUGAAAUGGGCUUUUCAUCGAUGCGCCUAUGAUCCUUUUUCUUUGAGCUGAUCACUCACGAAAUAACUAAUCUAUCAGGUGAAGCCGUUAAGGGAUAUAAACGCGACAAAUUUGAGAAUUCGAUUAGAAAUCGACUGCUCGACCGUGAUAGUUGGCAUGGCAUCGUUAUAAUCGAUUAGUGAUCGGAUAUAGGUCGAUUUGAUGGAAUGGCGUGAUUAAAUUGUGGGCGUCACCUGAUUGCAAAAUUCGCGUCAAAUAGCACUAACCCAAUUUUCUGUCAAUUUUGUACCUAGUGCUCGUAAUUGAAAUCUUGAGAUUUUUAUGUGGCACCCCCAAAACGGCCCCCGAUCCGUUAGGGUUGCCACAAUUACAUUCUCUUGUAGCAUACUACUCUGAGACCAAAGAAAUUUUAACAUAACUUAUAAUACCUGGGGGUUUUCAUUUGUUUUCUUUACCGGUCCCUGCGCAAAUAAUAUGGCGGAAGCAUAAAUCGACUACCCUUCAUCAAAAUAUAAAGUGAUGCACACCAUACUAAAACUUUCAUAAUUUAGGCCGAACACUUUUAUUUAUAUAAGGGAUGGACUAUGAUAAUUGGUACAACAAAACGCCGAGGUCUUUUUGUGCCUGGCGAUUACCCAAAAGAAAACCAACUUCUAUCCUUGGAUAUCAUCUGCAUCCGUCCAUCACCCAUGUUUCGGCAUCCCCAAAAAUGCAUCUCCUGCUACCCUCGACUCUAGGUCAUAUCCAGUCAGGUCCAUUGGCUGGUGGUGGUGGCAGCACCCUCAGAAAACGGCCAUCCAUACGGACAAGAACUGAUAUGAACUCCUGGUGAGUAGGCCCUGCAGAGAGGCCUACCUCAAAAGUCAGCAAAAUCCUCAUGCGCUCGAAUACCAACCCGUGCACCCCAGGAUGACAGUGCUCUGACCACUCCCACUGUAGGUCAAUCAAGAGUCCAUAAAACAUACCAGGAGUCGCAUGCAGCAGCGGCAUUUUUCUUUUAGUCUGAAAUGUUAGUCCCCAAGAGGGGUGAGUACAACCACUCAGCAAUAAAAGAUCCAUUAAACUAUAUUAUGUAGAAACUCUAACUAUCCAGAUGCAUGCAAAACACAAAUGUCAUAUAUAUAUAUAUAUAUGCAUGCCAUCAAGGGUUUAUUUACCUGCACCACAUUCAUAAAAACAAUUCAAUGCCAUAACGAAUGCAUUUUCAGUACCGGAUGAAGCCAACUCAAUUUCAUAGACAAAUUCUCAUAUCAUGCCACAUGCACACACAUGCACUCCUUUAAUGUACCGGAUUUUAGAAUUCAAAGAAAGGUUUCAUUCCCCGGGGACCAAUCUUUGCAUCCCUCCGGGCUUUCGCACCCAACUUGGCAUCAUGAGACCCUCCGGCACAAACCUCCGGGCAUCCAGAGCGUGUUCCGUCACACCCCUGGGCAUCUUGCACCCCACCUGGCAUCGCGAGGUAUAUCUAGGGCUCGCCAUGAAAAUGGAUGCCCCUUCCCUCCGGAUUUACGUACAAUCCCUACAACUGGGCAUCCCGAAACUCUCGAGGACCCUCCGGCACAAACCUCCGGGCAUCCAACAGCGUCGACUCACUUGACCCUUGGGCAUCCCGACACUCCCGGGGCAUUGUCGGCUCACACCUCCGACGGUAACAUCCACAUCAUAUAUAUACAUCUCCUUACAAAAGUACAUUUUGAUGCAAUGACGUCAAGAAUUCCAUGGAUCUAUAAGACUUUAUCAAAUUUUCCAAUGUCAUGUGAUAUGCUGAAUGUCAUUGCAUCUAUCAAGUGAAUAACAACUCAAGAUACAAUGACUCGUAGAACAAAAUGAACAGUUUCAUAGUAAAACAGUGUAAAGGCCAGAAUGCACGCUUUCAGUAGAGAUUUCGAAAUAACCAGCAAAUGACCAUGAAAAAUUCUGAAAUUUUAACACGUUAUAAUUGAGAGCUAGAGGAAAAAUUUUCAUUAAGGACACUAAGUCAGAUUCGUUAUGUAUAAUGAGUAGUAGUUCACACAACUCAGUUCAGGUUUCUUUUAUCACAGAAUAAAAUUUGACAGAAAGCAUUGCAUAUUAAAAGAGGUUUAAGCCAUCAUAUUGAUUCCAAGAAGUUCUGAUAAAAAUAUAUACUCUAUCUCAUGCAAUUCCUCACAACUUCCGUGAAGAAAUCGGGAUCAAAUUCAUAUUAGAACUCUUCAUAAAAUUUCACAAAGUUACAGGGUUACACAUGAAAUUGCACUGGAUUAAGCGAAUCCCACAAAAUCUCACUUCCACCGUAACUAUCUUACUUCCACAAGUCUACUAAAAGUCGGUCUUUCAUCAAUAAAUCAACAGGAUCAAAAUGUACACAAAACCAAAGUAAUUCCUCAAUCUCAUGGUCCCGCUCUACUUCGAUUACCUACAAUUUAAUGUUCUACUUUCAGAACUCAAUUGUUUCCAAGUAUAUUGCACCAUACUGGACAAUAACAGCAUCACAUUAUAUAGAUUAAUGGACUUUCACUUGCCUCAAUGUCCUAUGGUUCCACGGCGUGUGGUGAGACGGUGAGGAGUGCGCGGCUAGACGACGGCGGCAACGCACACGCACGGCAGGGACUAAUUUCCUUCCUUCCCUUGCCGACUCACUCUCUCACUGCUCACUCGCAACCUUUCUCGUUCACUCUCUCUCGAUUACUCCUGGUUUUGCUCACUCUCUCGAUUACCCACUUUCACGAGCACAAGAUCACUGGUUUUGCUAAAACUAGUCAACAUAAGAGAGGCAUGUUUUGGUGGUUGCAAGGGGAAUGGACAACUGGAAUGGACGUGUCUUCAGCAUGCCUCCCCAUGCAUUUCGCUGGCUAUCCAUACGCCAGCAACGUGGCAUCAUCCAGCCAAGCUUCAGUCAACAUCUCUUCCAAUUAGUUGACUUAAAUGUCGACUAUUAAGGGGUCUUCGGGUUGUUUUGGGCUAGUAGAUUAGUGGACGUGCGGUCCUUCAAUAACAAGGCCCAAUUCAAAAAAAAAAAAAAUUGAUCCUUAAACUUGCACAAAUAUGGAGCAUUCUUAGUCCCAUGGUCUUGGUGGUUCAAUAAUUUAUCAAGUGUACUUAUUCAUGACUCAGAUUCUUGUAUAGAAGAAGAACGAGAUUGCACGGUGUUUCAAUUUCUUUUCUUAUCUCAUGUGCACUCAAGUGGUAUAAUUGUGUCGAGUCAUCAAAAGGAAUAUAUAUAUACACAUACGGUCAGCGAAGUCAAUAGUCUAUUCAACAAUCGGACCCUUAAUAAACAUAAGAUAUCGGUCCGUCAAUGGAAUCAAACAAUGCUCAUGCAAAAUACUAAUGAUACCAUUCGGCGAUACUUUUAUUGAUCAGUCACUGCCGUCGCACAUCACGAUUUGCGAAAUUCUCGGGUGCCACAUUUUACGACAACCAAGAGUUGUCGAUGAGUCGAGGAUGUACAAACGUGGAUUGAAAAUUAUCAACCACGAGUCAAAUGCGUUAAAAUCCCUAAAAGCUACACGAUAGGUUAGGUCACGCUAAAAUCGCGUCCGAUUAAUUUUAACCAUGAAAUUGAACUCAGUUUCGGGAAUUGAGCAUUCGAGCGUGUCACAAUUUAUUUUUAGGAUCUCGUCUCAUCUUUUGGGAAUUUUCCGUCAAGCCCGGAAUUUUGGCGGAAAAAUGGAUUUUGGCAAAAUUAAACCAAGGAAAUUCGGAUGGGCAAAAUUGAAAGACUUUUUAGCCUUCAAAGUGAACUAGUUUGUGAAGGAAAUUGUGGGAAUUGGUAUGAGCAACCUCCUCAGCAAUUUUGGCCAUCAAAUUGAAGUUGUUUGGUGGGGAAUUGAAGAAGAAAAUCAGCAAAUUCGUAGGGCUGUUGGGCUGCUGAUUUCUAGCCUUCAAAUUGGCUUGAAUUGUGAAGAAAUUGAAGAGAAAUCAACCAUUGGUGCUUGCCUUGACCUUAGGAGGGCUGAAGACUUUGUGCAUAUGUGAUCAUUGCUUAAAUAUUUUUCCUUGGAAGCCCAUUGGUUCAAGCUUGGACUUCUUGUCCCCCUUGUCCCCUCUUGUUCCCCCUCCUCCUUCCUCUUGCUCGACCAGCCCCCUGCAGAAGAUUUUUUGCUUUCUUCUUCACUUCACCUUCUUCAUCCUUCAUUUCCUUGCUGCAACUUAGAGCUAGUUAGUCACCUAGCCGCUGCCCCGACCUCGCUUGGCCGCUUGCCACCGCGUCUCACCGUUCCUCACUCGCCUGUCCCCGUCCGAGCCGUAUGCUAGCCUUUGCUCAACUAGCUGCCGCCAGCUUUGCUCAACCACCAGCUCGCCAGCUUGCCACCACCUUCGACCUGUUCCACCAUCGCUGCCUCCACCCACCCUUGGCUAUGCCGUCUCCGUGUCCAGCCGAGCCAAGCCGCGACCAGCAACCCUCCAAGACCGAACCGAGUCCAGCGAGUAGAACUAGUCUUCUAGCUCCAAGCCGUGAGCUACAAGGCUGUUUUUAGCCCUUUCCGGCCCUCCUUUGGAGUCCCUAUAGGCCUGGGUCUUGGUCGCCGUCGCGCCGCCAUCGCCAUGGGCCCAUUAUCUCACUAAACCGAUGAGUUAACAUCCUAACCUCUAAUUAUGGGGUUAAUUGCACUUAAGGGGGGGAUUAGUUAGGCUAAUUAGGGAUUAAUGGUAGUUAGUUCAUGUAACUAAGUUAGUUAGGAUUAGUUAGUUAAGCUAGUUAUUUAGUUAGGUUGUUAGUUAGGUGCUUAGUUAGUUAAAUUAGAUAAUGUAGUUAGUUUAGUAAAUUAGUUUAAUUAGCUUAAGUAGAUUAGCCCGGUUAGCUUAUGUAAAUUUAAUUAAGUGUUUUAAUUUAAAUAAUUUACAAUUUAUUUAAUUAAUUUUAAUUAGCGUAAAUUAUACCCGGAUAGCCGGUUAUCAAAAUUCUGCGCUGAUCGUCGUAGUUGUAUUAGUUUGUGCAAUUGAUUGUUAGAUUUUGCAAUUGGAUGCUUGGUGAUGAUUUUUAAUUAUUAUUUCAAAAAUAUGAAUUUUUGGUAUUUAAUUAGAAAAAUACCGGGUGUCGGGUUUUGACGCGAAAAAUAUUUUUAUGUACUAUAUAAAAUCGUGAAAUUUUUAAAUGAGAGAGUGUCAUGUUUUGUGGAUCGAUUUGAUUGUCUGACCACGCAUAAUUAUUUUACUUGGUAUUUUUAAUACGUAGAAAAUAGGCCAAGUCCAUCAUUUGAAAUGGAAGUAUUUGAGUGCAAAACAUGAUGUUCUUAGCCAAACAUGGAUGUGCAUGUGAUCGCUAUCGGAACCCAUCACCCGAUGAAAGUCGGGGAGGUGAUGCUCCUUCGAGAAUGCCCUUGACAACGGAUGCUAGUCGCAGUGGAGGCUGGACCGAUGCUCCUUCGGGAAUGACAUCUAGAUGUAGACGUUGUGUGACAUCCCAGAAUUUCAACUCCGUUUUCCAUUGAAUAAAUCGGGCAUUUCAUUGACGCGCCUAUAAGGCUAUUCUCCAAGCUAAUCACUCUCGAGAUAACUAGACUAUCUGGGGAAGCCAUUAAGGAUUUUAAGGCAAACAGACUUGAGAAUUCGACCAGGAAUCGGCUUCUCGACUGUGCUUAUCUUUAGAGGUCAAUACCGCACAAUAUAAAAUCAAUUUGAAAUCAGAGAUAGACUGGUUCGAAUGAGAUGUGUGGCUAAUCGUGGGUGACACCACUAAAUUAGAAAAUUCCCGUCAACCGGCACUAGACUGAUUUUCCUAUUGUUUUGGGACCCUGUGUCCGUAUUUGGAUCCUCGGGAUUUUCACAACAAUCGAGAGUUGCCAAUGAGUCGAGUGGAUUCAUAGUGGCUCGAAGAAAAUUGAUCACGAGUCAAUUGCACUAAAAAUGCCUGAAAAUUACCUAGUAGCCUAGGUCACGCUAAAAACGCGCCAAGUGAAAUUAACUAUGAAUUCAAGUCUGAUUUCAGAAAUUGGAAUUUCUGUCAUGUCACAAUAAAUUCUAAGAGUGUCGACUCAGUCUCAGAAGAUUUUUUUGACACCCGACACUUUUUGAGAAAAAGUUGUCGUGUGGCCAUUUCGUUUAAUUGAAGCCAGGAAUUAUUUUGUUGGUGAAAUUGAGAAGCAUAGGGGAUUCUUGGAUAAGGAAAAAAAAUCAAUUUGAUAAAGGAAAUAUCAAUUGAUUUUUGGGAUAGUUAUUUGAGAGAAAUUUAAGAGAGAUUUUGGAUGCAAAUGCAAGUGUAGACCAAGUGCUUUAAUUUGGAUUUUCCUUGGUUAUCUAGGUGCCAAUUCAAAAGAAUUUGGGAUAAGAAUUUCCUACUUGAGGAAAUUCUUUUAUUUUAUUUUUUCUUCCCAAUUCUUUCCUUUUUUGGUCAAGCAUCCAAGCAUCUUUCUCUCCCCCCUUUUUCUUUCUUUCUUUCUUUUUCUUUUUCUCUCUCUCUCUUUCCCCCUCUCCCCUCCCCUUCAUGCGAACCCCCUUUCCACCGAAUUGUGGGCUGUCUCCCUCUUUGCUUUUCUACCUUUGACUUUUCAAACCCCCCUUUCUCUCUUAUUCUUAUCUCUUCUUCUCUCUGUUCUCUGUUCUCUCUUCUUCUCUCUCCCUCGACACACUCUCUUCCCCCCCCCCUCACCAUUCGAACAAAACCAGAAGCGGUAGAAGAAGCCGAGACAGCAGCGGCAAGAGAAGAAGACCGAAGAGCUCGCCAUCGCCGUCGCCGCCGCACACCGCCGGGCCGCCGUCCACACCACCCACGCGACGCCGCGUGUUCCGCCGCCCGCCCCUCGUGUCCAGGCGUCCUCCCCCGUGCGACCUCACCUUUGUCCAGCCGCGUUCAGCCGCCUCCGGCCACAGUCUAGCUUUGUUCGGCCACCGUCCGACCUCCUCAGAGUCUCGCUCGCCCUCCUCUAGCCUCACCUUACCGUUUCAGCCACCGGACUAGCUCCGAUCCCAUGUCAGCAACACGAGUGGGUUUCCAGCCCCCUUUGGGCCCGCUUUUGGGCUGUUUUCGGGCCCCGAACCCGAGCCUUACUUUGGGAGGAAUCGUUCCUUGCGCCAUCCCCGUCGGAUUGAUUCAAUUUGCGCGCGAUUCCGGUGAGUAAUCUCACUAAUCCUUGCUUAGUGGACUAAUUACACUUAAGGUUGUUUAGUUUUAAUUAAUUAGGUUUAGGUGGUCAGAUUAGUAUAAAUUAGUAUUUAUUAGAUAAUUGUGAUGCAUGUUAGGCAAUUUGAUUGUGCAAUUAGCAAAUAGACAUGUGCUAUUAAUUAUUGAAUGCAUCUCAGGAUUUUUCCCAACCCUUAGCGAGCUUCAAUUAGGCAAUACAAGCCUAAAUUGGAUUUUUUGUAAUUAAUUAUUAAUUUUCGAAAUUAAUUAAUUAUUUAUUUAUUUUUUGAAAAUUAAGGCUGGGUUAGCCGACGACCGAAAUUUUGUGAUGAUCGUCGUGGUGUAGUCCAUUUAUUUAAUUGAGCUUUAUUUUUUGCUGAAAUGAAUUAAUUAUGAUUAUAUUAUUAUUUUCCUGGAUUAAUUAAUUUGUAUAAUUAAUUGGAAAAUAACCGGGUGUCGGUUGACAGCACCAAAAGUGUUUUGGUGGACUACAAAUAAUGGUGGGAUUUGUGGAAAUGAAAUUAUAAUAUUUUGGCUAAGGCUGACCGUGUACUCACACACGAAUAUUUUAUCGAGAAGGAUAAAAAAGGUGAUUUGAUUAAAUGAUUAUUUUCGGCAUACUAUAAGAAUAUGGCUGGUAGCUUCUUGUGAGCAUAUUAUUAUAUUGGAUCAGUGGAUCUGGCAGCUUCUUGUGAACAUAUGGUAUACUAUAUCGGCCUUCGGGCGAUAUGUCAACUUUGGGUGAGCAGUAUACCGGUAUACUAUAUCGACCUACGGGCGAUAUGUCAGCUUUGGGUGAGCAGUAUACCUUAUUAUCAGCUUUGGGCGAGCAAUAUAUUAUCAGCUUUGGGUGAGCAUAUGGUAUACUAAUAUCGGCCUUCGGGUGAUAUGUCAGCUUUGGGUGAGCAGUAUACCGGUAUACUAUAUCAACCUAUGGGCGAUAUGUCAGCUUUGAGUGAGCAGUAUACCUUAUUAUUAGCUUUGGGCGAGCAAUAUAUUAUCAGCUUUGGGUGAGCAUAUAUAGUAUACUAAAUUGGCCUGAGGGCCCUACUUUAUCAGCUUUGGGCGAGCAUAUGUAGUAUAAUAUAUUAUCAGCUUUGGGCGAGCUAUACUAUCUAUUUGUCAGCUUUGGGCGAGCAUAUACGUAGUAUAAUAUAUUAUCAGCUUUGGGCGAGCUAUACUAUCUAUUUGUCAGCUUUGGGUGAGCAAUCCUGAUUUGAUAGGACUUAUAGAUAGUAUUGUAUGUGCCGACUAAGCAUGGGUCAUGAUGACAUGUAAUCAACUAAGUUGAUUGAUCGAUGAUUCGAUCUGAGUGUGAUUUGAUGUGAUUCAUUGCCUUGAUUUGAUGUUGUGAAUUGAUCGAUUGAAUGGAAGUGACCGUGAGUGGUCUUGUUGCCGUGUAAUCGACUAGCUCGAUUGAUCAAUGCUUUGAUCUAUUGUCGUGAAUUGAUUGAAUGUUUGAUUGACUGUUAUGAAGCAUCUAUAUAUAACCUUGAAUUGCAAGUUGGAACUGAGGCUAAGGUAAGUCCUCUGACUCGUGUUGUGCUUAGGCAACCAAGUAGUGUAUUGGUUCCCUAAUUGAGUCUUAGUGGGGUAGAACUUGCUGAGACGUAGUCUCAUCCCAAUUGUGGGAUAACAUUUCAGGCCCGUAGAUGAGCCUGUGAAGAAGGAACCAGAAGAGGUCGAUGAGCCGGUAAAAGAUGAAGAGCUUGAAGGAUGUGAGCUUAGUGAAGAAGAGUCUAAAGAGGAUCAGGAUGAUCCUGAGUACGACCCGGAUGAGGACUGAAAUCCUAUUCUCUUUUGUGAAUCUUGUCUAAAUGUGAAUAGUGUGAAACUAGAAUGUUAUGAAUAGUUUUGUGAAUAGACUUUGAAUUAUGCCAUGUAUAAAGGUUUGGUUGUGGAUUUCAAUGUGAAAAUAUGGCCUUGCUUUUCUAUCCCAUUGUGUUAUUGUCUGGGGAGUUAUAAUUGCUUCUGCAUGUGCUUAAUAAACGAAAGGGUCGACGAUACUUAGUUCUGGGAUAUCGCAUUAUAAAAUCAACCAAGUAGAAGGAUGUGUCCGUGCCCGAGGAUCGGGGCGAGACACAUUGCCGUGCCCAAUAAAGCGAGACGACGCUCAGUUAUGCCGGAUGACCGCUGAUUAUUGAGUUGGCCAUGGCCAUUGGGUCGUAAAUAAUUAGGACACGUUUGAGUGAUUGAGAUAGCCACGCCUGAUUAUGAACGAAAUUGUGUGGUAUGGAAUGGGACAUAUCAUAACGAUUUGGCUUUAUAAUUGGGACCCCUGUAAUUGUUUGAGAGUAAAUUGAUGUGUUCCUAUCACGCCCCGAUCCUCGAGCGCGUGCCCAUCCCUCAAUGGUCGAUAUAAAUUUUGUGACUUUCUAGGACGAGUCGCCGACCCUUUCAUUUUAUUGCACAUGCGGAAGCAAAUAACAAAUCCCCUGACAGUAACCAUCUCAGGAUAGAAAAGCAGGACAACCGAUUUUUAAACAAAACAUGCCUUUAAAUACACACCGAGUCAAAUACAAAAGUCUACGAUCACAAGAAUUCAAAUGAUUGACUCUAAAAAAAGAAACUGUCAUAUCUGACCUACACUUCAGAUCACCUCAGCUCGGCUCCAGAUUCUCCACUUUACGGUCCUAAAAAAUGAAGCCCACGACGGGGUGAGAUAUAAAUCUCAGCGAGUUCAAACUCUAAACCUCGAUUAGGAGGGUAAUAUGCCUAAGGCGUCCUAACCACACAAUCAUACAAUCACAGAGACUUACCUUAUCUCAAAUCCUCCCUGCAGGUCAGCACAGUUCAUAUCACAAUCAUGUGUAUAUAGCAAAGGCACACACCAAUUUGGAAUGUUCAAACCAAUCAUUACUCACACGAGCAAGAAUUACAAUUUAACCAUUGCUCACACGAGCAAGAAUUACAAUUUAACCAUUGCUCACACGAGCAAGAAUUACCGAUACACAUUAAAGUAAGAAUUACAAUUAAAUCACUACUCACACGAGCAAGAACUACCAAUACACCUCAAAGCAAGAAUUACCGACACACGCCGGUCCAUCAAUUCAACUCAAUAUGCGUUCCAAUUAAUUAACUAAUACUACCCAUACGAGCAGUUUUAUCUGACACACGCCGAAGAAAAAUAAUAACUACCGACACACGUCGGGGAAAGAUAAUAACUACCGACACACGCUGGAGAAAGAUAAUACCCACCUACACAUGCCGGGGUAAGAAUAAUAUCCAUCGACACACGAUGGGGAAGAACAAUAACUACCGACACACGCCGGAGAAGAAUAAUAACUACCGACACACGCCGGGUUUAGGUAAUAUCCACCGACACACGCCGGGGAUGGGUAAUAUGUGGCAUCCGGAAAUUUAGACGACCCUCAAAUAUGCAGCGGCCAUGAGUAAUCGACGGGAGUAUUGUCGGUACCACAUUCGGCCUAGUUUCAUAGUCACUCGACAUCCCGAAACAUUAACUUUCGGAGAAAAAGAAAUUUUCCUUGAAUGGCCAUAUGAACAAUCCCACCAACGGCCACGUUCUCUUUCAUCUCUUGGACCGACCAACCACGCAACAAGAGAAGUCUUUGGACACUAAUCUUAGUCACGUUUCUUUUUGAAGUUAGUCAAGUAAGGAGGAAAUAUUGACUUGUAUGGGGACGUACAUGCGUGGGAUUAUCUCGGCCCAAGUAAACNNNNNNNNNNNNNNNNNNNNNNNNNNNNNNNNNNNNNNNNNNNNNNNNNNNNNNNNNNNNNNNNNNNNNNNNNNNNNNNNNNNNNNNNNNNNNNNNNNNNGCACAGCCACGUUGCUCUUCAUUCGGUGGCCAGCGCAGGAGGAGAGAUCGAGCAAAGGAAAGCCACGCCUCCACAAGCUGUCUUUGGUUCCUGCUGCCAUCGAAAGAAUUCCCAUGCAGUUGACUAAAUUGUCAACAAAUUGAGGAACAAAAUGCUCGUACACAGAGGGGAGGAGAGAGAAUGAACCGAACAGAAACUUGAACAGAGAGAGUGAUCGAGAGAGAGUUUGAGCAAGGGAGUUUGUGAGCGAGCAGCGGGCAAAGGUGAGAGAGGAGAGAAGGAUCAUCCUCGGCCGUGCAUGCGCACCGUCGCCAUCGACGCCGUUCGCAAUCGCCGCCGUUGGGCCGCGCCCGAGACCUCGAGCUUCUGUUUUGGUUGCCGAUCGAGCUAUAGGACUAGAGGCAAGUGCAAGUCUACUAACCUAUGUAAUGCAAGGCUGUUAUUUCUGAAGUAGUGCAAGUGGACUUGAGGAUGUCCGAAUUUGAAUGUUGGAUUUUGAGUGAUUGUAGUAGAGUAGGAUUAAAGAAUUGGGGAAAUGCUUUAGAUAUCUCUAUACAUUCUGAUUUUGUUGAACUAUGAUGGAAAGAGAAAUCCGUGGUGAAAUUUUGAAAUGAAAUAGCCGUGGUAUAGGUGCGGGAUCCUACUGGGUUCGUGGUAUUCAAAUUAGACCAAGUGUAAUUCGGUAGUUUUGGAGAUUUUUAGGGACAACUCUGAUGCGAUUCUGGCCCCGCUUCCUUCAUGAAAUUUGUGAAGAAUGGUUUAAUCUAGAACAUAGGUUUUUGGUCAGAUUUUUCGGAAUCAACAUAGUGGCAUAAACUUCUUUUAAUGUGCAAUGCUUUCUGCCAAAUUUCAUUCUGUGAUAAAAGAAAUCUAAAACCGUGUUGUGUGAUUUAUUAUUUUUUAUACACAACGAAUCUGACUUAGUGUCCAUCAUGAAAUUAUUUUCUUUAGAUCUCCUCUAUAACAUACUAAAAUUUCAGAAUUUUCUGAGUUCGUUUAGGGGUUAUACCAAAAUUCUUACUAAAAUUGUGCAUUAUGACUUUUGGACUGUUUUAUUCCGAGUUUGCUUAAUUUAUCUCAAGGGUGGAUGCAUCUUGAUUUAUCAUUUGACAUGAUGGUGUUGGCAUUCAGCAUAUCAUUCAAUAUUGAAAUUUGAUGAAGACUCAUGGGACAUCCAAUGUCAUUGCAUUGGAAAUUGUUUUUGAUAUUAAAAUGUUAAUUGCUGCUGUUGGACCCUCGGGUCAACGAUGCCCCGGGAGUCGAGAGGCCCGAAGGCUCGAAUGAGUCGAUGUCCUUUGGAUGCCUAGGGUCCGUAGUGCCCUAGAGGUUUUUCCCGGGAGCAUCGGGAUGCCCGGUGGUAUGUCGAUACGUAAUUCCGGAGGGUAGGGGUAACCAUUUUCAUGGCGCGCCCCAGAGAUUCCUUGUGAUGCCAGGUGGGGUGCAAGAUGCCUAAGAGGUGUAACAAAACACGCUCUGGAUGCCCGGUGGCCUAGUGGCUGAAUGCCGGAGGCUUUCGCGAUGCCAGGUUGGGUGCAAAAUCCCAGAAGGACGCAAACAUUGGUCCUCUGGGGGAUGAAACCUUUUGAAUGUUAAAAUUGAUGGUUCUACUAAGUGUGUGUGUGUGGUCUGGUUAUGGGACUAAAUUGUAUGGUAUGAAAUGGGACGUGUCAUAACAGUUUGGCCUUAUGAUCAGGACUUGUGUGGCUGGACGUGAUGCAUCUUGAUCUUUUGAAACUACAUUUGCCAUUGCAUUAGAGAAUUUUAUGGUUUUGAUGCAUACUUAUUCUUUGAUUACCUGUUUUAUCUAUCUUGCAUGAAAUUAGAUUAUGAUGGUUAUGCACGAUAUAGUUUAGUGGAUCUUUUACUGCUGGGUGGUCGUACUCAUCCCUUUUGAGGAAACUAACAUUCCAGACUAAACAAGAUGCCUAUGCUACCCGUACCUCCCGGCACAUUUUAUGGACUUCCGGUCGACCUGCAAUGCGAGGUGUCAAAGCAUCACCAUCCCGAAGUGAGAGGGCUUUUUAUUACUCGGGUGCGAGUGUUGAUUUUGUUUGAUGUUGGUCCUCCUGCCGGCCCCGUACUACAGGAGUAUCUAGCCAUUUUCAUCAGCCGAGAUGGACAUACGCUGAGGCUACUACCACCACCGCCAACUGAUGGACCGGAUGGAUGGGUGUGACUGCAAGCGAAGGUUAGCAAAGGCAGCAUUUUUGGACGCCGACACUAACUGAUGGACUUAUGUAUAUGGCUAUAGGGAGAAAGAAAGUCGGGUAUCUUUUGAUAUGUAGCUGGGUAUAGAAAACCGCAGCAUUUUUGGUGUACCAACUGAAUGAUGUCCAUCAGGUUUAUGUAAAUAAAAGUGUCUGACUUUUACCUAUAAAAACUUGUAGUUAGUGUGCAUUAUGUCUAAAUAUGGGAUAGGGAGAUGUUGAAUAUGCUUCUGCUAUAUUUUCUGCGCAGGGACCGAUGUAAGAAAUAUAAACCCCCAAGGCUCAUGAACUUCUUGAAAAUAACAUGGUAUCAGAGUAAUAGACCUUCAGGUAAAGAGAAAGGACGUGAUUUGUGGCGACUCCAACGGAUCGGGGGCCGUUCAAGGGGUGCCACAUAAUAUCCACCGACACACACCAGGGAUAGGUUAUCUUAACUUUUAACGUCCACCGACACACACCGAGGACGGUUCUCAUAACUUUUAACGUCCACCGACACACGCCGGGGACGGGUCUCUUAACCUUCACACAAUCAUCAAGCAUAAUCUCUAGGCAUGUCACAAACCCACCAACAUAGAGCAAUCCAUCUCAUGACCUCACACAUAAGUUCUCAGCAUGCCACCAAUCCAUCACAUCACUAAAUACACCUUAUUUAGCAAGCACAAUGUCAAGAUCAACCACAAAAUCAUAACCGGUCCUAAUUGGCAUAAACCGGGCCACUUGCACGUCUCCAAAUUUAAUUCCAGAAACCUACCUAAAUGAGCUCAAAAAAUUCUCAAAUUUGGAUAUGUUGUAGAAGACACAUAAACAAACAUUUUUCAUGAUACACCUUAACCCAGAUCCUUCUAGAUUCAGCCCAGUAAAUCGCUCAAUCCAGCACCAAAAACUAGGUAUGUUCAAGAAAGUCUGUUUUUCAAAAAUCAGUUUGGUUUGAGAUCCAAAACAUGUCCGUUUGAUUUGAAAUUUCAAUAUGUUAAACUAGAAGAUGUGAAAAUAAUUUUUGUGAAGAAACCAUUUUGAAAUUCGAACCCUAAGAGUUGAUAAAAACCCCUAGAAUCCUAAAAGGUCACCAGUUCCAACGAAAACUGAGCCUCUGUUUGAAAAUGACGGAGCCGAUAUCUCCUUCUUUUAAAUCUCUAAAAAUCUUGAGAAAAAUGUACGUUGUAUCCGAGGAUGUCUAGACCAUUUCUCAAAAAGGCAUCAACCUCAAAUUCGUAGCCCAUUUCGAUCUACAAAAAUGGCAAAGAUUGAGGUUCUAGAAACCAAAACUGCAGGAAUUCCACUGGAUUCGACUAAACCAUCAUCAACGUUGCAAAUCUCACUAAUUAGUUUACACUAAUCCAUUCUAAAGCCAAUAUAACCAUUCUAGCUUAUCACUAAUCCAUAAUUAAGCUAAUCUAAACAACCCUUAAGUAUAAUUAACCUAUUAAGUAGGGUUUAGUGAGCAAACUCACUUGUUCGACGAUUCGAUCGGAUCAAACUGACAAAGGUGCGAUUGGGGACGAUCCCCUCCAAAGCGGGCUUGGCUUUCGAGGUUGGGAAGCGGGCCAAAACGGGCCAAACCCUUGGCUGAAAACCCACUUCUUCAACUUCUAUUUGGGGUUGAAACAGGUGGAACCUGUGGCUAUUUAGGCUAGAAACAACGAGGGAGGGCUGCAGCGGUCUUGGCGGGCCUCCAGGCUGCUCCGGCGAUAGCGUACGGUGGCUAGCGGGACCUUUGGAUGCACAGACAAGCAGGGAUGAAGCAACUGGAACGCUGGUUCGCGCGGAGGACUCGUGGGGCGCGACAGGUGUGCAACGGCGCGCGAGAGGCGGUCCGGCAGCUUGGCGGGGCUACUCUGGCAGCUUGCUAGCUAAUCUCCUCUGCUCUCUACAAUUUUUGAAGCUUGAAGAGGCUGAGGGAAAGGGCUGCAUGACUAGAUAGGGAAAGGGGAAGAGAGGGGGGACGAAUUGGCUUGGAGGGGGCCUACCACUUGCCUCAUCCUCAUCUUCUUUGUUCCCUUGACUAAUCCACCAUGUGUGCUGUCUUCCACAGCCCAUUUUCAGCCAAAAAUGCCCUCAUCUAGAAGCUUGAAGUGGUCCAAUUGUUGGGCCUAAGGGGGUGUUACGAAUUUUGGUGGAGGUUGAUUCAAUUUGGACUUGAAUGGCUCUUGAAUCAACCUUAUUUGGCCUCUAAAAAUCCAACCAUCAUACCCUUAAUCAAAUUGGCAUUUUUCCUCGCCAAUUGAACCCACUUGUAUCCCAAUUUUCACGAUAAAAAAUGGUCCUCUAAAUUUUCUAGACAAAAACAACCCUACCUCGACUUUUUUUUCCAAAAGGUCUGAAUUUGUAGAAAAAUCUUCGAAAACUGAGUCGACAUUCCUAAAAUGACUUGUGACAUGACAGAACUUUCAAUUUCUGAAAUCAGAUUCAAAUUCGCGGUUAAUUUCAAUCCGGUGCGAUUUUAGCAUGAUCUUGACUACCGGAUAGCUUUCAUAAAUUUUUAGUGCAAAUGACUCGUUGUCGAUUUUCUUCGAGCCAUAAUGUACCACUUUGACACAUCAGCAACUCUCAGUAGUCAUGAAAAUCUCAAGGUUUCAAUUACAGGCACAGGGUACCCAAAACGACAGAAAAUUGAUCCAGUGCCAAUCAACGAAAAUUUUGCAAUCAAAUGGAAUCACCCACACUUUGAUCACACAUCUCAGUCAAAUCGACCUAUCCCUAAUCUAUGAUCGAUUUUGACAAUGCUGUAAUGACCCUUGCAGAAUAGCACGAUCGAGCAGUCGAUUUCUAGUCGAAUUUUCAAGUCCAUUGCAUCAAAAUCUCUUAAUGACUUCCCCAGAUAGUCUAGUUAGCUCACGAGUGAUCGACUCUGAGAAUAGCAUUAUAGGCGCGUCGAUGAAAGGCCCGAUUUAUUCAAUUAAAAGGUGACUGAAAAUCCAGGAUGUCACAGUUCUAAUUAUUGAAUAUAUUGUUGUAUGCAUAUGAUAUUUGAGAUGUACUAACGUGCAGGGAGGUGCUGAGGCGAGGUAAGUCCUAUAUGGUGCAUGUUUAGGCUGCCUCUAGGUGAAUUCUCGUCCUAAUCAGGGUUUAGGGUGCAGACUCGCUGAGACCUUAUCUCACCCCAUCGUGGUUUAAACCGUUUCAGGUCCUUAGAUGGAGGUACAUCAUGUACGUUAUGGGGUCCCACAGGAGGUAGACUUUCAGCACUCUUAUUUCCCUAUUCCCGAGACCAACCAGACACGUGAGCUAGUUGAGUCCACUAUCUGGGUCAAUGAGGGCCUACCUCACUUAGUACCUCAUUGUUUCAAGGCGUGGUGUCUCCACAAGCCCAAUGGGGUUCGGGAGGGUCCUACGGGAGGUUUUGACGGGCCUGCCGUCUGGACCAGGGAGUGGGAAAUAUGGCAUCCUAUGGAUAUUGAUACCCCCGAUGGUGUCAUGAAGGAUCCAGAGCCCGAGAAUGGAGAGUCAAGAGCUUAGGUGGCUCAGUAGUUCUUUUUGAUCUAGACUCCUGUACAUAAACCUUAGGUUUUGCUUGACUUUAUAUAAACUUGAUGUAUUUUUAAAGUGUGGCUUGUGUUAAUUGAUUGUCCUGCUUUUUUCUAUCACAUGUUUGAUUGUUGUCUAGAGUUCAUUAGUUCGCUUUUGCAUGUGCAUAAAUCAAUUGGUUCGGCAACACGUCUUGGGAACGUCACAUUUUAGUCAACCACCGAGGGAUGUGUGCGUGCCCAGGGUUCAGGGCAUGACACAUGGCAUCAUUAUAUUUCAGGGUCUAUCAAAGUAAGGGUAAAUUGUCGUUUAGCAGUCACGUUGAGAAGCAGAAACUGUUUCAUAUCCAGCAUCUAAGAAUCUCAAGGCAUCUAUAGAUAUACCAUGGAAGUAACACAAGACCUUAGUGCUAGAAAAUUGUCUAAGACAAACUGAAUGCACCCACAAAAUAUAUAUAAACACAUAUGCACAUGUACAAUCUCUGUACCACAUGAGCGUCCAAUGGCGGUGGAUAAUUUGCAUCGAUAGUGUCUAUCCAGCUAAAAAGCAUGUCGUGAUAACCAUAUGGUUUCCCAUUCAUACUCUGUGCAUACUCCCAUGCAGCAGUCUCGUUAAAUUUGGCUCGCAUAUCAGGAUGCAGUGGAAGCAAUGCAAUGUGGGGAUUUAAGUCGUCUUUGUUAAGCUCAAACUCCCACCAUUCAUCCCAUGGUAGCACAUCGAUGACAUCUUCUCCCUGCAAGGAUAAGAACAAAACAAAAAUUGCAUUAUAUCCAACACUGCCGGACUUCUGAAGCACCUGACCCCUCUACCAACGCAAAGGAACAUAGCAAGUAGCAAUAACCCAAUUAUAAACUUACAUUUGUUAAUCAAGGAAUGCCUCAAGAAAAGGAUGUCAUUUCAUUGCAUUCUAACCAUAAUCAUCAUCAGUAAGUUGCCGUGUUGUGUGUAAAGAUGGUCUUGAAGUUCAAUAGAAACAGUUCAAAGACACUGUAUUUGCUAUGUUACAAACAUGAUGAUGCUACAUCAUGAACCUGAAGCAGCAUGUCAUCGUUUACUUACUCAUCCUCUCUAAAAAUCAAAAGUUUCUACAAGAGCACAGAAAGGAAAGACCUCUCUUAUUGGAAAAAAAAAUAUUAGCGAGGAGAUUUAAGGACAUAGGGAUGUGACUAAAGCGCAAUUAAUAUGCAUAAUGGAACAAUUUCAUUGGAACUGUAUUUGUAAGAGAAGAAGUCCAUGAUUUGACAAAAGUUACAUUUAUACAAUAAUAGCACUAGAAUCCAAUGCCCCAAAAACCUAAGGAUUCACCCUAGGACAUGUUACAGAAACACCGCAGGGAGCCUAGUUGUCCUUCUCAUUUUGUAUGAGACAACCCUUUUAUAAUCAGAGUACUUUUAAGCAGUGUCAUAUGGGUGUCUUAAAAAUUUAAUGGCAGAUGAACACAAGGAAUGAAGGAGGAGACGCAAAAAUAAUAACUCAAAUAAUUGGUAGGGGUGUUUGAGAUGUUUGAAGUUUGUCUGUUGGAUAUCCCAAUAUAACAACAAUGUGAACAAUUCUAGUGAGAGACUGGCACCAACUGACCGCCAUGUUACUAUUGUGUCUAUGCAAUUGGUUUAAAAAUAUACUCACAAUUACAAUUGCAAAGACAACAACAGGCAGAAAGAUUGGAUGAAAUGUCAAAAUUCAAAAAUAUAUACAUCAAAAGCAAUCUGUCAUGUAUGAAAACAAAGGGAAAAAAAGGAAUAGAUAAAAUGCUUUAAAAAAAAUCGCAAAGCAAUUUCUUUCCUUAAAAGGCUUUUUCUCCACAAGUCAAUAUAAAAAUUAGCCCUUCAAACUGAAAGAGAAGUAUGCCUACGCGUAUGACCAACCCAUGGCCAUUGCCAAGUUACCUGUUCAUUAUCAUGUCCAGAUUCACCAACCCAUAGCUUUCCUUCAGAAUCCUUUAAGCACACACCUGUGUGGCCAGCAUGAGCCCCACUGACCCAUUUCUCUAGAGUCUCAAAACCACCCCACCUCCCACGAAUUUUUGAAAUUGCAAGGAAAUCUCUAGAGUGGACCCAUAUGCUUCUUGACCCACAGUGCUUGAAGGGUCCCUAGCAUCCCGACUUGCAUCAAAAAGAUUGACACUCCUCUACUUUUCACCUGUAAUCAAAGUAAUGGAAAACCAAGAGUAACAACUCACCAAUAUGCAUAUGCAAGAGCAGAAGAGAAAAAGAUAAUUGCAGCUUACAUAUUCAAACUCAGCUUUUCCUUCCCACUCUUCAAACUCAAAUGUGGGCUCAGUGCUCACGGGAUAAAAGAUAGUAGUCCCAUGUCACACGGUAUGGGGUUGCAAAGACAUAAAUAUCCAUACAUGUCCAGCUAUGGGCUUUCCUGACCUGGAUGAGCAAUCCAAACUCAUGGUUACAAGCCGGACACCUACAACUAGUCGUCAGUUUCCAUAUGCAGCAAAACCAUGCAAAAAUAAGAACUAUCAACAUGAGGCAGAAAACAAUGGCAGUACCCACCCAGCUUGGAAUUGCCUCCAUAAGAUGAUUUUACAUCAAACGAAAUGACCACACUUGUAUGAGCAACCGAAUCCAAAUCACUAAAUCCUUCUUCAACCGCUUAAAACCUUGACACGAAAAACUCAAGUGACCAACCAUGGUACUGCCAAUUCAUGGAGCUUAAUCAAGUACAAACAAGCGGAUGAAAGGAAAAGAAAAGAAACCUCAGCAAGUGACAAAAUCCACUAGAAACAUGUUGAAGUAAGAACUGAAAAUUCCAACAUAAAUAAGCAGAAAGAGAAAAGAGGAACAGUUGGGAUCAAGCAACACAUCAAAGGAUAUUCUCCAACAUCCUUUAAAUAAUUAAUUUUCUUCACAACUCUAUACAUAAUGGUAUGACUGUGCACUUCAGUUGGUAAGAAAAAUACCGUAAGUAGAUAGAAACUCUAUCCAGUUCAGAGCUUUAAAUCCAUUAGAAUAAAUCAACCUCAAAUUAACCAAGAUAGAAAGCUCAAACUAAGUACCAAGAAUUAAUCGGAAACUGCGAAAAGCUAGCAAACGAUGGCCAUUAGCCCCCAUCAACAAACCCUUACAACCUCGCAUCUCCCAGAAUUAUCACACAAUCGAACUGUAGCGAAUUGAAUUAAGCAUUAACAAUUGACUAUAAAAACUCAAGAGCUAGUGAACAGUGACCAUCUCUCCACAUUACCAAAUUGCCGCAAGAUGAAACCUCCCAGAAUCUUCCAGAAUCGCACUCAAACACAAGGAUUUCCAUUCCAUUCCGUUUCUCACAAUCACCAAAGAAAAACCAAGACUUAAAAUCAUCACUCCAGUCCAUUCCUUUCCUCAUCAUUUCCUGAUUUCAUUCCAUUCCACCGUACCAAACUCAACAUAAUAGUUGACCAGAAUACCUUUUGUGAUUAGUGGCCACAAGCUUAAAAGCUAAACCCCCCCCCCCCCAAAAAUCUUCCAGAAUCGCACUCAAAACCAAACAAAGACAAAGCCAAAGCAACGUGGUAAAACUAAAGGACGGACCUUGAUGUGAAUCAUGCCUCCGCCGAACUCGCUCCUGGUCUCCCAAGCCGUGUUCUCGUAGAGGCAAGCUCCUUUCCCGAGGCGGGACGGCGAAGGUUAUUGAGGAUGGGCCAGGACAGCUGCCUUGGCAGCAGAGGGAAUAUGUCCACCGGGUGGAACGGUAGCUUCGCGGCUUGAGAAUGCGGGUUGAGCAAACAGAAGAUCGUGAAGAGAAAGAGAAGCAACACAAAUGGCUGAAGAGAAGCCAUGGAAAUUGGGGGAGAGAGCGACAGACAGACAGACAGACAGACAGAAAUCCUGAGGAAUAUCCCAUCUCCCCUUCUUAUGUACAACUUUUAGAGAGAGGGAGAGAAGAAUUUUUCUUGGCCACUUCCAUAACUCUUCCAACUAUACUUUUGGAGCUUCCUAAUGGAGCAACAACAAUUAAAUAAUUUUGAUUAAUAUGGAAGGCAAGAACUCAAAUUUACUAAAUAAUUGAUGCCCGACCAAGCUCACCGUCAAACCGCAGCUAUGACAUCCCGAAAUUUGGCCCCUGAUUUGGAUAUAUGAAAUGGUUGUUUCGUCAACGCACUUAUGAUUAAUUUACUCAGAACUGAUCACUCACGAGUUAACUAAUCUAUUAGAUGAGGCCAUUAAGAGAUAUAAACGCAACAAACUAGAGAAUUCAAUUGGAAAUCGACCGCUUGACCAUAAUAAUCAGUAAGGGUCAAUACGAAACCGUUAUAAAUCGAUUAGUGAAUGCACAUAAGUCGAUUCGAUGGAAUUACGUAGUCGAAUUGCGGGUGGUUCGGCACAAUUGCGAUAUUCGCAUCGAACGGCAAUAACCCGAUUUUCUAUCAAUAUUAUAUUCAUAACACGUAAUUGAAAUCUCGCAAUUUUAUGACAACCGAGGGUCGUCUUUGAUUCAGAAAUGCACAAACAUGGAUCGAAAAUUAUCGACCAUGGGUCAAAUGCGCUAAAAUUCUUAAAAGCUACUCGAUUGGUUAGGUCGUACUAAAGUUGCGUUUGGUCGAUUUUAACCACGAAAUUGAAUUUGGUUUUGGCAAAUCAGACGUUCGAGCAUGUCACGAUUCAUUUAUAGGACUUCGUCUCAUCUUUCAGCGAAUUUUCGUAGAGUCCGAAAAUUUUGCGGAAAAAUGAUUUUUGAACAAAAAGGAAAAUAAAAGGAAAUUCGGAUUAAUAGGAAAAAUGGGAAAUUGCUGCCCAAAAUGGCUUGGUUUGUAAGAAAUUAGAAGAAAAUUAGGAUUUGAUAACCACUUGACUUUGACGGCAUGAAGACUUUAGAGGUAAAUGUGAUGAUGGGUUAGAUAUUUAGCUAGGUUUGUGAUUGGUUGUGCCUUUGACUUCUUGGUUCUCCUUCUCUCUUCCAUUUCCCUCCAUCUCUUUCUCUCUUGCAUUCAUCCCCCUUGCAGCCGACCCUCACUUCCUCUCUAUUUCCCUUUCUUUUCCCUCAGCUUCAUCUUCUUCUCCUUUCUGCCGCACGUCUGCCACUAUUCCCCACGCUAACUUCAUUUCAUCUUCUUCAACCCAUCAUCUCCAUCAGCCACCUCCAUCAUCAUCCCAUCUUCACCCAACAUCAUCAUCAUCCCUCAUCCACCAUCAGCACCCCCCCUUUCAACAACCAGCGGCACAGCACGCCAACACCGCCACCUUCGUUUCACGCCCGCUGCUCCAUUUUUCCCUCACGCCUGCACCAUCACGCUAUCAACCCAGCAACCCUCCACGUUCCGACCAACCAUUACCGCACCACCUCACACCCGCCACCAGCACCCAGCAGCCACCUUGCAUCAGCCCACCUUGCAUCAGCCCACCUUGCCGCCAGCACUGAGCGGCCCCGCCACAACCGCAGCUCCACCGCAGCCCAUCCCACAUCCGCCUCAUUGCCCGUCCGUCACCAGCCUGCCAACAGCCGCGUCCAGCCAAGCUGCAAUACACCCAAGCUGAGCCAAGCUCCCUUUGGCCGAGAGCUUGUAGGGUCGUAACAGCCAUCGUCGAGCCUCCAUAUGAGCCAUGGUUGUCUCGAGUUUUCGUCGCCGUCACAUCGCCGUCGCCGCGAGCCCAUCGUCGCCGAAAACCUUGAGUUAACUCCCUAAUCCUUGAUUAGGUUGUUAAUUGUGCUUAUGGGAUGUUUAGAUUAGUGCUAAUCAUGAUUAGAUUAGUACUAAGAUGGAUUAUUGUUAAUCAAGCAUGGUUAGGUUUGUUUACCUUAGUUAGGUUAGUUUACUUUGGUUAAGUUAGUUAACCAUGGUUAGCUCGCCGUCAAACCGUGGUCAUUGAUAGCUUCAACUCCACUUAUAUUGCUUACCCACCCUCUUCUAUCGCCAUGACGACUUUCACUAUCCCGCUUUUUCAGGACUUAGAUAACAUCAAACAUCCCCAUCGCUGGAUAAAAGUGAAAACAUCUUAAAGAAGCCAAUGCUUUGAAAAACUCUUCCUUAUGACAAAAUCAAGAGUAUUUCAUCAAUGAUGUACUUCUUAAUUUUGUACAAAGAAAUGUGUUUGUCAUCAAUAUGGAUUUAACAUUUACCUUUGAGAUAGCUAGUAUAAGCACCUAGAGGGGGGGUGAAUAGGUGUAAAAAUAGUUUCUCGUGAUAAGUGAGCAAUACUAAACAGACAAUCGAAAGGAAGUUCUCCUUUUGUUAACAAAACGAAUUAUGAUCAAAGUAAAGCAGAGAGUAGGGAAGAGAAAAUGAAUACAUAAAUUAUAGUGGUUCGGCUUAUUCCAAGUCUACGUCCACUCUUCCGCACUGAUAGCCCACCAGCUAGAUUUCACUAUGAACAAAAGAGUUGUUACAGCAAAGCUCUCCUUUGAUUCCACAGUGUAGAUACUCUACCACACUUCCUCAAGGUUUCUCAAGAAUAUAGACUCUCUUUUGCGUACAAGAUUUCGCUCAGUAAAUGAAUUGACUAAGAACAAAGAGCUUUAGACUUUGGAAUUCUUUUAUCGCACACAUACUCGAACAACUGGAACGUCUUCCUUAUAUACUCAUUUAUGCCAUCAUACCUGUUGGCACUUACCAAAGGAAUUCUUCCAAUCUUCCCGUUGGACAUAAUCAAUUAGGAAGAUCAUUCGAGCUAUUUAAAGAACAUGACGAUAGACCAUCAAUCAUGCUCACCCAUAUAAUCAGGAUCUCGGUUUCCAUAAGUAAAACCUUCCAAGUAUACUUCGCUAAUCAUCGGAUCCUCAAUCUCUGAAUCAAUCUUGAUCCGAAUAAAGGAUUCAGUUAUGUCAUAUCCAGCCAAGAGAUCUUCUUUAGUCGAUAAGGUCAAAUCCUUAACGAAACAUCCAGUCCUAGAUAGGUCUUCUUCGACGGACUAGAAACUGUCAAUAAGAAUAGACUUUGAGUCUUGAGUCUGGCAGUCCGGAGGUCUUCAGACUUUAAAUAGAAGAGUCUGCAAAUCUUCAGACUAGACUGAUGGAAACGUUUUGUCAGCUUCAAAACACUCCACGAAGAUUUCUCCAACAAUCUCCCCCUUUUUUAUGGUGACAAAACUUUCCUAUAGAUUUGGAUAACUUUGACCUACAAAACAUUACUCAAGCAAAUAUGGAUAUCUCAUAAAAAUAAAUGGCUUAAUGAUAACACUAGAAUCUGCAACCAUAGAAAAUAGGUUAGUCUUGUAGAUGAGUAAAGUCAUAAGAUAUCAAUAGUACUUAAGAUAAAUAAUCAAUCCCAAAUCUCAAAUCCAGUCCACAGCCAGACACAAAAGUCAAGUCAAAACAAACAUCAAAACAAAUCAAGAGUUCAAGUUCAAAAAGUUCAAAGUUCAAAUCUGCAUCACAUCUCUCCCCCUUUUUGUCAUCAUUAAAAAGGUAGAGAUGGAAAGAGAAUGGAAUCAAGUAUGCUUGGGAACACGAACAAGCUGGAAAUCUCCCAUUGACUGGACAAUGCCUUCCAGGUUUUUCAACUCUUCCUUUAGUUGAGCCACAUCUUCACCCUUUGCAUUUGCUUGAAUCUGAAGAGCAAGGGCUUGGAUUUGAUCAUUCAAAGAAACUGAAGAAGCUUGACUUGCAGUCUGCAAAUUCUGUACUUCGCAUCCCAGAGCAUAUAUUUGACCCUGCAUCUCUAAGAGAACAUCAAGAAUUUUGCGAAAAUCUGCUGAAUUAUUAGUUUGCAUACUGGCUUCUGCACGAUCAGAUGGAGUAAAGGCAGACGAUGGCAAAUCAGCAUAGUCACGCAAAUUGGGCGAUGAAACAUCAUGUCCCUCCUCAGGAAAUUGAGAGGCAUAGAUAUCCUCUGGAUCUACUGGAGAGCGGCUUACUCCUUCACUAGUGGCAGGAUAUGAGGACAUUCCUCUUUUCUCAUGAUCUCCCCCUGUUUCCAUGCCUUCAGGUGGAGAAGAGUGUUCCUCAUGCUCUGCUUCCUCUUGAUCUCCUCUCUCCUCUUCUUCUUCUUCUUCAAUUCUUUCCUCCUCUACAUCUCUUUCUUCUGCUUCUCUCUCCUCUGUUUCUUUCUCCUCUGCUUCCAAAAUUUCUCUUUCUCCAGUCCUCUGUUCUGUCUCAUAUAUGUCUUUCUCUUGUUGUUUCGUUGAUUCUGGAACAGAACGACUCACGUUCUUCAAUGUCAUUGCAGAAAUGGUGAUGUCAUCCUCAUCUUCUUCAUCCUCAAUGAUGAGAGCUCUUCUUUUCUUGGAUGGAGCAACCAUGGGCUCCUUCCCUUUUCUUUUUGCUGCCGAAGAGAUUUGAUGAGUUUUAGCGGGGGUUUUCUCCUUGAAUUUCUCCAACGCCUUGUUGAGUUACUUCAUAUGCAUUUUAGACACCAUUUUCAGUCCCACUACCAUUUGAUCACAAGUUCUAACAUAGAGAAUCCGGGGAGGCUGAACAUUCAAAUGUCUGAAUAACUUGGUCACAAGAGCCGGAUAAGGAAGUUGACCCUUGUCCUUCAUCACUGCUCUACACAUGUGGAACAUAAUAGUGUGAGGAAGAGAGAACUUUUUCCCAGCAUUGAUGGCAUACAUCAGCUUUGCCUCUAAGUUUGAAACAUCAGUUUUUGAAGUAGAUUUUGGUUUGAGGCAGUUAAUCACAAUCUUGUGAAGCAGAAUGUUGAAUGCUUUCAUCCUCAAGUAGGAAAUCUUUCCCUCUGUCCUUCUAUCCUUAACAAGUUCCAACGUAACACGAGCAAUAGACACAUUGAUAGGUUGAUAUCUCCCUCUUUCAACCCUAAUCACAUUAGCCAACAUAUCUACAUCCACCACAUAGUCCUGAUCUCGGACACUAAAAGAGAAUCUAUUCGCAUCCAAGAAACUGAGAUUCAAAUAGAAAUAUGCAGUGAGUUCAGCAUAGGCUUCUGUAGAUUCAGAACAAAACUGUUCAAGUUGAAGAAGACUGAAUUUUUCCCUCAAAUUAAUGUUCACAGAGUCAAGGAAAUCAAAAUCCACACUUCUAGGGUUUAUCACCCCACGCUUCAACAACUUAGAGUAUAGAUGCUUGUGUUCCUCCAAUCGAAACAAGUCUAUCCUUUUGCUCCGAAUUUUUGCCGCAACACCCAUUCUCGGUUGAAACUGACUAUACAACUUGUCAUCAUCAUUCUCAUCUGGCUGAUUCAGCCCUCCAACACAUGGAUCGCUUGGGAUAUUUGCCAUUGCCUCUUCCGCCGACCCAGCAGGGGCAAUCCCCAACCGUUCCAUUGUGCGUAAAAAGAAGGUUUCAUUUUUAUACCCUUUGUCUUUCAAAAAUUCGUCAAUGUAGUUCAAAGGAGUUCCACCCCUUUUCAAAGCACGAUAAAGCUUGUAGGUAAAAGAGGGCUUAAAAGUUCUUAUGGGUUCUGCAUCUUCGAUUAUUUCUUCCUCUUCUUAAUGAGUAACAUCCUGUGGUCUAGAUGGAGGAGAUGGACGCUACUGAGAAUGUUGUGGGCUCUGCUGCUGACUAGGAGACUCUUCUUCCUCGGUGAGAUCAAAGUGCGUAGGCCCCUCAUGCAUUUGUUGCUGUCCCCUGUUCGCAAUCCUCGAAGACUUCCUUUGAGACGACAUCUUUCACAGUCUUUGAAAGAUUCCAAACCUGUUUUUCCCAAGAAAGAUAACAACUUUUCGAAGAUUAAACAAGAGAAGAAGACAGAAGUGGAAGAUCGAUGCUUUCUAAGGUUUUUGGAGUAAAAUGAAGAGAAACUGACAGUAUAUAGGACGGUCGAAGAGAGGCAUACAAAACGUCGUAAAGGAAAGUAAAAAGAUGCCUUUUAAAAAAUAACUGCCUUUUUCAAAAAUUAGAUAACUGUCAUUUAAAAUUAACUCCAUUUUCGAAAAAGAAAGAUUGCAAUAAUCACGGAAAUUGAAAAUAGCAAAAAUCAAUUAUGGGUAGAUGAUCGUACCUUUUUGAGAUUUAUUCUGAGAGAGAAUAAAAUAACUUACAGUAAAAAAUCUUGAUUGUCUGAGUCGAGAGUCUCUAGACUUUUACUUCUUCAAACCUCAAAAUAUUGAGUUUGGAACGAAUAACUUCAAAUUGAUUUUUUUCCAAAGGCUUUGUAAAUAUAUCCGCCAGUUGAUUCUUUGAGUCAACAAACUGAAUCGAAACUUCUCCAUUUUGAACAUGAUCUCUAAUGAAGUAAUGUCGAAUCUCUAUAUGCUUUGCUUUUGAGUGAAGAAUUGGAUUCUUAGUGAGAUUGAUUGCGCUGGUGUUGUCACACUUAAUCUCCGUGCAUGAAUCUUCAAUUCCAAAGUCUCUUAGCUGUUGUUUUAUCCACAGAAUUUGUGAACAACAACUUCCAAGAGCUACAUACUCUGCUUCUGCUGUAGAAAGAGCUAUUGUAUUUUGCUUCCUUGAAAACCAAGACACUGUCCUGCUUCCAAGUAGUUGACAGGUACCCGAGGUGCUCUUUCUAUCAACUCUGCAUCCAGCUAGGUCUGCGUCUGAGUAUCCAAGAAUAGUAAAGUCUCCGUUUUUAGGAUACCAAAGACCAAAAUUUGAAGUUGAUAUAAUGUAUUUGAUAAUACGCUUUGCAACACUUAGAUGAGAUUCUUUAGGGUCUACUUGAAAUCUGGCACAAAUGCAAACAUUAAACAAAAUGUCAAGUCUAGAAGCAGUAAGAUAAAGAAGUGAACCAAUGAUACUCCUAUAUAGCUUCUGGUCAACUUUCUUUCCUCCUUCAUCUUUUUCUAUCUUCAAGGAACUUGACAUUGGUAUAUCAGUCUUUUUGCAAUUUUCUAAUCCAAACUUUUUGACAAGAUCAUUAGCAUAUUUUUCUUGAUGAAUAAAAGUCCCUUCCCUCAAUUGUUUCACUUGAAGCCCGAGAAAGAAUGUUAGUUCACCCAUCAUGCUCAUUUCAAAUUAAUCCUGCAUAGACUUAGAGAAUUUCUUGCACAGACUUUAAUUAGAGGAUCCAAAAAUAAUAUCAUCAACAUAUAUUUGAUCAAGCAGAAAACUUUUGCUUUCUCUUUUGAUAAACAGUGUAGUGUCUACUUUACCUUUGACAAAGCCAUUUUGAAUUAAAAACUUACUUAGCCUGUCAUACCAAGCUCGAGGUGCUUGCUUUAAACCAUAUAAAGCAUUUUUCAGUUUGAAUACUGAGUCUGGUUUCCUUGGGUCUUAAAACCCAGGUGGUUGUUCCACAUAGACUUCCUCAUGGAUAAAUCCAUUCAGGAAAGCACUUUUGACGUCCAUUUGGAAUAACCCGAAAUUCUUAUAACAAGCAAAAGCAAGUAAUAAUCUAAUUGCUUCUAACCUCACUACUGGUGCGUAAGUCUCAUCAUAGUCUAUCCCUUCUUCUUGCGUAUAUCCCUUGGCCACGAGUCUUGCUUUGUUUCUUACGACCUUUCCUUUCUCGUCCAUCUUGUUCCUGAAAACCCAUUUAGCUCCAAUAAUAGAUUUACCUUUCGGUUUAGGAGUCAAUUCCUAGACAUCAUUAAUACUGAAUUGCCUGAGUUCUUCUUGCAUAGCUUCAAUCCAGCUUUCAUCAGAUAAAGCUUCUUCUAUGCUUUUGGGUUCUAUUUUAGAAAUAAGAGCCACAGCACUAAACUCUUUGCGCCUUUUGGAUCUUGUGCGAAUUCCUUCAUUAAUGUCACUAAUAAUGAGAUCUUUGGGAUGACUGGACUUAUGCUUCCAGUUGCUGGUUGAUUUGUCAGGUUGUUGAUCUUUUUCUUCAUUUGAAUCUUCAACAAUCAUUUGUUGCUAGUCUUUCGAAGUUUGAGCUGCUUCUUGAGAUUUAGACUUUGUAGAGUCUAGAGCAAGUUCAAAUUCUUCAAGAUGAGUCUGAAUAGAUUCAUUUUGCAUAGAAUCUUGGAAUUUGACAUUCAUUGAUUCCUCCACAGAUUGAGUCUUCUUGUUAUAGACUCUGUAGGCUUUACUUGUGGUUAAAUAUCCAAGGAAGAUGCCUUCGUCUGAUUUUCUUCAAACUUGCCAACUCGAUCAUUUGCAUUUUUCAAUAUAAAGCAUUUACAUCCAAACACAUGAAAAUAUGAAACAAUAGGCUUCUUUUCUUUGAAUAACUCAUAGGGGUUUUCUCCAGAAUAGGCCUUAGAAAAACUCUAUUAAUGAUAUAACAUGCUGUAGAAACUACUUCAGCCCAAAAACGUGAAGAGAUAUUACUUUCAAUUAAAAGAGUUCUAGCCAUUUCUUGAAGCGACCUAUUCUUUCUUUCCACAACUCCGUUUUGCUCUGGAAUAUAUGGAGAGGAGAACACAUGCUGAAAACCAGAUUCAUCACAGAAUUUUGUAAAAUCUUGAUUUUCAAAUUCACCUCCAUGGUCUGUUCAUAUACUUGAAAUAACAUACCAUAUCUCAUUUUGGACCUUUUUAGCAAACUUUUCAAAGUAAGAAAAGGUUUCAGACUUACUUGCUAGGAAAUAUACCUAAGUAAAUCGUGAGUAGUCAUCCACAAUUAAUAUGCAAUAUUUCUUACCUCCAAUGCUCUGAGUUCUGAUUGGUCCAAAGAGAUCCAUAUGUAGAAGCUGCAGUAUACGAUUAGUGGAAACUUGAUUUAUUAGUUUAAAGGAGUUUCUUACCUGCUUUCUCAAUACACAUGGUGUACAUAGAUCAGUCUUUUGGUAUGACAGAUUAGAUAGACCACGAACAAGCUUCUUUGCUGAAAGUUUGGCUAUUUGCUUCAUAUUGAUGUGCCUAAGUUUUCUGUGCCAUAAGUUUGCUUUCUCUUGAAUUGAGAUUAGACAUUGCGAUUCAUCUAGUUUGACAUCCAAGAGGUAGAUAUUUCCAUAUCUUCGACCCAUGAAUGACUGAGUAGAAUCUUUACUGGUUCCUGAACAUAUUCCCUCUUGAAAAUUGAUUUUGAAACCGGUAUCGCACAACUAACUAAUAUUAAGCAAAUUGUAGUUGAGUCCUUCCACUAAGGAAACAUUACUAAUUGUGAGGUUUCCAAUCUUUACAGUUCCAAAUCCCACAAUUCUUCCUUUGAUGUUUCCUCCAAAUGAAACUUUUCCACAAUUUACUUGAACGAGCUUUAUGAAGCAAUUUGAAUCUCCUGUCAUAUGUCUUGAGCAUCCACUAUCCAAAUACCAUUUUACCUUCUUCUUGAUAGUGACCUGCAUUUAGAAAAGAGACUCAAACUUUCUUUGGUACCUAUCUUGGGUCCAUUGUGUUAGUAUCAUAUGCGGUCUUUGCCCAUACUUUCUUAACAGGUUUCCAAACCAUAGGACAUUCUUUCUCAAAAUGAUUUGAACUAUUGCACUUAGAACAUCUGAGAGCAUUGCGACCUACUGAUUUUACAAAAACCUUUUUGAAAUGAUUUUUGUAAGCAUCUCUUGUGGGUCUUUGCUUAAUUUUUUCUUUCACUUUAGGAAAAUCAAUUAAAGGAAUGGUUUCCACAGUCAUUCCCAAACCAAAUUUAUUGAAAUAAGGUCUUUGCGCUAAAAGAAUUUUCUCAAGUUUCUCAGAUCCUAUAGAAAAUCUUUUCGAAAUAUUUGAUAUGUCAUUUUUUUAAAAAUGCAUUUUCUUUCAAAAGGUUGUCUUCACUUUCUUUAAGAGUAGAAACAUUCAUGUCUAAACAUUUAACAUUUUCUUUCAAAACAUUUUCCUAUUGUUUUAGUGCAGAAUUUUCUUUUUUAAGUUCGGAAAUCCCUUUGAGAGAAAUCUUGAGACUAAAACACAACUCAUCAAUGUAUUUAGAAACUUUAAUAGGGAUUUUAAAGUUACUCACCUCAAAUUCACUGUCUGAAUCUGAGUCUGUUUCGGAGUUUGAAUCUAAAUCUGAUUGUGCCAUUAGACAUAUAUUGGCAUAAUCAUCAUCACUUUCUUCACAUUCUGUAUCACUCUAGGUUUCUACUUUGAGAGCCUUUCGAUACUUUUCAGCUUUUCCUUUCUUCUUCCUCAAAAGGGGACAGUUGAGUCUAAUGUGUCCUUUUUUUCUUACAUUCAAAGCAGACUACAUCUCUAUUGGAUUCAUCAUCCUCAACAGACUUAGUCUGUUGUUUUUGAAAACUCUAUUUCUUUGGAUUGAAUCUUCUUCCUUAGGAUCUUCGUCUUCAUUGAUUCACUCCACUUCAUAAGACUGAAGAGUCCCAAACAACUCAUCAAUAGAUAGUGGCAUAAUUCUUUGUGUCUCCCUUAUUGAGGUCUUUAUGUGAUUCCAAUCCUUGGAGAGUCCACACAGUAGCUUGUUUACUUUCAUGGGAUCAGAAAUUGGUUGACCUUGAUUUUCAAGACCAUUCACGAUUUCUGUAAAACGACUAAACAUGUCAGUUAUAGAUUCUCCUGAUUUCAUUUUGAAGGCUUCGUAUUGACCGAGGAGAAUGUUGAUUCUGGUUUCUUUCACUCGAUCAAUUCCUUCAUAUGUGAUAUGUAAUAUAUCCCAAACUUCUUUGGCUGUAACACGAGAAGAUAUUCUGUUAUAUUCAGUAGGUGACAAAGCACAAUAUAAAUAAUAAAUUGCUUUUGCAUCAAGAACUUGUCUCUUGGUUAUCUCUUCAUGAGUCAUUUCACUAGACUCAACAGCUUCUUUUCCUCUCUCUGAGAUAGAUGUAGCUUUAGGAAUGAUUCCUUUGUCUACCACGUCCCAUUCCAGAGGAUCCUUUGAUCUUAGGAACGCCUUCAUCUUGUUUUUCCAUAUGUUGUAUUCCUUUCCAUCAAAGUAAGGCGGUCUGGUAUUGCUUUGCCCUUCUACUAGCCCUGGAGCCAACAUACUAGCCAUGGAUCUUUAACUCUGAAGUAAAACACUUCAAAAAAAGUGAGUACAUAGGCUCUGAUACCAAUUGAGAUAGCUAGUAUAAGCACCUAGAGGGGGGUGAAUAGGUGUAAAAAUAGUUUCUCGUGAUAAGUGAGCAAUACUAAACAGACAAUAGAAAUGAAGUUCUCCUUUUGUUAACAAAACGAAUUAUGAUCAAAGUAAAGCAAAGAGUAGGGAAUAGAAAAUGAACAUAGAAAUUAUAGUAGUUCGGCUCAUUCCAAGCCUACGUCCACUCUUCCGCACUAUGAAUAAAAGAGUUGUUACAACAAAGCUCUCCCUUGAUUCCACAGUGUAGAUACUCUACCACACUUUCUCAAGGUUUCUCAAGAAUAUAGACUCUCUUUUGCAUACAAGAUUUCGCUCAGUAAAUGAAUUGACUAAGAACAAAGAGCUUCAGACUUUGAAAUUCUUCUAUCGCGCACACACUCGAAUAACUGGAACGUUUUCCUUAUAUACUCAUUUAUGCCAUCAUACCCGUUGGCACUUACCAAAGGAAUUCUUCCAAUCUUCCCGUUGGACAGAAUCAAUUAGGAAGAUCAUUCGAGUUAUUUAAGGAACAUGACGAUAGCCCAUCAAUCCUGCUCGCCCAUACAAUCAGGAUCUUGGUUUCCAUAAGUAGAACCUUCCAAGUAUACUUUGCCAAUCAUCGGAUCCUCAAUCUCUAAAUCAAUCUUGAUCCGAAUAAAUGAUUCCAUUAUGUCAUAUCCAGCCAAGAGAUCUUCUUCAGUCGAUAAGGUCAAAUCCUUAACGAAACAUCCAGUCCUGGAUAGGCCUUCUUCGACGGACUAGAAAUUGUCAAUGAGAAUAGACUUUGAGUCUUGAGUCUGGCAGUCUGGAGGUCUUCAGACUUUAAAUAGAAGAGUUUGCAAAUCUUCAAACUAGACUGAUGGAAACGUUUUGUCAGCUUCAAAACACUUCACGAAGAUUUCUCCAACAACCUCAACUUUGUCGUAUCCAUGCAGUCUUUCUUAUUGUGAAACUGUGUCUUGAGCUUGAGCUUGUAUACAAGAAUCUAACCCACGUUCGAAGAAUUUAUUGAUCAAAGUCACACACAAAAUGCAGAGUGUUCUUUUAUUAAUUAAUGUGCAUGCAAGUCUUGGACUUUUCUCUGAGAUCUCUUACUCUGUCCUAUUAUCAUUUUUCUCAUUUUUUUGUUCGAAUCCCCUUUUUGUCGUUGAUGGAGUUGAACAUCCAUUUUUCACCUCCACACUUAACCAAAUCCAUUGGCGUUGGUUUCAGAUUCUCGCUCGAUCAGUGAAAUGGGAAAACUCGGCACCGAAGUUGGCGUCAGGAACAGUGGCAUUCUUGAGGCCUAGCCUCAAGAUUCGAGUGGCAUGGAGAGGGUGCUUCCAUUCCAAGCUCUACUGGAGAACGGUGACGCUCAACGGGGUGAUCAGAGGCACGUGUGCACGGGCUUGGAGCAAGACGGGCAAACGGGGCCGCUUCAGAUUGGAGUGUGAGCUGUUUCUGCCAUUUUCAUGGAACUACGAGGGAUACUAGUGGUGAUCUUGUGACAUCCUGAUUUUCCAAUUCUGUUUUCAAUUGAAUGAGUCGGGCUUUUCAUCGACGCACUUAUAGUUCUUUUCUCUGAGUAAGCCACUCACGAGAUAACUAGCCUAUCAGGUAAAGCCAUUAAGGAAUCUAAACGCAAUAGACUUGAGAAUUCGACCAAGAAUCGACUGCUCAAUCGUGCUAAUCUACAAGGGUCAUUAUGACACAGACCGACUAGAGACUGGAGAUAGGUCGAUUCGAUAGAGCCAUGUGAUUAAGUGUGGGUGAUUCCACCUAAUUGCACAAUUCCUGUCGAUUAGCACUAAACCGAUUUCUCUGUCGUUUUGAUACCCUAUGUGCGUAUUUGAAACUUCGAGAUUUCCACAACAACCGAGAGUUGCCAAUGUGUCGAAGAUGCACUUUGUGACUUGAAAAUAAUCAACCACAGGUCAAUUGCAUGAAAAGUUCCAAAAAGCUACCCAGUAAGUUAGGGCACGCUAAAUCGAGCUAGAUUGAAAUUAACCGCGAAAUUGAACCCGAUUUCGAAAAUUGGAAGUUCUGCCAUGUCACAAAUCAUUUUAGGAAUGUCGACUCAUCCUCUGAAGAUUUUUCUAGAAACUGAGAUUUUCAGCGAAAAAUCCAAAGUUAGGUCGUUUUGGACCAGGAAACUUUGAGGGACUAUUUUUUAUCGCACUUUUGGCAGUCAAGUUGGUUCUAUUGAUGAGGAAGAAGGUUGAUUAGGAUGAUGGCACUUUGGUUAGAUUUAUGGACAACAAAUUGAGCUCAACUGGAUGAGAAUUGAAGAGGAAUUGAAUGAAAUGGAUGAGCAAAGGUACAAAAUUCAUAGCCUUUAAGGGGUGCAACCUUUCAGCCACUUGGGAAGCUUGCUUAGGAAGAUUUGGGAGAGAGAAAGUGGUUGUGGAUGAGGCUGAAGGUGGUGGGGGCAGCUCUCAAGUGUUUGGACAAGUGUUGAAGGCUUUGGAGACCAUUUGGGGUCCCCCCUUCAGCUGAAGCCUUCUUCUUCCUUCAGCAGCUGCUUUCUCCAUUGUUGAAGGGUGGAGAGCUCAAGAAAAACCAAAGAAACUAGCCAAGACCAGUAACAAGCUAGCCGAAACCCUUUGCUGCCCGUUGCACGCCCGAAACCGCGUUGGCCUCCCGCUCAUGUCCGCUCACUCGCGCUUGCCCAUGCUUGUUGUCCCGCGAGCCUAGCUCGUUGUUCGAAGCCCCCAGGCUACCAUCCAAGUCGCCGAAGCAGCCGUCGUCACUCGCCUAGGUUGCUACUGAUUCCGCCAGCCCGUCCUUGUUGUUUCCACCCGAACCAGCCACUGAACAGCCUUCCUUUGGCCUAGAGCAAAAGCCGAAGACCUCAGCCCAACUGAGACUUCAUGAGGCUUUUCCGAGCCCUUCCAGGCCUUGAUUGGUGUCGCUGUGGGCUUGGUUGUCGCCCGUCUCUGCGUUGCUGUCGCCAUGAACUCAUCGGAUCGCAAAAUCGGUGAGUUUACUCACUAAACCUUCCUUAUGAAGUUAAUUAUGCUUAAGGGUUGAUUAGAUUAGCUUAAGAAUGGGUUAGUGAUAAUCUAGAAUGGUUAGAUUAGCCUUAUAAUAGUUUAGUAUUAAUCUAAUUAGUGAGAUUAGCACCAUUGAAGUUGGUUUAGUCGAAUCCAGUGGACUUCCUGCAGUUCUGAUCUCUAUACCCUCGCCGUUUGCCACUUUUUUAGAUCGAAAUGGGUUGUGAAUUUGAGGUUGAUAUCUUCUUGAGAAAUUUUUUAGACAUCUUAAUCUACAACAUAUAUUUUACACAGGAUUUUUAGAGAUUUAUAAAAAUGAGAUAUCAGCUCCAUCAUUUGCAAACAGAAUCUGGAACCGUGCUGGAAUUUAUGAAUUUUUGGGAUUCACUGGAUUUUUAUCAACUCUUAAGGUUCGAAUUUCAAAAUGGUUUCUUCAAAAAAUUUGUUUUUCACAUCUUCCAGUUUAACAUAGUCAAAUUUCAGAUCAAAUGGACAAGUUUUAGAUCACGAACCAAACUGAUUUUAGAAAACAGACUUUCUGGAAACGAGCCCAAUUUUGGUACUGGAUUGAAUGAUUUACUGGGCCGAAUCUAGAAGGAUAUAGGUUAAGGUUUCUUCAUGAAAAAUGUUCUUCUAUGUGUCUUGUUCAACAUAUUUAAAUCUGGGAAUUUUCUGAAUUCUUUUGAUUAGAUUUAUGGAUUUAAAUUCAGAGACAUGCGAGUGGACCGUUCUGCCGGUUAGGACAGAUUAUAGUUUUAUGAUGGUUCUCAAUGCUUUGCUUGUUGGAAAUUGCACUUUUGGUGUUGUGGUUUCUUUGUGAUAUGCUUAGAUGUUAUGCGUGAUGAGGCGCGAAUGGUUGUGCCAUGAUUGUAGUUUAUUGUUAUUACUUUGUGUAGCAACUAUUGAAUGAGGGUGAGAUGUGUUGGGUUGAGAAAAUCGAUCGGUUGCUAGCAGGUAGACGACUAAGUGUGCAUGGUAGCAAAGCAUCGUAUGAGCCACCUCCUACCAUUGCUUAUUGUAAUCAAGAACUAAGUGCUACACGACAGCUUGACUUUGUAGGAGUCACCUCUAGUAACUUGAGUUAUUGUUUAUUGUAAUCAAGAACUAAGUGCUACACGACAGCUUGACUUCAUGGGAGCCACCUCUAAUAACUUGAGCUAUUGUCUAUUGUAACCAAGAAUUAAGUGCUACAUGACAGCUUGACUUUGUGGGAGUCACCUCUACCUCUAGUAACUUGAGAUAUUGCUUAUUGUGGGCACGGACUAAGUGCCGCACGAUAUUGGAACUUCAUGACUGGGGACUGGGGACUGGGGGCACCUCUAGAACCUUGAGUAUUGAAAUUGAGUAUUGAAAAGUGAUUGAUUGAGAUGUGAAUGAGAUGUUCCAAAUUGAUGUGUGCAUAGAUUAUAUGCAUUUGUGAUAUGAACUGUGCUAACGUGCAAGAAUGAGCUAAGGCGAGGUAAGUCUUCUCUGUUGUGUGGCUAGGCCACCCUUGGGUGUAUUUCCCUCCUAAUAUAGGUUUAGGGGUGAACUUGCUGAGACAAUGUCUCACCCCAUCGUGGGCUUAACUUUUCAUGUCCUUAGGUGGUGGUUGUGGAGGACCCGAAGCCUAGAGUCUGUGGAGGUGGAGUCCGAAGGAUCGGUGUCUGUGUCCGACUAGUAUGUCGUAGGACAGCUUCUUUUUUAGGGCCGACCUUUUGUAGAAUUUUGACCAGACUCGUUUUGUACCUAAACACCAUUGUUUAUAAAAGUUGGCUUUUGUGAAAUGUUACCCUGCUUUUCUAUCCCAUGCUAUUUGUUAUCAAGGGUAUUGUUUCGCUUACGCAUGUGCAUUAAAAUGAAUGGGUAGGCGACGCGUCUUGGGAAUGUCGCAUUUAUAUCGACCACCGAGAGAUGUGCGCGCGCUCGAGGUUUGGGACGUGACAGAUCUGGUCGGGGAAAGGAUGGAGCUUGAGGAGGAUGGUCAGCAACGGGUUUGCAAAUUGGAUUCGGGUCGCGAAAUGGAUCUAUAUCUAUCUAGUAUGAAGAAGCUUUUUCUAGAAAUUGUGAAACGAUUUCGGGAAUUUGAAAGAAACAGAAGGGGCGAGAGCACGGGGCAAUUUUAAUUUAUAUUGGCCAAACGUUCAAGCAAAUAGUUUUUUCCCCCAAAGACUUCCCUUUUUUCUUUGUAGAUUUUAGCAAAGGAAGUACAUCUACUCCUCGGAUUCUCAGCCAGUGAUCGCAAUUUGGGCUUCAGAUUGUAAGAAAAGAAAGAAUUUUGGGCAGCACUACCUUUAAUCUGUUUGUGUUUAGAAAGGAUUUCAAAUAUGAUAUUGCUCUACCUUGUUGAUUGAAAAUGUUGUGCUGCACAUGUCGCUUCCCUCUUCUGGAUCAAAGCAACAUGAUGCAGAUUAAACUAUUUCGACAUUCGACUAUGGGGUACAGAAUACUUGAUCUCCUUAGUAUUUGUAUCAUAUCUGGAAACAUAGGCUAGGAAGUUUUCUUUUCGUCCUUUGUUGUGAAAAUUCACUUCAACCCCACUUUGAUUUAAGAUGUAAACAGACGAAGAAGUAAGAAUUGCUCGUUAAUCCACCUUGUCUUGACGCCUCAAGGUUGUGGAUAGAUGGAGAACCCUGUAGCAUCAGCUCAAGUUGCUAAAAGAACAGAGCAGUUACUACUGGCGAGUCAAUGGCAUAAAGGCCACAGCUUAUUGGACGUGGCACUUUCGGAAGUGUUUAUAUUGUAAGUCAACCGGUAAGUUAGCUCCGAGAAGCUUCUACGUGUUGCAUUUUUCUUUUUAUUUAGGCAUCCAGUUAGCCAAACUAUGACGUGUUACGUGACAGAGAAACCAGAGCUCUGUGUGCAUUGAAGGAGUUUAGGUUAUUACUUAUUAAUCCAAAUUCGGUAGAGUGCCUGAGGCUGUUAAAGCAGGUAAUGCCUAGGAUCCAAUCUAUCCUCUCAUUUGAUCUAAAUAUGCUACGGAAAGUAUCUUUAAUCAUUGACAGGUAAUUGAUUGCUUCGCUACCUCAGAUUUUUUUCAACCUGUUGCACAAGAAAUCGAAGUACUUAGCUAGCUGAGACGUCCAAACAUUAUGUGGUAUUGUGAUAGUGAAAUUGUGAGAAACCUUUCCAUGGCAUAUGAACAUCCUAACUCAAUGGGCAUUUAUAAUUUGACUAACCAAAAUUUCAACAUAUUCAUACAUACUCUGGCUGAGGAUCGGCUUAACAUAUAUCUAUAAUAUGCACAUCAUGGUUCGAUAGACAAGUAUAUCCCAAAGCAUCUUAGGGCCCUAAGAAAAUUGGUUGUCCACAAUUUUAUCCACCAUAUUGUGACUGGAUUGGCUUACCUGCGUGUUAACAACUCCAUACAUGGGUAAUUCUAAACCGUCAUUAGAUGACUUGCAUAUUGCGUACAGAUGAUAAGACCAUCUUCUUUGUGCCUAUAGACCUAUGUAAACUCUUUUGCCUUCAGGGAUUUAAAGGGAGCUAAUUUAUUUGGGGAUACAUCUAGGAUAGUCAGACUUAUUAACUUUUGUGACAUCCUGAAUUUCAGGUUCUGAUUUCGAUUGAAUAAGUUGGGCUUUUCAUCAACGCGCCAAUAGUGUUUUUCUAUGCGAUGGCCACUCACGAGAUAACUAGCUUAUCAAAUGAAGCCGUUAAGGAAGAUAAACGCAAUAGACUUGAGAAUUCGACCAGGAAUCGAUUGUUUGACAAUGCUAGUCUGCAAAGGUUAUUACGGCACACUUAAAAAUCGAUCAAAGAUCCAAGAUAGGUCGGUUCGAUUGAGAUGUGUGGCUAAAUGUGAGUGAUUCCACUAAUUUGCAAAAUUCUUGUCGAUCAGCACUAGACUGAUUUUUCUGUCGUUUUGGUGUCCUGUGACCAUAUUUGAAACCUUGAGAUUUUUACGACAACCGAGAGCCACCAAUGUGUCGAAGAGGUACGUGUGGCUUGAAGAAAAUCGACCACGGGUCAAUUGCACUAAAAAUUCAUAAAAGCUACUCGGUAGGUUAAGUCGCGCUAAAAUCGCAUCCGAUUGAAAUUAACUGCGAAUUUGAACCCGAUUUCAGAAAUUGAAAGUUCUGUUAUAUCACGAGUCAUGUUAGGAACGUCGACUCAUCUUUCGAGGAAUUUUUGGCGAAUUCAGGAUUUUUACGGAAAACCGAUUCGGAUGAUUCGGAAAAGAAUGGAAAUUCGAACGGGCCAAAUCGAAGGGAUUUUUGGCCUCCUGUGUGAGCUACUUGGUGAAAGGAAAUUGUGUGGGCUUUUUCUUCAACAAAAUUGGACAUCAAUCGGAGAGAUUUGUUAAGAAAUCGAACUCUGGGAAAAAGGAAAUAGAAUUCAGAAUUGAGGGAAAUUCGUAGGUUUGAGGGACUAUCUUAUUUUGGUCUUCAAUUGGACUUCAAAUUAUGCAAGUUAGUGUUGAAAUUGGCCUUGGAUGACCAAUUGAUAUUGUUGUAUGAAGUUGAGCUAAAAGUAUUUUGGUUUUAAUUAUCUUUUUCCUCCCAUCAUCGGACCCCUCACGCCCACGCCAUUCCCCUCUCCUCCUCGCGCACGACUCUCUCUCUCUCUUAUUCUCGCGUGUCUUCCCCUCAACCGACCAAGCCCUUCCAUGGUCUUCUUCUGCUUUAUUUCUUUGACUUUCAUCCUUAUCUCUCUCUCUCUCUCUCUCUCUCUCUCUCUCUCUCUCUCUCUCUCUCUUUCCCCUCCCUUUUUGUAAGGACCCUGGCCCCACUGUGUGAUAUUGUCCGCUUUGGGUCACCCGCCCUGACGCGGACAAACCACCAUCCUAGCUAUGAUCUUUUCCCUCACUAUUUUAAAAUGCAUCACAUAUUAAGGGACCAAAGCCUUAUAAAGGCUCCUAGAACUCCCCCUUAAGCGAUGUGGGACAAGAGAAAAUGCCCUUAGCCUCGCCCGCGUACUGCCAAGGCGAUCUUAGUCCGUCCCUCCGUACUGUCCCGGGUCUGGGUCGUCACAUUCUCCCCCCUUAAGGCACAGUGCCCUCGUUGUGGCCCCACACGCAGUCGGGAGUCGGCUCUGAUACCAUUUCUAAGGAUUCGGGCCCACUGUGUGAUAUUGUCUGCUUUGGGUCACCCACCCUGGCGCGAACGAACCGCCAUCCCAGCCACGAUCUUUUCCCUCACGGUUUUAAAACACGUCACACAUAUUAAACCCAUAUCGCUUAAAGGGGGAGUCUUGGGCUAGUUUAUAAAGUCUUGGGUCCCUUUAAUCUGUAUAACGCGUUUUAAAACCGUGAGGACUCAGUGUCCAAAGCGAACAAUAUUACACAGUGGGGCCCAGGUCCUUACAAAUGGUAUCAGAGCCGACUCCCGAACACGUGUGGGGGCCAUAGCGAGGACGAUGUGCCUUAAGUGGGGGAGAAUGUAACGACCCAGACCCGGGACAGUACGGAGGUGUCGUGACCUAAAUUUCGGGUGCACCACCUAAGUUUAGGCUAAUGGACUAUUAAGUUUUUAAACUUAGUUUGGGCUCUCCCAAGCACAUACCAAUUCACGACUUAAGGUUCAAAACUUAGCAUGCAAAUGAAUUUUAAUUAAGAGUCACCACUAAUCGGUUUAUGGUAAGUCGAUUAGACACCUAAGUAAAAUAAUGAGAUAAUUAUUUUACUCCUACGAAUCAGAAACUAAGGGUACGGGGACUUGGUUACACUAGAUUUCUCUAAUGCCCUUUCGGUGCCAUUUCUUUUUAAUUUCAAAAAUACUUUUGCAGGCAGCUUGGAUUUUUUUAACCUAAAUUCCUAUCAUGCAAUAUAGUGAUCAUACGAGUAUUCAACCAUUAUUAAAACACUUAAUGAAUAAAUUGCAUUAAAAAAAAUUAAACACAAAGCAAACAAAUUUUUUUGGUUUUUUUUAUCUCGAAAUUAAAAUAUGCACUCUAACUAAAUGACCUAAUUUAAUGGCAAGCAAUUUUCUAAUUAAAUGGACUUAACAACAAUCACUAAGUGACAUGCAAUUCAUGAAUCUUAUUUUACUAACAUACUCUAAUUAAAUGAUCCUAUUAUGAAAACUAGUUAACAUGCUCCUAGUGGUUUUGCAUUUUUUAUUGAAAUUUGGAAUUAAUAAAUACCCUAAUUAAACUAUCUAAAAAAUGAAUAAUUUUCUAAUUUAUUUGAGGGAUUAAUUUGACUUAAACCCUAUCCUACCGUAGAAAACUAUUUUUUAAAGAAAAAUGGGAUAAUUAAGAUGUGCCAACAUUAUCUAAAACCCUAUUUAAAAAUAAUUAUUUAGGUCUAAUCCUAACCUAUUUCCAAAACUGCAAUCCUAAAAAUGUAAUCCUAAAAAAAUCUAAUUUACUAAGCCUACAUGUCUAACUUACUAAACCUACAUGCUGAUGCAAGAUUUUGAUUUUUUGAUUUUUUUUAGUGUUUUUCCAAGACAAGUAAUUAGCAAAUAAACAUUAAAUCUAGACAAUCAAGAUAUUCAACAAAUAAGGAAUUAAAAUAAUCGAAAAAAUAACCCGUUGUCUCACAGGUUAAAUUAACGAUUACCUUAUCCCUAAACAUCACGACAAAGAGUUCAAAAUAAUUAAAAACUCGAUCCGAAGUCUUACGGAUCAAAUCAAUAAUUAUAAUGAUUAAAAAAUUAAAAUACUACCAAAAUAUCCAAAAAUUAAUAUAAUUAAAAAAAAUGAUCCAAUAUAUUACGGAUCAAACUAAUAAUUAUAACAAUUUUGGAUAAAAUUAUAUGGAUAAUGUCUAAGAUAUUCGUAAAAUGAGCAUGAUCAAUAAUAACAAAAUAAAUAAAAUAAGAUAACAUAAAAUAAGUGAAAAAUAAGAAAUAAGAAAUAAAUAAAUAAACUACCUAAUCUUUCCUCUUUUUUUCUUUUUUUUCUUGCCUUUUUUUUUCACCCACGAUUCGGCAACUUCGUGGUGGGUCACCGGAGGUGAUGGGUCGCCAAGGAGUUGGUCACCGGCGUUCCGGCUAGGGGGGCGGCGGGCGUCUGAAAUCCGGCGAGGACUAACUGGCACGCAACGAGGAAAGAAAAAACAGCGAACAAGGGCUAUUGCCUGGGUCAAAGGAUCGCUGCAAAAAAAAAAAACAGAGAGAUGCUGUAGGAGCAUCGCUCAAAGGAAGGGCGUCAGACGCCGGGCGGGGGAGCAACUCGGCAGCAGCGUCGGGUCACUGGACAGUGGUCAUGGAUGUCGAAUCUGACUGCAAGAGCGGCAGAGAUCGGCACAAGGGUGCGAUGGCUCGGCUGUGUCGCGGGCAGAGUGCAACGAAAACAAGGGAUGCGAACGGACAGGCCGACGGCACAGCGGGCUACAACAGAGGGCAAACCAGUUCGGUGGAGAGCUGGCGUGGGCUGCCAGUUCGGCAAAGGGGAACUCAGGACUCCGGCGCGGUGGCGCGCAGCGCCAGAUAGUGGCAGACGAGUGGUAGAACAGGGUAGGAGCGGCUCCGGCGUCGAGCUUCACAGAUGCUGCAAAUUGGCGACAACAGAGGCGGUGGACGAUGAGCAAACCAGAAACAGUGUAGGCCUGGCUACCGGUGAACCGGCGAGNNNNNNNNNNNNNNNNNNNNNNNNNNNNNNNNNNNNNNNNNNNNNNNNNNNNNNNNNNNNNNNNNNNNNNNNNNNNNNNNNNNNNNNNNNNNNNNNNNNNAUGGGGUAGUCGGAAAAUUCGGACAAUAGAGGUGUACUUUUCAGAGCGAGCUGAGAGAAUUCUCUCUUUUGUCCCCCCUCCCCUCCUAUGUGGCGCCAUAUGAGUGGUCCGGGACCACGCUGACGUGGCGGUCCCGGACCACCCAAUAUUUUCUCCUCUCUCACAUGUCACUCUCACGUCUCUUUUCCCUCUGCUCCUUUUCUAACUUUCUUUUCCCAAAGAACCGAAACCCCUCUUCCUUCUCCUCUCUUUUCACUUUUUGACUUUUUUUCUUUCUGUUCCGUCCAACCCCUGAAACCCAAGAAAAAGCCCCCCCUUUUAUAGGCAAAACAAAAUGUGAUCUUUUCGUGAAUAUUUCAUCUCACGAAGAUUGCCUAUAACCUCCUCCUGAUCACAAAAAUCCUUAUCUUAUGAAUAUUUUCCCAUGAUUUCAUCAUCUAUUGCUAAAGAUAAGAUUGCGGUGCGAUUUUCUUAAAUUCCAAAAACCACCAUAAUAUCACAUCAAAUCUCAAUUUCUCACAAGAUAAUUAAUAAAAAAAUAACGGGCUUGGGUUAAUUUGCUCCAUUCGUGGGCCUAGCUCGACCUGUCGAACUAGAGCUUAGAAACAUUAAUUCAAACCCAUCCACCACCGGUCCAAUAAAUAAAAUGCAAACAUGCAGACUAAAAAUAAAUGCAUCUAAAUUUAUAUGAUAUGCAAUUAAUUUCUAUGCAAUAAAUAAAUGACUAGAUCGCCAAAAUUUAGGUGUCAACGGGAGGGAUGGACUGAAAUCGCCUUGGCAAUACGCGGGUGAGGCUAAGGGCAUGUCUCCCGUCCCACAUCGCUUAGGGGGGAGUCUUGAGCUAGUUUAUAAAGGCUUGGGUCCCUUUAAUCUGUAUAACGCGUUUUAAAGCCGUGAGGACUCAGUAUCCAAAGCGGACAAUAUUAUACAGUGAGGCCUAGGUCGUUACACUUUUUCCUUCGAGCGACCAUCCCUUCUGCCCAUUCAUCCGCUGCUUCUUUUUCUUUUAUCUUUGGGUUCUGUUGAAGAUUUCAGCAACCCACCGAUGCCCCCAUCUCCACCGAGGCAGCUGAUUUCAUUUUGCCUGCAACUCACGGCCAUUUGUCCACAGCUCGGCCUCCUACGGUCAACUCCAGCAUUUCUUCAACGCAGCAGCUCCCACUGAAGCCACCACAUGCCCUCUCCAUGUCCAUGAAACCAUGAACAGCCCGUGUCCUCCAUUCUUGAAGCCAAACCCUACCGAGGUCAGCCGCAAGCAGCCCGCUCGUCAGCCCGCGUCUUCACUGAGCUCUCUCCACAGCCACCACCCCACCGCGGAACGGCCCCACCGUUCAGCCGCGUGUUCGGCCACGUUCAAAACCAGAACGGGCAGCCCAACUGUGGGCUUGUGUGGCCGAUUUUGGCCCCGGUUCGGUCUCCGUUGGCAUCGCCGCUUUGGAGUUUAUCAGCCGCUGUCACGUUGCCAUCGCCGUGAACUGGUUUUCGUGUUAAUCCAAUGAGUUUACUCACUAAUAUUUGCUUAUGAAACUAAUUACGUUUAAGGGUUGAUUAGUUUAAUUUAAGUCUGGAUUAGGUGGAUAAUUAGAAUAGAUUAGUGAAUUGGUUAAUCGAUAUUGCAUGUUAGGUGGUUAGAAUAGUGCAAUUAGCGAGUAGACAGAUAGUAGUAUUUAUUUAACGAGCCUCGGAAUUUUUCCGAGCCUGUUUCAGUAUUUAAUUAGGCUUUUCCAGCCUAAGUUGCAUUUUUGGGUAUUUAAUAAUUAAUUUUCGUAAUUAUUUAUUUAUUUAUUUAUUUUCCGGAAAUUAGAUCGGGAUAGUCAGUGACCGGAAUUUUAUGUUGAUUGGAGUGAUAUGAUCUGUUUAUUUAAUUGACUAUUAUUUUGUGCAAAUUAAGUGUGAUUUGCAAUUUUGGGUAUUUAUCCCAAAAUUUAUAAUUUCAGUAAUUAAUUAGAAAAUUACCGGGCAUGUCGGUUUACAUCGCAAAAAAUGUGUUCUCAAACUAUUGGAAUUAGUGGGAUUUUAAAAAGAGAAAAUAUUGUAUUAUGGCUAAGGCCGACCGUGUACCCACAUACGAGUAUUUUUUUUAUCGGGUACAUUUUAACAUGAUGAAAUUAGGCCAAGUUGGGUUUUUAAUUGAGAAAUUGAUGUGCAAAGCACAAGACCCUUAGCCAGGAGUAAUUUAUCAUAAAUCAGCUUAGGUGAGCAUUGAUCAGCUUAGGUGAGCAAUAUAGAUCUAUAACAGCUUCGGGGAGCACUAACACCAAUAUAAAUCUAUAGCAGUUUCGGUGAGCACUAUAGAUAUCAGCUUCGACGAGUAGUAUAGUUAUUUAGCAGUUUCGGCGAGCAAAUGUUAUCUAGCAGCUUCGGCGAGCAAUAAUUAAUAUAGCAGCUUCGGUGAGCAAUAUAGACAUCAGCUUUGGUGAGCAAUGAUAUAUGAAUACAUCUAUCAGUUUCGGUGAGCUAGACCAUCUAAUUCAGCUUAGGUGAGCAGUGUUCGAAUCAAUAGAGUUUAUAGAUGGCAUUGACGGUAUGGAAUCGAAUGAGCCGACUGAUUGAUGGUUGAAUGGAUUGACUGAUAGAUGGUCUUGAUAGUAUGGAGUCGAUUAAAUAGAUUGAUCGAUGAUUCGAUCUAAUUGGUUGAAAUGAUUGAAUGGUUAUUUGAAUUAUAUUGACUUGCAGGAAAGAACUGAGACCAAGGUAAGUUCUCUGACUCAUGUUUGUGCUUAGGCAGCCCUUGGGGUGUAUUUUCUUCCUAGUCAGAGUUUAGGGAGUCAACUUGCUAAGACAUUGUCUCACCCCGUUGUGAGAUAACAUUUUCAGGUCCCUAGGGUGAAGAACCCAGAGCUUGAGGCAGAAAGGUCAAGAGCAUGGGUAGCUCAAAAGCUCUUUUUGAAGAUAGACUUCCUGUUCUUAGACCCUAGAGUUAGCCUAUGUUUGUAAACUGGAAUGUGGUUUUUAAUAAUGUGUUGAUUUGAAAUUUGUUGUCUUGCUAUUCUAUCCCACGUUUUAUUAUUGUCAAGGGAUUAGUAAUUCGCUUCCACAUGCGCAUUAAAAUGAAUGGGUCAGCGACGCGUCUUGGGACGUCACUAUUUAAUCGACCACCGAGGAAUAGGCACGCGCUUGGAGGAUCGGGGCGUGACAACUUUGGGAUUGCUAAACAUGUGAGUUUCCACCUAGUCACUGCCAGAGUACCAAGUGCAUGUGGAAAUUCCUUGUUGAUAUGUGGUGCAUUUACUGGCGAAUGUGAAGUCAGGAGGACCGAUUGAUUAGGUUAGCACAAAAAGAAAAAAAGGAAAAGAAAUGCAAGCUUGUUAUUCUUCAUCUAUGCUCUCUUGAUGCAUACUUCUCAUUAUUGAAUUGUGGCAUUUCAUCUGUGCAAAAGUCUAUUAUAGAUGGAUGAAAUGUUAUUGAAUAAUUUUCUUCACUUUUUUCCCCAUCGUUUUGGGUAAUGUUACUAUUUUGCAUAAAUAGGAAAAGAUUUCUAGGUGUAAAUAUAUGCCGAAACCAAAUGAGAGUUCUUUCCUUUUCUACUGGUUUCUAAAAAGUUCCUAAGAGGUGUAGCAGAUGGAGUGCAAUACCUUUGGUGAAAGGUUCUUCUCAUGUUGUUUUUGCUGCUCCUCUGCCUUCCAAGAGGAUGAUUGAAUUUAGUCAGAGUAAGAAGCGCCUCCUUCCUAACAUGGGGUAAAUAAAAGUGUACUAGUCCAUAGAAUAAAAAUCUGGACAGCAACUAAGGUAUUGUUGCCUCCUUUCAAGUUCUGAAGCAUUUGAUCAUUUUGUAGAUUACGUCAUGGUCCUUUUCUCAGUGAUCAGCUAAUAUAAGUCGAAAGUGGUUGAUUUAGUUCUUUUUUGUUGAUCUGAUGUAUGUCUAUGUCUAUGAAGAUGUUGCAAUUUAUGUCCCGUGUUCCAUGAACUCACCAAAUAGUCUUUGGCUAUACUAAUGCCGUACCAUUUCUUAGCCAACUGGACAAGCAACUUACUGCUCUUUGAAGGAAAGUCUAAAUUGGAUGGCUCCAGAUGUACUUUGCUUUUGUGAACGUUUAAUGUUACAUUCUUUUUUUGUCGUGGCAGAAUGAUGGAAUGGAAUAUCCUGUAGUUCAUACAAUCCUUGACGGUGAAUGAUAAGAGCACAAUCUUGAUCAAACUGCUGAUAUCUAUAGUUUGGGAUGUACUAUUAUUGUAAUGAUAACUGUGAAACCUCCUUGGAGUGAGUAUGAGCAGGUAAGAACGCUCCAUUGCUUUUCAUUCUCUCUGUUAGUCCUCCAAGGAUACGCUUCCAAUCAAAUCUGUGUCCCUGUUUUCUGUUGGAAGUCUGGGACUGUGUAUUACCAUUUGGUAUAUGACCUGUGUCUUUAGUUUCUGUUUAAGGUUUAACUAUUGAAGUAGGAUCAAGGUAUAUUUAUGGUGAUGCGAAGUUCUUUACCACUAACCUAGACGUUAUCUGCCAAGGGAAGGGAUUUCCUGCCCUGCUGCUUUCGAAGACAGCCUGCUGGAGGCCUUCAGCUGCUAUGCUACUUUAGUGUGAUUUCCUGUAAAUUUAAAUUUGCAGAUGACUGACUUUUUUUAUUUGCCAUACGUUGUUGCAGAAGGGAGGUCGCACUGUAAAGUUUCAUAUUUACUAAACCAAAAGGAUCACAAGGUAUGUGAUGAGAAAAAGAAGAUUCUUAACGGUCUAAUAGGAUACUUUUACUUCAAAGGAAGGGCAUCAGGUGCGGCGGAGGGUCCGCAAUAGGUUUCUUUUUUUUGAAAAAGGUACAUUUAAGAAAUUUUUUACAGUAUCGAGAACUUUACUAAUACAGUGAAAAGAAUGAUUUAUCUCAUGGAGAAUUACUUGACAUUUUAAGGAGCUCCUACUUCUGGAUAUUAUUUAAGUUUACCUUAAAAAACUUAUUAAUAAAUUGGGGGAAAAACUAAAUAAUUCAGUAUAAGUGAUCACAUUGAAAAGAGUUACUUUUGCUUAUAGAAAAAUAAGUUUAAGUAUAUAUACAACUAUAUUAGCUAAAUGUUUCAGGGUGGUUUGCAACUUUCUCGAUCACAAAAAGUAACGUCAAAUCUAUCGAGUUAAUGACAAGGUAUGGUUAUAACUUAUGAGAGUAAUUGUAUAUCGACAAUAUAAGAUGUUUGUUCCUCUUGCAUGGUUUGAGCUACGGCGGAUGUCGACCUAAGCAAUUGGACAAUGUUGCUUAAUCUAAAUGUUUUGUAUGGAGUGCAUUCGAAUCAUAGAUAUUUUGUACGAAGCACAUCUAUUCAUCGAAAUGAAUGGUAUUUAGUAUGGCUCCAAAAAAGCACCACAAUAGCAAAACACAUGUAAGAAAAGGAAGGAAAAAAAAUGAAAUGAUAAUGCAUCAGAAUUCCUAAAAAAAUUUGUUAAAAUUCAAUCAAAUCCUAAAACAUAUCCAAUUAAUACAACCAAAAUAUUCCGUCCCUUAGGUGGAUGGAACAUGGGCCAGCAAGUUUGGCGAACUUGCAAUAUCUUAAGGUUAGGGAAGUGAAGAGAGAAGAUGGGACGAAGUUAUGAGCAUUGGAGGCUCUUGAUUCUUCUUCCUUCAAGAAUGUCGUUGAUCUCAAUAAAUACAUCAGAUUUUUCCAACCAGAGUGGCCCCUCAUCACUAUCAUCAACUUGCCGUGAAUCCAGAAAAUUCAUUGAAACUUCCGAGAGGAGAAUUGCGAUUAUGCCCUUGUCAGGGCAGGAGCGGGAAAGUCUUGCCCCUCCGAUGGUUUUGCUUUAAAGUGAUGAUGUAAUUUUGCUGGAUUUAUCCCUGAUGUGUUUCUUCGUCUCUUCCUGGAAUUUUCUAAGAAUACCAAUACAUUUUAAAGCCCAGAUAUUAUUUCCCUUCGGUCCAACUAAUGGUGACGACCGAAACAAAUCCAAAGCAAUAUGCAUCCGGGAUCAACUCCGCUGUUAAAACCAAACAAGUAAUCACAUCACAUCCAUUUCUUAUUCGGGCAGGUCAGCCUUAUGCUACUUGUUCUAUCCCAACCCCAACUUUCAAUAAAGCAGCCGGUACACGAAACAAAGCGCGUCGAAGUUGUAACACCUUCUUCCCACAUUCCAGAGGGAAUAUACCCGCCUAAGAUGCUAAGUUCAGAAACUGACAAAAAUAGAGCUAUAUACUUCUCUUGCCGAAGCCAAAUUCGCUCCUAUGUUUCACACACCUACCGAGGAAAUCGGUUGCGCAAUUUCUAGAUUCCACAGAAUUUUGUAUCUUGGGUGUAUGAAAUGCAAAUAGUCUAUGAAUUCAGUUAAAAUAUCUUUGCAUCUUUUUUUAGUUGGACUCUCUCUCUCUCUCUCUCUCUCUCUCUCUCUCUCUCUCUCUCUCUCUUGUGUCUGUUCACGCCUGCGAGGUUUAGUGUCUCAAGUGAACAUUAUAUUAGCAAUUGUUAUACUAAAUAAUAUGACAAACUUCGGUUGAUCUUAAUAAGUGAAUCAUAUUCAAUAUUUUACACAUUAUUUUGUAUAUAAAUUUCAUGAUAUACUUUUAUGGGGUAAAAGAAAAGAUAACAGCGCACAAAAGUUUUAUGGGUGCAAAUUUGCAUCAAUUUCUCAAUUCGUAAUUGACUCGAAGGUGAACAUAUUUGUGUGAGUAAUACCGUCGACUUCUUUUGAUUACAAUGAUAUAGGAAAAAAAUUUCCCCAUACUCUUUGAUGCCCCUAUGGAUCCGUGCUCAAACGAGAAAGGGCAGCUCGAGAUUCUUCAUCCAAUGAAUGUUCUCCUUACUUGGAUAUCCCAAUAAUUUUCCUUUUUUUUUCCGAAAAUUUUUGUUUAAGUCUCCUCUUUGUAGAUGUAGUGUAUCUCUCUAAUUGUGCGUUUUUUCCUUGGUUGAAUAAGAGGAUUAAAUAUAUCUGGCCAGCUAACAUAAGUUGAAGCUCUUCUUUUUCCUCUUCCAUGAAUAUUCAUACGCAUCGUUCUUUUUGUGUAUUUUAAUCAAUAAUAUCUUUUUAUUAUUUAAUGAUUCAAUAUUUUGUAACAAAUGAUUUAAAUAAUUUUUUAAAAAUUUCAAUUGUUUUAUGAAUAAAAAGUCAUAGAUCUUCUUUGAAGAAAGGAGGCCCACUAACGCGGCUUCAUCAUUUAGAAUUAAUUAUUUUCUCGAGUAGGUACUUCGCAAUUUCCGAGAUGUUUUUGAGUUAACUGGGUCAUCAUUUUCUUUUUCACCACUACUCUUUUGCAAUUUUAAUAUAUUAUAUAGAUAAUUGACAUCUUAAUAAUAAAUAGAUAAUAAAAAAUUAAGAAUUUCUCUUUUUCAUUAUGACUAUGAAUUAUAUAUUUUCUUUACUAAUCCAAGUCCAUUCCUUUUUAUAUCCUCACUAAAAUUUUAUUACAUAAAUUAAGUUACCGUUAUAUCAUUUGCAUGAUUUGACUAAAUAGAAUCGAAUUAAAUCGAAAUGCUAAAUGGAAUAUAAGAUAACCAGAUUAGGAUCUUACUCUACAUUCUAGAAAACAGAAAUUAUAUUUGUUACAAAAGUAAAUUUCAACUACUAACUUAAAAUAUGUGAUGUGUUUCCAACUGAUACCACGUCCUUUUCUCGCACGCUAGCUCUGUACGUGAUGCCCGCGUCGCGACCGUGGGAAUGCUUCGCCGAGAGUCUUGACUAAAGCCUCCCUUCGGCCAGUGCUGAAGCAACCUGGAUGAUAUCUGCGAAGCCUGCUAUGAGAGUUCCCGUUGAGUUUUGACACGCUCCGGCCACUGAACCGGUCGACUCUCCAUCCACCCACGAGCCAUCAAUGUUGGUUUUGAGGGAUCCACUCACCGGCGGCUUCCAACGCUCGGGUAAGUUAAAUCUGGACUUGCUCUGUUUUACCUAAGCGCGGAUUCCAUAUAACGUAGUACUUGUGCUGGGCAGGGGCUUGUCUCUACAGUUGCCGUGGGGUCAAGUUUCCGGCCUUGGAAGAUUCGAGCGUUCCUAGCUUUCCGUAUCAUCCAGAUCACUUCGGCAACUAAGUUCUCCCGAUGGUGAGUUUUGAUUUGAGCUCAAUACUUCCAUUAGCCAUUUGUCCAUCCUGCUGAUUCCCAAAGGGCUACUUUGUAGGUUUAAGCUUUGGGUUGGACCAAACUGGUUUUGUCCAUCCAUGGAGAAGAAAUAUAUGCUCGACUGAUUCAGGGGCCUGUGAGCACAGGUUACACGUUAAAUCAGGUACGAACUUCCUCUUGAAUAGAUUUUCGCUGGUGGGAACCACCUUUGGCAGGCACUCCAAAGGAAAAUGCGGGCUUCGGGUGGGGAGCAUAGAUUCCAUAGGUUGGUCCAAAAGGAUCUGGGUCGCUGGAAUGAUGUUGAUUGUUGAGGGUUGGUUUGUGUUGGGAUGCUGGAUUGUAUUCCUCAAGCUGUUAUGCCCACUUUUUAACGGUAUAGGACCCCGAUUUAUUUCCGUCCCAGAUCAGUUUAUCGGCUUUCAGAGUCAAACUGAGGGGUUGAGAGGAUCUCUUGCACAAAGUGCACUUCAAACAGGUUUUCCAGCUGUUGUUCUUUCCACCUUCCUGAUUCUCUGUCAGUAAGUUCUGCCACCGACUGAGGAUCGUUUCUAUUAGCCGGUCCUCCAAUCACACCCCUGGAUAACCAGUAGUCUUCGUGAAUUCAGAUUGUUGCCCCAUCAUCCGCCGCCCAUUUCACUUUUGGUUUAAUCGCAUCUCUUCUCAUGAUAGGGCUUUGCCAGCCCCAUAAGGGUCGAGAUCCUUUUCUUGCACUCCAAAUAUAUACCCCUAGGGAAAUAGAUGCUCUUCAGGACUCUACUCCAUAAGGCUGAGUGUGACUGUGCUAGCCUCCAGGCCUGUUUCCCAGCAUAGCUAUAGCUUUAUUGAAGAUAACAAGGCCUUUAAAGCCCAGCCCUCCCCAAUCUUUCCUAUAUUUAAGCGCUUCCCAUCUCUUCCGGUGCAUACCUGUUCGAGCCUCAUUGUGCUUCCACAAAAACGAGGCUAUUCUAUGCUCUUAUGUCUUACCAACCAAAAUGGGAAUCUUGAAAAUCAACAUCGCAUAUGUAGGGAGAGCCUGCACCCCCGUGUUAAUGAGAGUUAGGGUGCGCAUGGAUUUGUUUCUGUUCUUUUUUUGUUCCUGGGAACAGAAACAAAAAAGUGUUUCUGUUCCGGGGAACAGUUUUUGAACAAAAGAACACGUUUGGUAACGUUUGGUCCGGGAAUAAAAAAUGAACAGAAACACGUUUGGUAAAUUUUAUUAUUUUUUUGUUUCUUUUAAUUUUUUAAACAUUUUUUUUUUAUUUUUUAUUUUUCCUUUCUUUUUAUUUUUUUCUUUUCUUCGGGCCGGUCACCGGCCUCCGGGCGACCGGCCGACGGGGCCGGUAACCUCGCCCAGCCACGGCGAGGUCGAGCCUGCCCGUGCAUGGGGGCCGCUCCCCUUCCUCUUCCAUGGCCGACAUCCAGCCGGCGACCGGCCGCCGAGGCUCGGCCUCGCCCGCGCCGGCGACGCCGAGCCUCGACGGCCGGUCGCCGGCCGGUCGCCGGCCAUGGCCGAGGCCGGCGACCGGCCAAAAUGAAAAAGAAGAAAAAAAAAGAAGAAAAGAAGAAGAGAAGAAGAAGAGAGAGAAGAGUGAUUUUUGUUCUUUUGUUCCUUCCGAGAAGUGUUUCUUUCAGGAGAAACAACUUUUUUUUGUUUCUUUUUUCUGUUUCUAUUUUGUUCCAGAAACAAAAAAACAAAAAAAGAACAGAAACGCAACCAAACGCGUUUCUGUUCCUUUUUUGUUCCCGGGAACACUUUCCGUACAGAAGUGUGCCGGAAACACUUUUUUGGAGUGUUUCCAUGCACGCCCUUAAUUUCCUACAUUCACACAUGCAGGAAUGUCGUGUUGAAAGUGGCCUCAAGUCGAUCCUUUCGGUCAACCAGAAGGAGGAAGCGGUAAGGACUUUAAUUCGGAGAGUGGACCGCGUCCAAAACUUUCAUAAAAAUUCCUGUUUAAAUUCACUACGAAAAAAUUCAGUAUCAGAUCGUGUAACAAUUAAAAGGGGUCACACAUUUAAAUGCGAAAGAAUGCCAUAGAGAUUGAGAAUGCUGGAUCACAAAUGUAUUUUUAGUCGGGGUCAAAUUAUCGAUGGAUUUCAUUGCUAAUUUUCAUGAAAAUGCGAAUGAGACAUUUGGACGAAAAAUUUAGGUGUUGACUUUAAUUUCUCUUAAAAGCUAGUAAGUUACAAUUUCUUUUUAAAAUUAUCCCUGGUUGAAUUUUUUUUUUCAUUCUAGUCUAAAGAUCGAGGCUGCAUACGAAAUUGGUCUCAUGAAUUUAUUAGUGCUGGUAGAAUUCUAAUUUCGAGUCAAGAUUCACGCAAAGUAAAUAGGCAGCAGUACAGAGGUUUUCCGAAUUAAUACAAUGCGACUCAUUUCUAGUGGAAAUAAGGAGCAAUGCUACAUAAGAAAAUCGGACAUUUAUAUAUCUUAAGAUGGAUGGAGUAUGAAGAGGAAAAUAGUGCAGCAGCCUUCUUCGGUAAUUUUUUUUCUCAUUUUUCAUUUUCUUUGCAAAGUCCAAAGAGUUGGUAAUUAAGUAAAUCAUUUUCUAAAAUUCAAUAAUUGUUUUCCACCUCGUACGAUACACUGAUUUUUAAAAAUCUUUGUAUAAUUGGUAACUAUUUUGGGCGAAAAAAAAAAAAAGAUAAGAUAAGUGAGCUCAAAAGUUUCUUGUGUGCAAAUUCAUAUGAGUUUCCUUACCGUUGAAAUUGAAAUUGGCUGAAAGGCUAACGUUUUCGUGAGAAAUACGGUCUAACUCCUUUUGAUGACAAUGACAUGGGAAGCAAUUGCCCUCCCCUCCUGAUGCACCUCUGGAUCCCAUGCUUAAUAUGCAAGGGCCGCAUGGGAUUCUCCUUCCAGAGUACAUUCUCCUACUUAAAUAAUCCAAUUAUUUUCCUCUUUUUUCCUAUAAGUUUUGUUUAACUUCCAGUUAUUAAUUUCCUAUAUGUAGAUCUUAGUACAUCUCUCUACUUGUGCUUUUGUUCCUGGUGGAAUAAGGGGAUUAAAUCUCUCUACUUCUGCUUCUUCUUUUUAUCUCCCUAUCCAUAAAUACAUGUACACAUUGUUUGUCGUAUCGUUUAUUUUUUUCCGUAACUUCAUUUCAUUAUUUACAAUUCAAAUAUUUUGUAAAAAUUGAUUUAGUUUAAUCUUUUGAAUAUCAAAUUUCUGCACGUACAUAAUGCUUAUGCGGAUGAUAAAUGAAAAGUCAUAGAUCUUUAUUGGAGGAGAAAAAAAAACGCCACCUACUGCACCACCUCAGCCUCUAGAAUUAAUUAUUUUCUUAAGUUGGUCCUCCGCAAUUUCCAAGCCUCUUUUGGGUUGACCGGGUCUUUCUUCUCUCCAAAAAAUCAAACUCUCAUAUCAUUUCGUGGACUCCGUGCCUUUUUCUAGAUCUCUUUCGAAAAUUUCAUGAAGUCAUCUAUUUCUUAGAUUCUUGAAUAUCAAUCUGCAUAUUGGCUUUCUCAUUGUUGAAGAGGUUUAUUGCUCGUGGAUGUUAUUAUUUGCUAGUAAUGCUAUACGCCGUGAGAAGAUGUACAAAAAUUCUCAUGCUAUAUGAUGUGCUGUGCUCUCUUUGGUUGUAGGUUGAUAAACAAGACCGGCAGACAGGUGGAAUUCUUGGCUGAACAUAGAGCUUUACUCUUCGAGUCGACAAGAUGCCGCGAGAUGAAGAUAUAGCCUGGAAGUACGUGGAGAAACUCGAGGGCAAGAAAUGGCGUUGUUAUUACUGCGGGAAAGUAUACAAUGGACAGGUUACAAGAGUGAAAAGUCAUUUGGGUGAAGUCAAAGGAAAAGGGAUUGGCAUCUGCACCAGCGUCCCUGGUAAUAUAAGAGAUCUAAUGCUGUCCUUACUCAAGAAGGAGACUGAAGAAGGGAGCAGACAAGCCAACCAUCAAUCCUCCACGGAACGACUGUUACAUGACAUGCCAAUGCCAAUGCAAGCUCAAAAUGUUCAUCAAGACGUUUCUUUGUCACAAACAAGCCUCGAAUUGGUGGGACCAAGGUUGCCGAUGCCAGGAGGGGUGGCCGACAUGCCAAACUUCACCCACCAGUUAAGCUCUAACCAACAAUCGCAAGCAGAGUAUCCGUUUCCAUGGAGUUCAACCAUGCCGUCAUUGGUGCAAAAUAAGCAGGUAGCUUCCGGUGCCAGCCAAAUUAUAUUCCAAAGUGACAGUGCGUUGAAUCCUAAUGACACGGAGAAAACGAAUCAACCUGGGUGCAUGCCAGAGCGGUCAUCUUGCUAUUGGCAGACCGGAAUUGGUACUGAUUCAGCAUGCCCUCAGGAUCAAGUAUUUUUGCAUUCUGGUAAUAUGCCUCUGGAUAAUCUAGGUACCACCCAGCAACCCGAUUUACCGAACCAUAGGUUGGAUAUGGCCCAUGGAAACAAAAUUGCUUCAUCUCUCUCAAUUACUGAGCUACAAGAGUUUCUCGACCAACCAACUCCUUGUGAAACAGGGCAUGAAGAACAAAAUUCUAGAGGGCUUUCGUCAUUCCUAAAUGAUCAGGUUCUCCGCAACACUUCGUCAAAUGGGCUGCAGGGGUUCAUUGGAGGUGAUUCACCGCUGUAUUCACAANNNNNNNNNNNNNNNNNNNNNNNNNNNNNNNNNNNNNNNNNNNNNNNNNNNNNNNNNNNNNNNNNNNNNNNNNNNNNNNNNNNNNNNNNNNNNNNNNNNNUUGCCUAUUGGAAGAUCAUCAUAGCAAGAUGAAGAUGCACGAUUUGAUUAGAGACAUGGCAUUGCACAUCAUGGGUGCGACUUCCAUUGUAAAAGCAAGAAAGAGGUUGGGAAGUAUUCCAUAUGAGGAAUAUUGGACGGAUGCUUUGGAGAAAGUUUCUCUGAUGGGAAGCAUAAUAAGUGAAAUUCCAUUGAACAUGUCACCAAAUUGUCCUAAACUAUCAACUUUACUAUUGGAUGGAAGCUUGAUGGUUAAUGUGGUCAUCCCUGGUUCUUUCUUCAAACAGUUAUGUGGGCUAAAGGUUCUAAACCUGAGUGACUGUGUACUAACAGAACUUCCAAAUUCCAUCUCAGAUUUGGUAAACUUGAGGGCACUAUUGUUUAGAGGGUGUCGGGGAUUGAGCCAUAUUCCUUAUUUAGGGAAGCUCACAUCUUUAAGAAAGUUGGACGUUAGUGGCUGUUUUGAGCUUGAAGAAGUGCCCGAGGGUCUGGAAAUGUUGGUGAACUUGAGAUACCUUGACCUACGUUUUUCAUUGACCAUUGAAUUACCUAAAAGAGUACUGGAGGGUUUGCUAAACUUGCAGCAUCUUAUAGUUUAUUUUCUAGAUGGACAAGACAUGACAAAAUUGAGGGCACUGGAGACACUCAAAUGAUCUUUUGAAGAUGCAAAUGAUUUCAAUAAGUGUGUGAGGGUUAUUGAACAGAGUAACCCUCGCUGCUGUUAUUAUCUCGACAGGAUGAAAUAUAUUAUGAUGAGAAAGACCGUGAUAUUACUCAAAUUGAGAAAAUUGAGAAUCCGGAGAGNNNNNNNNNNNNNNNNNNNNNNNNNNNNNNNNNNNNNNNNNNNNNNNNNNNNNNNNNNNNNNNNNNNNNNNNNNNNNNNNNNNNNNNNNNNNNNNNNNNNGAAUGCACCGGCGUUUUUAUUUUGAUUCCCCAAGACGUGCAGAAAAUGGAAAUGACUUGGUGCGACGGUAUAACAAAUUUGUCUAGCAUAGGUCCGCUUGAAUACCUUGAGGAGCUAGAUAUAUGCAACUCAGAAAACUUAGGGGUGCUCUGUGGAGGAAAAGACAAAGAAGUAAUCGACAUCUUUGCCCCAGCCCUUGCGCCUCUCCUCUUCUCGAGCCUUGGGUAUUUGAAAAUAUGGGAGUGUCCGAAACUGAAGUAUCUCUUUGGGCAUGGGUCUAAAUUCGACCUUCCACAUCUACGAGUGAUUGAAAUAGAGGAAUGUGAGGAGACGGUGGGGAUAAUAGCAGCAGUUACAUCCCCACCACCACAUCCGCUCCCAUUUUUCCCUAGUCUGGAACAGAUAAUAGUUAGGGUGUGUGAUAAAAUGAAGAGAGCGGUGGAAUCUGAGUGGAUGCCCCACUUCCCUAAUCUGAGAUGUAUUCGUGUAUCGGGUUGUGAUGAGAUGGAGGAGAUAAUCGGAGGUCCUCCCCCAUACUCGCCGGAUGAACAGAUUUCUCUCGAAUCUCUUCAAGUACGUUACUGCAAUAACAUGAGAAAGCUGCUUACGUAUGAGUGGCUGCUCCAUCUUCUAAAUCUUCAAAGUAUCGAGGUCGAUGAGUGCAAAGGAAUGGUGGAGUUGAUAAGCGGAGCGGGACAAGGCCAAGAAGGAAGCAUAACGACUUCUGUAAACAACACUCCUUCAUCCUUCCAGCCUUCUUCAAUUUCUCUCCCAAAGCUAGAGUGUUUGAAGCUACGCGAUCUACACCAGCUGAAGAGCAUAUACGAAGCCCCAAUAAGCUGCGAUUUCAUGAAAAGAUUGGACGUGUGCAGAUGCCCAGAACUGAAGAGGAUUCCUUUGCAACUGCGAUUGUGUGAAAUUGAGGAGCUUCCGCAUAUCUGGAUGCAUGAAGAGGAAAAUUGGAAGACGUUGGUGUGGGAUCAUCCCGAUGCUCAGGCUAUUCUUCGACCUUAUCUCCGAAAAGGGCCAGACUGGCUUCCAAAUGCUAUAGGUUAAUGAGUUUAAUUGAUAUACGAUUGCUUCACUUCUUAAAAGUCCUUUCAAAGAUAUAGCUUUUCUGUCUAUAUAGUCAUGCAGCUCUAACGGCGGCCUUUUGCAGAACUGUUCGCCGGGGGAAAGGAUCAUCCUUGGCUCUAAUCUUGAAGAAAGCCCUGCUACUCAAGCAUGCUUUCCUGCAAACUCGACUCAAGUUGCCAUAUGAAUUGACUUUCUUUAAUGUGGCCAUGCUUUGUGUAUUUGAACGCAAUCGCAUUUUUUUUGGCUACUGGAAAUGAGUCAAUCUGGUCGAUAUUUCGGGUUAGUCAAAAAAAUGAAAGGACAAUUUAUUAUUAUGGAUUGAUCUUCCAGGAAUAUUAGCCUUCAGAGAAAAGAGAGAAUUUUAGGCAGCAGUACCUUUAAUCUGUUUGUGUUUAGAAAUGAUUUCAAAUAUAAUAUUGCUCUAACUUGUCGAUCGAAAAUGUUGNNNNNNNNNNNNNNNNNNNNNNNNNNNNNNNNNNNNNNNNNNNNNNNNNNNNNNNNNNNNNNNNNNNNNNNNNNNNNNNNNNNNNNNNNNNNNNNNNNNNAGUAUAGAAUACUUGAUUUGCUUUAGUUAGUUGUAUCAUAUCUGGAAACACAGGCGGCCCAGGAAAGUUUUUCUUUCCUCCCCUUUGCUGUAAAAGGUCACCUUAGCCCCCACUUUAGGGUUAAAAUGUAAAAAGACCAAGAAGAAAGAAUUGCACAAUUAUCACCCCUCUUUGAAUGCCUCGAAGUCAUGAAUAGAUGGAUAACCCUACAUCUUCAGCUCAAGUUGCUGAAACCACUAGCAAGUCAAUGG
Molecule: long non-coding RNA, 133833 nt
Filed under: Eucalyptus grandis
Lineage: Eukaryota; Viridiplantae; Streptophyta; Magnoliopsida; Myrtales; Myrtaceae
Description: long non-coding RNA (EGRA_LNC003566)
Source: RNAcentral